CAGAGGAUUUAACAACCAGAAGGGCGAGUCAGGAAACAAGAAGAGGAAGAUGUUUUGAUACGGUGUUGUAAGAGUCUGUCCCUGCUUCCUUGUGAUGCUAUUAUAUUCUUGUCUUUAUGUUAUUCUGCUGCAGUACUCUUAUCACUAGAUGCAAAAGUUAGCUUGAGGUAUGGAAUUUGGGGAGGCAGCUCAAACACAAGACUUUUAUCUUUAGCUGUGCUAUUCUCCAUAAGAUGUGGUGCCGUUUGCAUUUAACCUGUGAUUGCCCUUUUGGUCGUGGAAUGCAGUUGAAAUCUUGCUAUAUAUGCAAUUAUGUUAAACAGUGUAUUACAUUUACAGUUUACAGCUGCUGUGUGUGCCUUCCUGUUGUUUACUUCGUUCUGGAGCGUUUUAUUGUAUCAGUGUGUAAAGCUUAAGUGAAAGGAGUAACACUUGGUAAUUGUGACUGCCGGUACAGUCUAGUUUUGGUUUCUUAAGUUAUGUUCCCCUAUACAUCUUGCAUCAUCAACAAACCUCAGUGCCUCACAAUCAGCGUCGUAUUCAUCCUCCUUUUCUGCUGUUUUGGUAGUGAAUGGUUUGUUUUUUCAUACUCCAUUUAGACUAUACAGAUUUGGUUGUGAUGCAUUUGUUCUUUCUUAUUGCUAUACAUGGCCAGAUGCAGUUGUGGGAUCAUUUUCUUUUCUUGCUGAUUUGGAUUAUUGGAACAACUUUUGCAUUAGCUACGGUGUCAAUAUGCGCUAUAUGGGCUGCACUGCUUGCGAUGAAUGCAUAUGCCUAAAUUCUCCCAAGUUGCAGCUUGGUUGGUUAUGCCUAUUCAUGUUUUGUCGUUUUUAUGCGAUUGCCUGUUGUGAUGUUACACUUUCUCUGGAAAACAUGGGCACUAUAACUUACAAUGCCAGUAUUUUCCAAUGUUUGUCUGUCUAUAUCGUGGUGGUGAUGGCCAUCCUGGUUGCUGGUACUUCUCCAUGGAGGGGAUCUGAUCAAGAGGCCUGAUUAUGCUGAAAAUACUUGUACAUGUUGGUAAAAUAACAAAAGGAGUGUAGAAAGAUGGUUGUUGGGCCAGAGGAGGACAUAGGAUUGUUAUCCCCACCGUGGAGGUAAGAUGGAUUUGGUGGUUACUCGGUAUCUGAUUCUAAAGAGAACCCUGCUGAACCCCUGUUCAGAUUAUUUGAGUUCAUGCCAUCCUCCACAAGGAACCAAUUUCCAUGAGGUACUGCUGGAAGAGGUGGUGCAGGAGUCUGGCCAUGUUGUAAUAUGAGAAACCUUCUCCUUGUGUCAGGAUCUAUCCCAGACUCCGCAACUUUGGCCUGUUCUCUAGUUGGAGAAGCUUGCAGUGGAUCUAAGGGACCUGGUUAAACGACUGGUAGGCUGAAAGGAGGUGGUAGAACCUGAUUGUUUUUUACUCAAAGGCGGCUGAAGAUGGAACUAAAUUUUGACUAGGAUCUACUGGGAACAGUCCCGUAAGUGUAGCAUUUUUGGGCUAGUGGCGUCACAGAGUUAGCUAUUGUUGGAUUCAAAGCACUGCCAGUGCCAGAUGCUUUCCUGGAAAUAGGAGAGAUGAAUACACAACUAAAAACAGAGCAAAACAGGAAAAAAAAAUACCUGCAAAGUAGCAUGCAGUUAAUUUUAGUUUCCGUUUUCUGUACAGAACGGCUCCAUUAAACAUCAAGCUACUCUUGAGUCAAGCUGAAGCUUACUGUGCUGCAAUGAACACCAUCAUGGCCGAAAUUUUAGCUUUAGCUUUAGCCAAAAUUUUAGCAUUACAAUUUGGCUAUAUUAGCAACAGAAAUUGUAGAAUACAAAAACCAGUCAUGCAAUGAACAUAGUUUUUCUCAUGAACUGAUAGUUGUUCCAACUCGUCAGAAACAUCAUCACAGUCUCUUUAUUGUUAAACACUGAUUCCACCAUAGCUGGUAUCCUUAAAAGGUUAAAAAAAGAGCUUAUAUUUAUAGAAUUUAAUUUGCUGAGUGAUCUCAUGUUGGAAACAUCAUCAUCCACAGUAGCACAACCACCCUUUAGGCAUUGUCAAAAGCCAGUGAAUCUCGGUUCCCGUUAACCUAUGUGGCCGGACGAUUCACUUUGCUAUGCCAGUCGCCAGUGCAGGGACAAAUCUAAAUCAUCCAGUAGCCAUCAGCUAGAAUGUUCUAUUCCCCGGUGUAUUGUACUCCUACGUAACUGUUGUCGCUUCGGUGAACUGUUGGAUUCCAGUUUGAGCUUGUGCCACUUGCGUGCAUAUGGUUUCUGGGGAAAAUAUCUUGCCUGUAGUGGUAACUAGGAUGAACUAAGUGGCUGGAGGAGAACAGCCGGUCCAGAUCAACAGCGGCGUCCAGCUGCCCAGAUAGGCACCCACGAAAUGCAGAAUCAGCUUUGUUGCUUCCUCACUUGGGCUUCAUCCUACCUUGCCAAACAAAUCUCACCACUUAUAAUAUCCAUGUGGUCCACUGCAACCAAGUUGGAAAACUGGCUAUGCAGUCACACACCACAUAUGUAUGUGGCUGUACAUAUCUGAAUUCGGUUUCUCGCAAUUUCGGGAGCUUAGCACGUUGGAACAAGCGCUCCCAAAUCAGAGUAUACAGUAUAUACAAAUACAAAUGACAAAGAAAGGAAGGCCGUAGAUUCGUUCGCAUGUGUAUACUUCAGAAUCAGCAGAAGCUCUCCCAAGCAAAAAUUUACCAAGCCAGAAGGCUUCAAGAUACAAGCAUCCCUUCACAUGAUAAGAUCUUCUUGAGAAACAUUAUUCCAGAUCAAUACAAACUUGCGCCACAACACAACGGAAACACAACAUCAAGAAGACUGCAAGAUUCGGCGGCUAUAGUACCCACCCGCAAAACUCGUCACAGCUUCUUUUAUUGCUAAGCACUGACUCCACCAAAGCAUCUAAGGUUGAAUGGUCUUUGCCAUUCUAAUUAUUCUGAUUUACCGAAUCUUCUAUAUAGCACGGAGCAGGGGGUGUGGCGACAAAAGGAAAAAAAAACCGUGUUGCUAAUCACGAGAUAUACGGAAGGCAUCAGCUUGUUUUAGCGACGCUUUCGUAGAAGAGUAUGUAGCCAUUGUCGGUGUUACCACUGAACUCCUGUGCCGAGCCGAAGAAUGUCUGUACCAUGGACUCAUCGGUCAUCUCAACAGUCUCAUCGUCGAAGAACAACCAGUGGUUGUGGCUCUUUACCACGCUGAUGUAGUGGCCAUGGUUUGGCCCACUUCCGACGUGGACUAGCACAGCGAAGAGGGAAUAUUCCAAGUCUGAGUUGUCGACCGUGUUCAUGAGUUUAAGCUCCAGUGGGAAAACAACUCGGUAUGUCAGCUUUUUGUAGCGCCCAAGCUGCUCGAUGUACUUGAAGCGCUUGAGAUGGAUUACCAGGAUGUUUGGCUGUUUCUUUAUCUUCAUUCUUUUCUGUGCUUCUUGUAAACUGAAAUUAAUGACAACUUCAAUCAAGGUCCAAGAUAAAUAGAGAUAAUCCAAACACACAAACAAUAGACAGGCAAUGCAACAAUUUUGAUACAUUGAAUAUCAGAUCAAAUUAUGAUAGGCGAAAUGAAAAUGAAUGCCUGUGACACACAAUUUUUGCCAAAUAACUGAACUUGGAAGUUUGAUAUGCUAGUGCAUAGUCAAUGAAUGAACUUAAAGCACAUAAGUCAAGCAAGUAGGCAGAGGUAAUAAAUAACAACAUUUCCACAAGCUCUGAUGCUACUCUACUAAAUCAUGAUGUGGACCAGGAGGAAAUGGAGAUACCGGAUAUCACAUGAGGAAACAACAGGCAAUCAAAAGAAAUGGAAUAACGUACCUGCAGCAUUUGUCACAGAAGAACUUAUCCUCGGCGUUCAAAGUUUCUGUUGAGCUGAAGUUUUUAAGACAGCUGGUGAUUGAACUAUUUUGUUCUAUAUCCAGGCUCAAGUCAAGAAAUGUUUCAUCUCUAUCAGUGACGGUUUCACAUCUCAGACAUUUUGUUUGAUUAGUCAAUAUUCCCUAAAGAAAUAAAAUACCAUGAGGCACAUCUCCCAGACUGCAAUAAGAGCAUGAUUCAUACAGAAACAAUAUAGGCAGAAAUGGAUGAAAACUCACCUGGAAGCAUUUGUGGACCCAUGUAGUCUCUGGUUCUUUAUGACUACCAUUGGGCUGACCAUUAAUAGGGCCAUUAGAACUCUUAUUUGAAGAUGAAUUUUGAGGAGUUUCUUUAUUGGCUUUACAUUCUUUCUCGAGAAUGUCAACUAGCUCAUUCAACAAAAAAUUCAGAAAUUCAUGAGCAUCCUGUAAAACACAAUAGUAUAGCAGUCAUGGUCAAUUGGGAUGAUUGAGAUGCCAUAACACGCUAGUAAAUGUGUCAUCAUCACGUAAUGUAUUACUUGAUGCAUAUAGCUGCGGAAAAGCUCAUUCUGUUUCUUCAGUCGUUGAAUAAAACGCUUUGGAGCAAUAACGCCUGUUUUCUUCUUCUGAUUGCUGAUCUGUGUGCACAGAGGAAGAUGACAAUUAUAUUUUGCAAUGUUGAUCCAGCAUAGCUACUAUUAUCAAAUCAUACAACUGAAACUAGUAAAAGGCCUCCACAUAAAGGGCACUACCCAAUGAACAUUGAUGUUCAGACUAAAAGAUAAACAACGAAGGCAAUUGACUAGCACCUAUGUAUCAUCUCACUACAGAGUUAAACACAAACAAACCCUGAAACCAUAGAGAUCAACCAAGACAGUAGCAAGUGCUAUCCUGUGAAUGUUCUCCAUUUAACAUGCAUUAUAGUUAUAAUCACUUCCAGGUUUAUCAAUUAAUUACAAAGGCUCCUGGGGUUGCUCCACAGUCCAAAUUCUUGAAUUUGACACUAGCAACACUCCAGGGGGGUUACUAGAUACUGCCAAAUGCAGAAUUCUUCAAGAAACACACGCAUUACACUACAGGCCACUGAUGAGGAACCCCUCAAUGAACCAGAGAAAAUCCCAUGUCAUUCAGGGGAUAUGCGAUAAAGUGCCAGUUCAGAUUUUAUGCUUACAUGUGAUUUCUGAUUUGUAUAUGACGCAGCAAAUGGAACUUAAGGAAACUGAGGCAGAGGAAACAAUUUCAACAAUAGAUAGCUGCAGUGGUACCUGAGAGAAGAGGUCAGCUAAGCAGGUUAACAUGUUCUCUUCGCCAUCGCUGGCGCUUUUAUUGUUAGCAUAGUACUCCAGUAAUUGCUCGCGGAAAGGAACACAGAAGUAAAGUGCCUGUAAUAGAAUCACAAAACAAUUUAGCCAAUCCCAUGAGGAAUAUAAAUCGAGAAAACAUAUUAUCCUCUCUCUCGCAACAAUGUUUCUGAUGAGAACACCUCCAUCCAUACAGGGCAAAACUCACACGCAGUCUAUGCAGAAGCGCUGAGCGCCCCCAAUCCCCCAUUGUCAAAAUUUUAACAUUAAAAAUGCAACCUCGCGGUUCAAAGUUCGAACACACAUAAUCGAAACAGGAACAACAUCUCAUCAUCCAUCAGGCCAACCCCAAGAGUGAGUUUCUCCAUGCAAGGGGCGCUGACUGGACUCUGAACCUCACUACUCGCUCCGCGGCCUGCGCUCACCCCGCACACAAAUCUACCCCGACAUCGCAAGAUCGAAUUCAAGGCUCCGCGAUCCGACGGAAAACCGCGCCCCUCCCGACGCGGGGGACGCAUUGAACAGGACGAAUCAAUCGCGCGCGCACCGCCCUUGGGGGCGAAGGAAACGAGGCGCCCGCGCGCACGCGACGAUCUCGGUUUUGGGGGCAGGGCGUCCGUACCUGGAGGACGCUGUUGCAGUAGCAGGUGUUGCCGAAGUUCUCGAGGCCGAAGUAUCGCUCGCCCUCGGGGAACUGCUCGCCCAGCGCCUUCUCCAGCCUCGAGCUCGCCGCGCCCAUCACCGCCCAACUCCCAUUUGCCCGCCCGCGCUGCACGGCGACGGAUCGGCCUCACCGCCGGCUCGUCUCGGCGAUGCGGUGCGGUGCGGUGCGACGCGGGCCAGUACCGACUUGGGGAUCGGUGGGCGGGGGGUUGGAGCAGGAGGAAGAAAUCGGACGGAUGGAUGGUUUGGAGGAAACGGGCGAAAUAAAAAGGCGUCCGCGUGACUGUGCGUGCCGCUGGGGUGGUAGUAGAGGAAGAACGGAAGGACUCGUCAAAUCGGUGCGGCCGCCUGCGCUGCGCUGGUGGAGGUGGACGCUGCCGGCCGGUCCGGUGCGAUAUCUGCGACCGACCGUGUCUAUCUUGAUUCGACGGUCUGGAUCGAUCCAGGAGCGUGGGAUCGGCCACUGCUGGCAGAGAAUGACAGGCUCCCCCCUUGCGCUGCAGAACGGACCGACCGCCACGCCGUUAAAAAUCCUUACGUGACGUUUUGUCUAACUUUCAGGAUUAUAUGUAUAUUCCCUUCUUCGUAAUGUAAGACAUUUUUUAACACUAGAGAAAGUACAAGACGUUUUAAAUCACCACUGACUGAACGGUGGAUUUCAUAACCUGCAGGCAUGAUGAAAAUUAAUGUUGAUGGAGCUUCUGAGCAUAGUGGCCACAAAGGAGCAGCGGCUGCAAUUUGUAGAGACCACACGGCAGCCUACCUUGGAUCCUUAACGGUAGUUUUCAAUAGUAUUGCCGAUCCUACUACACUUGAAACAUUUGCAUGUCAGGAAGCUCUGUCAGUUGCUGAAGAUCUUGGACUACGCAACAUUUGUGUUGCAUCAUAUUUCCAAGGUGUUAUCCAAGACGAUAUUCGGGGCUUGGACGGCCCUCAUGGAGCGAUCAUAGCGGAAAUAGGACGUUGCAGGACUUUAUUUCAGUCUUGUAAUUUCAUUAUUGAGUGUAGGAAGUUUAAUUUUGAAGCUCGCAAUCUUGCCAAAUAUGCUACCUCUAUAGAUAGUGGUCGUCAUAUUUGGUUCGGUCACCCCAUGAUCCGGCUAUUGUACCUAUGAACAUUGCUUUGAGUUAAUCAAGAUGGCGAGAUUUCCCCAAAAAACUAGCACAUCAUUUUUUUCCUCUCCGAAAGGGUCGAUAGCCAAUGGCGUGGGCUUGUGUCUCUUUUGUGCUCGGUCGUAGAUUUCUUCAGUUCAUUGAGAUAAAUCUCGGAAGACAUGAUUAGUAUUUUAUUUAUUUAUUUUGAUUUAAAGAGAAAACAGUAAGAUAAUAGCAAUGAACAAAUUAAACUAUAUGCAAGCAGGUAGGUAAUGACUAAGUGUUAGGCUCCCCGGCAAAGGGCCAGAAAAUACUUGAUGACCUGCAAAAGCACAAGCUGUUGUAGUACAGUCCUAUUUCCUUGAGCAUAAUUUUGGAAUUGGAUAAAUAGGGACUGAUUAUAGUAAGCGGGUAAAAAUCUUCCUUUCAAAAGACUUUUCAUUUACCGCCAAGUUCUCACACAAGGUUCUCCCCUUAGCCUGCGUUCUUCUUGAACACGAUGCCACCAUGCACCGGCUCCUCCUUCCAGCUUGUACGCGACCAAAGGAACUCUACAAUCUUUCGGAACCUCCAUGACCUCAAAGAAAGUCUCCAUUUCAUAUAACCAAUCAAUGCACCCUUCAAUAUCAAUAUUUACAUUAAAAGUGGGGAUCUCAACUUUCACCAUGUAUAUAUCCCUUACAUAUGUACGGUUUGGUACUCUCCGAUAUGCAUAGAGAUUAGGUUCUUCAAGGGCAUCAUCAUAUUCUUCACCUUCGGAAGUUUUAACAUAAAUUAGCCUUUUUGAAGUACAAUGAAUUGCAUGUUGUUGUGGUAGUCUUGCUCCAAGAUUACCUCCCCUUCUUCGUCGUUGAAUAUCAUCUUCUUCUUUAGAUGAAUAUUCUUCACUAGCAGCAGGAGAACACCCUUUAUCAUCAUCUCAAACAGCUAGUCAAAUCUCUGAUUAAGAUCUUCACACAGCUCUUUGAUUUGUCAUUCUGCAACAUCCAUCCUCUUCUCCAAUUGUUUCAUUGCUUGUUGUACCUCACUCUCAAAGAGAGCAACAAGAACUAGUAUGGAUCAACGGGGCUCUGAUACCACCUGAAGCAGCACAAGGUUGUGGAGGAACAACUUGUAGCGACCCGACCUCAAACGGUCAAGUCUCUGUGCCUCAGUGUCAUCCCUCGAUCAGUAAUACUGACACGCACAGUACUCGAAGGAUUUAUAACAGAGUAGCAAUCACACACUUAUUACAUCGAAUGUCUCAAAAGAGAACUUAUUACAAUAAUAUGGCUUAAGGCCAUCUAAUGCGAUAACAACGGAAGGCUUGGAAGAUAAAGUGAGUCCAUCAACUCUAAUGACAUAGCCGAGCUGCAUGGCAACGACCUAACGAACCUUACUCCUCGUCUGAAAAGUCUGCAACAUAAUACGUUGCAGCCCGAAAACGGGUCAGCACAUGUAAUAUGCUGGUAAUAUAACACAGUAGAGCAAGAACAGAAUAAUGCUAUCACUACAUGCAUAUUUGGCUGGUGGAAAGCUCUAUGGUUAUAGUUUUGCGAAAAGCAAAUUUUUCCCUACAACAAAGGAAUAAUUUUAUUUAACUAUCAUGGUGGUUGAAACAUUGAGAAGGUAUAACCCCAACUCAAUCCCAAAUUAAAGUAAUUAUCAACCAAACAAUAUUAAUUAUGAGUGAUGAGAUACAUGUGAUAACCCAAGUACUAGAUACUCAAGAUUGUCCAUAACCGGGGACACGGCUAACCACGAUUAGAUUGUACAUUCUGCAGAGGUUUGCGCACUUUUCCCCACAAGACUCGAUCGCUUCCGUUGGAUUUCUCGCACUGCACGGUGUUUGAGAAACGGAUGACCGAGACAUAGUCUUUCAGAAACAUUAACUCCCUACUCCGGGUAGACCAUACCAAACCUACAAAACCCACUACUUGCUGAUCUACCUCUUCAAGAGCUUCACGUAACUUACUCAACUAUGCUAGAGCCCAUAGUAGCUUGUUGCUGCACACGGAAGUUUCUAGCAUGAAUCAUCUCAGUUUCCUUUAAGCCUGGGUGGCGGUCCAUAGGAAGAUCACACAGAUACCCCAGGAUUUCCAAAAAAAAAUACAGACAACACUGGGUUCCCCAGGUGCCUCAAUCCACCCAGAUGUGUAUUAAAGUUGCCACCUUAAGUUGAACCAUUAAUUAAGAAUCUCACAUCUGUCAUGGAUACACUCAAACCCAAUCCACGUCUACGAGCAUAGCAUAGUAAUAUAAGCAUAACGUAGAAGUAACUCCCAAGGGUUUGAUAAUAAGCAGGGCAAUAGGUUCUACCUCAUCAACUACUUCCCAAUACCCUCAAGUUAAAGACAUCCUAAUCAUGCAUUGUUUGAGGAUUGAACUAAUGCAAUGAAAACUGGGUAUGAAAAGAGUAUGAUCAAUGUGUUACUUGCCUUACUGACGAUCCGUGAAUCUUAGAGACUCGUAGUAACACGCUUCGCACUCUGGGGAUUCUAUCACAAACAAACAAUAGCAUACAUAAGAAACUAGCAAAGAUGCACGAGCAAAACUUCAAAUAAAAGAGAUUGACCAGAAAGUUCAACUUAAGAACUCCGGUUUGCAAAAAAAUCAAAUCAAACGGAGCAACGAAACUCAAACGGCAAAAGAAACAAGAUCCGUUUACUAAUAUGGACUAAAGUCAAUUUUUAUAGUAUCAAAAUCUUGUUUAAGUUGAUUAAACAGAAAGAGGGUCUCGAGGCGAAACUCUAGGCGUUUGAAUCACCUGAUUCCGACUAACGAGCGAAAAGAUAAAUAGAAACUAAGAUCGGAUCAGAAAUCGUGACUGAAAAUAAUCGCAGAUAAAUCCGAUAAAAGAAAACUGACGAACAGGCUAACGAACGAGCGUUCGUUAUCUGUAACUAAUGGAAGAAAACCGUGCAUUUAAACGAACGUACGGAUGAACGUCCGCUAAUUAAAACAAUCGAGAAAACCGGCGAACCGAUCUAAAAAAAUGAACUAGGGCUUCUAAAAAAACCGAACGGUUUUAAAAAAAUGGCGGCUCGGAUCCGGCGCGGUACCUCCGGCGCGGUGGCUCCGGCGAGGCGGGGUUGGGCGGCGGGGCGGCGGGGCUCGGCGNNNNNNNNNNNNNNNNNNNNNNNNNNNNNNNNNNNNNNNNNNNNNNNNNNNNNNNNNNNNNNNNNNNNNNNNNNNNNNNNNNNNNNNNNNNNNNNNNNNNNNNNNNNNNNNNNNNNNNNNNNNNNNNNNNNNNNNNNNNNNNNNNNNNNNNNNNNNNNNNNNNNNNNNNNNNNNNNNNNNNNNNNNNNNNNNNNNNNNNNNNNNNNNNNNNNNNNNNNNNNNNNNNNNNNNNNNNNNNNNNNNNNNNNNNNNNNNNNNNNNNNNNNNNNNNNNNCGGCGGCUCGGGAGGCGACGGCUGCGGCUCAGUGGUGGUGGUGGUGGUGAUUUGGGGCGGCGGGGUGGCGGCUUAUAAAGAGGGGGGGCUUGGAGGAGGGGGCAUGGCGCGGCGGCGAGAGGAGUCCCUCGUCCGAGUCAGCGGUGGUGGCGCGGCUGCGGCUGCGCGGGGAGUUGGGCUGGCCCGGCUGGGUUUCGGCCCAGUCGAUGCCCGAAGUUUUUUUUUAAAAUAAUUUUGCCGACGGAAAUAAAAUCCUAGAAAAUAAAAUAAAAACCUAAAAAUGCCAAAACAAAUUUUCAUCGUCUUAAUAAAAUAUUUAGAACGAGAUGAACAUUUUCUUGGCCCUUAAAAUGCAAUCUUAAAAACGUGCAAUUUUUCUAAUGCAAAAAAAUCCAAAUAGACUCAAAUAAAAUCAAACAAAUGAUUCUAACAUUUUUCCUCCAAUAUUUCAAUUGUUUUGGAGAAGUCAUAUUAUCUCCUCUCAUGUAUUUUUAUAAGAAAUAUUUUUCGGAGAGAAAAAUAAUUAAAAUCAAAAUCCUCGUUUCACUAUUUGAUAGGAAUCAAAUAUGAAAACUGGUAAAUCCCCAACUCUCUCCGAGGGUCCUUGAGUUGCUUAGGAUUUCGAGGAUUGCGGAGCGGAAAUGCAAUAAAAUAUAAUAUGCAUGGAUGACCUAUGUAUAACAUUCCAAAUUGAAAAUUUGGGAUGUUACACAACUCCACCUCUUGCUGCUACAAUGUGUACAACACAAGUAUUGAAGGAACAACUUCAACGUUGCUAGAUAUCGCUCUAGAGGCGGAGAUAGGGUCAAUAAGGCAGCAUAAGUUCAAUCGAAUCCUAGAGCACAACAUCUAGUCCAAGAUCUUAUAUAAGAACACCAAGUUCUAUUAUAUGUAGUGGGGGGGGGGGUACAUAUUCUAGUUUAAAAACUAGAGGUGAGGAUCUCUAUUUAUAUGGCUUUGGGAAGUCUUCACAUCUCACUUCUACUUAUGACUAGAACACUCCCAAAAACAUUACUAAGAUUCACCAUUCUACUCAUAGCUAGAAGACUAGAAAAUAGUUGCUAGGGUUGAGAAAAGAAAAUAAAUACCGGACUACAAUAGAAGUAUCUAGAAGUAGCCAAACAAAUUUGACAUAUGAUUUUAUUUUUAUUUUUCUAAUAUAUUGUUCCUCAUCGGGCUCUUUGGCUUUCCACCUCUUCAACGGAGUUAUCAACUCCUCAUGAGUGUGAACUUCAUGAUACAUCCUCGUCCACAACUUGUAUGAUUAAUCUAUUUUUGUAUAUUUACUUCUUGUGCUUGCUAGCUAUCUUGUUUCUCUUGCUUAUCUAGUACAUUAGAUUGCUUUCCAUUGAGGUUGUUCUCACUACAAUUGCAUAUCUAGAGAGCUCACUUUAUAUACAUUACCCCUAAAAUAGGAAGUUAUGCUAACAAUUUGUAGUCCUGUAUGACACUCCACCCCUCUAAUCGACCUCUUCGAUCCUUUCACUUGUCUAAAACAAGAUGAAGUCAUCCGUAUAACUUGAUGGAUGCCAACCUAGAACAAAGUGUUGUCUCGCUCCUCAAGAGCAUCUCCAACAACUGCACUAAAAUAGGGCAUUGAAGAAGUAGUUUAGAUCACCAAAACAUAGAAACUAAGCUACAUCAUUGCAAAUUUGAUCCAAACAUGCAAACCUGAACAUAGUUCGAGUACAAAGCAUGCAAACUAACAUAGUUAGAGUACGAAAUGCAAACUUAAACUACUACUACUACUAAAAACAACAACAACAACAACAACAACAACAACAACAACAACAACAACAACAACAACAACACAACUAAUCGUCACUAAGAUCGCUCUAGUCAAUGCCGUCGUCAUCAUCCCCUACAUCGACCUUGUUAGAAAGCUUUAGGAACUCCUCUUCCUCCAUCCUGAUCCUAGAGAAGUGAUACGUCUCCAACGUAUCUAUAAUUUUGAUUGUUUCAUGCUAUUAUAUUAUCAAUCUGGGUUGCCUUAUAUGCUUUUAUAUGCAAUUUUAUAUUAUUUUUGGGAACAACCUAUUAACUCAGUGCCCAGUGCUAGUUCCUGAUUUCUGCAUGUUUUUCUGCUUUUCAGGAAAUCAAUACCAAACGAAGUCCAAACAUGACAAAACUUUAUGGUGAUUUUUUGGAUGAGAAUGGACCCUAGAAGCUUCGGGGGGAGGUUAGAAUAGAUAUAAGAGAGCCACAAGCUGCGCGCACCUCCUGAGCUUGUGGGCCCCAUGUAGCUCUGUUUGACCUAAAUCCAAGCCUAUAAAUUCCCAUAAAUCCUUAAACCAACAGAGAGCCACCCGAAACAAUUAUUCCACCGCUGCAAGCUUCCGUUCUUCCGCGAUCCCAUCUGGAGGCCUUUUCCGGUACCCUGACGGAGGGGGAAUCGAUCAUGGAUGGCUUCUACAUCAUCCUUGCCGCCUUUCGGGGAUGUGUGAGUAGUUUACCACAGACCAACGGGUCCAUAACUAGUAGCUAGAUGACUUCUUCUCUCCUUUUGAUUUUCUAUACAAUGUUCUCCUUAAUCUUCAUGGAGAUUGAUUCGACGUAAUCUUCUUUUGUGGUGUGUUUGUUGGUAUAUGAUGAAUUGUUGGUUUAUGGUUAGAUUAUCCAUUGAAAGUAAUUGAGUCUUUUGUAAACUUUAUUAUGAAUGAUUGUUAUAGCUUUGUAUUUCUCUCCGAUCUAUCUGUUUGGUUUGGCUAACUAGAUUGAUUUAUCUUUAGUGGGAGAGUGAUACAUCCCAAACGUAUCUACUUUUCCAAACACUUUUUCUCUUGUUUUGGACUCUAAUUUGCAUGAUUGAAUGGAACUAACCCAGACUGGCGAUCUUUUCAGCAGAAUUGUCAUGGUGUUGUUUUCGUGCAGAAAAAUAGUUCUCAGAUUGAGCUGAAAAUUUAUGAAGAAUUAUUUCAAAAUAUAUAGAAAAUAUUGGCGAAGAAAAUUACCAGAGGGGGGACACCAGGGCGCCACAAGCCCAGGGGGAGCGCCCACCCCUGGCGGCGCGCUUGGCAGGCCUGUGGGCCCCUGGCAGCUCCCACAACCCUAACUCCAACUCCAUAACUACCUAUUCGUUAAUAAAAAAAAUCAGAGAGUAGGAAUCAUCAUGUUUUACGAUACAGAGCUGCCGCCACCUCCUGUUCUUCAUUGGGAGGGCUGAUCUGGAGUCCCUUCGAGGCUCCGGAGAGGAGGAUUCGACGAUGUCAUCAUCAUCAACCAUCCUCCAUCACUAAUUUCAUGAUGCUCACCAUCAGGAGUGAGCAAUUCCUUCGUAGGCUUGUUGAACGAUGAUGGGUUGGAUGAGAUUUAUCAUGUAAUCAAGUUAGUUUGUUAGGGCUUGAUCCCUAGUAUCCACUAUGUUCUGAGAUUGAUGUUGCUAUGACUUUGCUAUGCUUAAUGCUUGUCACUAGGGCCCGAGUGCCAUGAUUUCAAAUCUGAAUCCUUUAUUAUUUCACGAAUAUAUUUUGUCGGUCCAGUGGGAACCGGGGUACUGCAGGCCACCUGCCUACGGCCUAGAAAAGGCCGCUUGGCCCCAAUCAUAAGGCAGCCCACCAACGGGCGCCACGAGUUGACAGUCUCAUGAGGACCCUGCCUCGGGAGGGGCUGUCUUCCACGAAGGACUUCACCGAUUCCACCACCACUACAGGCGGCCUCGCGAGCCCCCCCUCGCGAGGUUCCCUCUCUCUCGAGGCCUCCCAAGGAGCCAUGUAGGGUGGGUACCGCAUGUCAUGCAGGGCAGGUGCAGCAGCGGAGAGAUUCCUCUUGGGAGUGAUGGCGAUGGCGGAGGUCGGGAGUACAUGAAGCAGAGGAGCAGUGCCUAAGAAGGCGGAGCAACAAUGUGCCCGCGCCCCAUGCAGGCAGGCUUUAUGGUUAAGACAACAGUUACUGAGGCGUUGUGGGGAGUGGGGGCGUCCCCGUCCCGUCGAAAUGCCACGUGUCUUCCUGGGCCCGGUAGCCUUAGGCCCUGUGUCGUUUCGCCCCUCCCCAGCCAGCGGAACAUGCGCGCCGCAGGCCCGGGGGAUACUAUCGGCCCAGUGGGAACCGGGUUACAGCAAGACACCUGCCUACGACACAAAAAAGGCUACUUGGCCCAAAUCAUAAGGCAGCCCACCAACAGGCGCCAUGAGCCGACAGCCUCCCAAGGAACCUGCUACUUGUGAAAUGUGUUGGGAUUUUAUGUAGGACAAUAGACAUAAUAUUUCCCUCAGUUAAGGACCAAGGUUAUCAAUCCAGUAGGAGAACCAAGCAGCACCUUGUUAGCAGCACCUACACAAAACAACAAAUCCUUGCAACCCAAAGCGAACAAGGGGUUGUCAAUUCUUGAUGGUUAUGAGCAAGAUUAAAUUGUAUGGUAUUUGGUAUAUAGGUCAAAAAAAUAUAAAAUAAAAUAAAUAAAGUAAAAAAGCAGCAAGGUAUUUUGGUUUUAAUAUAUGAUACAAGAUAGACCCGAGGUCAUAGUUUUCACUAGAGGCUUCUCUCGAGAAAAUAGCAUACGAUUGGUAGACAAAUUACUGUUGGGCAAUUUAUAAAAAGGCAAAUAAUUAUGAAGAUAUCCAAGGCAAUGAUCAUACAUAGGCAUCACAUCUGAGACAAGUAGACCGAAAUGAUUCUGCAUGUACUACUAUUACUCCACACAGCGACCGCUAUCAUGCAUGCACCUAGAGUAUUAAGUUCAUAAAUAAUGGAGUAACGCCUUAAGCAAGAUGACAUGAUGUAGGCAAGAUAAACUCACGUAUGAAUAAACCCCAUCUUUUUACCCUUAAUAGCAACUAUACAUAUGUGUCAUCUCCCCUUCUGUCACUAGGAUUGGGUACCGUAAGAUCGUACCCAUUACAAAGCACCACUUCCCAUGGCAAUCUAAAUCAACCUAGUUGGCCAAACCAAACCAAUAAAUCGGAGAAGAAAUACAGAGCUAUAUUAAUCAUGCAUAAAAGAGUUCAGAGAAAACUCAAAUAAUAUUCAUGGAUAGUGAUGUGGUCACCUAUUACAGAGGGGUCAAGGACCCAUCAUUUGGGACCCACAUGGGGCCCAUCACCAUCAUAGAUAGGUCCCCAGACCAUGCCAGCAUUCGGAUGUGUACACCAGGAGGAUCACUCGGAUGACCUCACAACACUCGAAUGACCACACAUCACUCGGUGGACAAUCAACCACUCGGAUGUACAUCGCAAGAAGCCAUCGUGGGGGCUACAACGGUCGAGGGAUCCUAAGUCGUCCACUAAAUAGAGUUAUAACUACCGUUACAUGUUAACUGUUGUAGUAUAGGCUCAUUACACUAGUAACUGCCUCAUUCAAUGUCAUUAAUUACCCCGGUGGUGUGGGAGAUAUGGCGCUAUGUCGCACUCUAUAUAAGCCACACCCCUCUCCAUAGCCGGGCACGUUCAACUUUGUAAUCAUAUCCAUCAAAUCAAAGCAAGACUCAGGGCAAGAGACAUAGGGAUUUUACCUCCAUCGAGUGAGGGGCCUGAACUCGUUAAACACCGUGUGUUACACCUACAUCGUAGCUAGUCUUUUCCCCCUUAUUCAUACCCUAGUACUCAUUGUCAGGAUCAUAACCCCGACAGUUGGUGCCCACCGUGGGGCUAGGCGUCUAGCAAAUUUUCAUGGUGUAGGUGAAUUUCUUCUUCAUCAUCAUCAUGUCAGCCGGCGGUGAAAUUCGCCUCGGGAAGAUCUCCUUCAUCACCGACAACUCAGUGUGGCUACGCGAGGCCCCGCUGGACGUGGAGGCGUUGCCCAUCCGUGGCGCAAUGCACUUCCUAGCUUCUUCCUACGGAGUCCUUCUCCGACAGCCCUCGACUCCAUACCAAGUGGUCACUCAUCCCACCAUUAUGCGUCAUCGCAAGCACUCCGAGCGUUCGCGGCUGCAGCGCUGGAUCAAGCACGUUGUCGCCACUCAUGCAGCAACGGAACAAGUGGCGGCUAUCGAGUUCAACGAGCCCACUCUCGACCUCUUGAAUGGAUCACUCGACGAUUCCUCAGAGGAGUCCGAGUCCGAGAGCGUCGAGUCGACCACCGAGAUCCUUAUGGCGAAUAACUCCGAGCACCAUGUGCCCCUGGGCUACGCGGAGCCCAAAGACGAUCACGUGGGUGCAUCCCACAUCAACACCAACGACGACUUCCCAGGAACGAGCCGUAUGUGCCUCAAGCUCUCACUCGAGAGCAGCGAGAUGAGCUCCGUCGUCGGAAUGACCAGCUCCUGAAUACUCCCAUCACCGGAACGACUCCCAAGGCUUUAGCCAUGGAGUCGACUCGCCUAGCUACUUUGUCCGAGCGCGAUUGCCUCGAACGGCUUCAAAGGGAGCUGGAUGAACGCAAACACCGUCAACCCAGCUCCAGUCGGCAUAAGUGUUGGCUCUACUCGAGUGACCAGACUCAUAAGUAUCAAGUUCUUAGUACUCCAUUGCAAAAUCAAGCGGUCGCCACUUGGAUCACAAAUUCCAUUUAGCCCUCUAGCUCUUCAGCCGGACAAGGGAUUCGUCAGAACCAGGUGCUCCUCAAGACAGCAUUGUCACAAAAAGCAAUGGUGUCCCAGUCCAGAGACCGGAUCCAUAGCGCAUCUGUGCGUGUAGAGACCGUCUAGUCAGCUCACAACCCACUCGGCUCAGGCAGGUGCCGAGCCACUUUGAAAGUGCAACUAUCCCUAGGUGGUUUUGGUAAUUCAUAACAACAUAUAGCUCACUGAGCUAAUGCUAUUCCAAGACUAUUAUUUCAGGAAAGGUCAAUGAAUGGCAUGGCAUGGAUGAUGAAAGUGGAUCCCUCAAAAUACUAAGGACAAAGGAUUGGCUCAAGCUCAAAGGCUCAAGACUCUUUAUUUUAUAUUUUAGUGAUCCAAGAUCACAUUGAGUCUAUAGGAAAAGCCAAUACUAUCAAGGAGGGAUGAGGUGUUGCUUAAUGAGCCUCUUGCUUCAUGUGCUCUGUGAUAUGCUCCAAAACCCUCAGCUACUUUACCACAUCCACAAAUGACCUAAACCCAAAGCCAAAAUCGGUCACACCGAUUCUUCCAAUCCGGCGCCACCGAUUCCAAAAGUCAUAGCCACUGCCACAAACCCUAAGCAAAUCGGUCUCACCGAUAGGGAUCUCGGUCUCACCGAGAUGGGAUUUAAUCUCUCUGUUUCCCUUCGUAAUGUUUCGGUCUAACCGAAGUGAGCGAUUGGUCCCACCAAGAUUGGAAUGUAAACUCUCUGUUUCCCUUUUGUAAUAUUUCGGUCUCACCGAAAAGAGCAAAUCGGUCCCACCGAGUUUACCUGACCAACUCUCUGGAAAGCUUAUUACCAAAAUCGGUCUUACCGAGUUUGUGUAAUCGGUCUUACCGAGAUUACGUUAUGCCCUAACCCUAACCGAAUUGGUCUUACCGAGUUGCAUGUCAGUCCCACCGAAAAUCACUAACGGUCACUAGGUUUACUAAAUCGGUCCGAACGAGUCUGUUGAAUCGGUCCCACCGAGUUUGGUAAAUUGUGUGUAACGGUUAGAUUUUGUGUGGAGGCUAUAUAUACCCCUCCACCUCCUCUUCAUUCAUGGAGAGAGCCAUCAAACUAAACCUACACUUCCAACUUACCAUUUCUCAGAGAGAACCACCUACUCAUGUGUUGAGGCCAAGAUAUUCCAUUCCUACCAUAUGAAUCUUGAUCUCUAGCCUUCCCAAGUUGCUUUCCACUCAAAUCCUCUUUCCACCAGAUCCAAAUCCUAUGAGAGAGAGUUGAGUGUUGGGGAGACUAUCAUCUGAAGCACAAGAGCAAGGAGUUCAUCAUCGACGCACCAUUUGUUACUUCUUGGAGAGUGGUGUCUCCUAGAUUGGCUAGGUGUCACUUGGGAGCCUCUGACAAGAUUAUGGAGUUGAACCAAGGAGUUUGUAGGGCAAGGAGACCGCCUACUUCGUGAAGAUCUACCGCUAGUGAGGCAAGUCCUUCGUGGGCGACGACCAUGGUGGGAUAGACAAGGUUGCUUCUUCGUGGACCCUUCAUGGGUGGAGCCCUUCGUGGACUCGCGCAACCGUUACCCUUCGUGGGUUGAAGUCUCCAUCAACGUGGAUGUACGAUAGCACCACCUAUCGGAACCACGCCAAAAACAUGUGUGUCUCCAAUUGCGUUUGAAUCCUCCAAACCCUUCCCUUUACUUUCUUGCAAGUUGGAUGCUUUAAUUUCCACUGCCUAUAUACUCUUGGCAUGCUUGCUUGAAUUGUGUGAUGAUUGCUUGACUUGUCCUAAGAUAGCUAAAAUCUGCCAAACUCUAAAAUUGGGAAAAGGUUAAGUUUUUAAUUGGUCAAGUAGUCUAAUCACCCCUCUAGACAUACUUCAAGGUCCUAAAAGUGGUAUCAGAGUUGUUUUCUCCAUUUGCUUUGAUUUCCAUAGCUUUUGGUGGUCAUAGCCUUGGUUUCACAACCUAGGAGAGUAUGGCGUCUAGCGAGGGAAAUUAUCACCGUAGAGGUCCUUACUUUGAUGGUACUAAUUUUGCUAGUUGGAAGCAUAAGAUGAAAAUGCAUAUUCUCGGACAUAACCCCGCCGUUUGGGAAAUUAUUUGUAUUGGCUUGCAAGGUGAAUUCUUUGAUGGGAGAGAACCGAACCGUGAAGCGAAUGCGGAAGAAUUGAAGAUGCUGCAAUACAACGCUCAACCUUGUGAUAUCAUCUUCAACAGAUUGUGCCCCGAAGAAUUCAACAAAAUCAGCCGUCUUGAGAAUGCAAAGGAAAUUUGGGAUACUUUGAUUGAUAUGCACGAAUGUACGAAUCCGUCAAGGAAUCCAAGUUGGAUGUGCUCCAAAGUCAGCUUGACAAGUUCAAAAUGAAGGAUGGUGAAGGUGUCGCUGAAAUGUACUCUAGGCUUGCACUUAUCACAAAUGAGAUUGCCGGCUUAGGGAGUGAAGAGAUGACCGACAGAUUCAUCAUCAAGAAGAUCCUAAGAGCAUUGGAUGGAAAGUAUGAUACCGUGUGCACAUUGAUCCAAAUGAUGCCAAACUACAAAAAUCUCAAGCCAACGGAAGUCAUUGGAAGAAUUGUUGCUCAUGAGAUGUCACUCAAGGAUAAGGAGGAACUUCACAACAAGUCAAGUGGUGCUUACAAAGCCUCAAUUGAAGCCCCCACAUCAUCAAGUGAGAAACAAACCUUCAAUGAAGAAUUGAGCUUAAUGGUGAAGAACUUCAACAAAUUCUACAAUAGUAGAAGCAAAGAAAGAAGCUCCAAGUCAAGGUCUUAUCAUGACAAAAGAUCUUCUAGUCGAGAGCGCAAUUGCUACAAUUGUGGGAGGCCUGGACACUAAUCCAAUGAGUGUACGACACCCUACAAAAGAAGAGAAGAUUCUCCAAAAAGAAGAAGCAAAAGAGAAGAAUCACCACCAAGAGAGAGGAGGAGUAGAGAUGAUCGUUAUGAACGAAGACCCUCACGGAAAAGCAAGGAUUCGGAAAGGAAGGACAAGUCAUCAAGGAGCUACACAAAACAAAGACAUCAAGCUCAUGUUGGUGAAUGGGUAUCCGGCUCCGACUCCGACAAUCACUCCGAGAGAAGCUAUCACUCCGACUCCAAACAUACUCAAGAUGAAGGUGUUGCCGGUCUAGCACUUGUGUCAACCAACUCCUACGACAUAUUUGAUUCACCAAAUGAAGGAAUUGGAAGAUGCUUCAUGGCCAAAGGUCCAAAGGUAACACAUCCUGAGUAUGUUGAUUUCAAUAGUGAUGAAGAUGACUUGCUUGUGGAUGAUGAUUUACUUGUUGACAACUCUAGUGAUGAAUACUAUGAUGAAACGCCAAUUAAUCAUGCUAAUCAAACAAAUGACAAUGAUAAGGAGAAAAUUGAGCUUCUAACUAAAGAACUAAACACUCUAAAGUUGGCUCAUGAAACUAUCUUCGAAGAUCAUCGAGAACUUUUAAGGGCUCAUGAGAAGUUACGCUUUGAAAAGCUCAAUCUUGAGCAAGAGCAUGAGUUCUUAAAGGCAAUCAAUGAUGAUCUCCGUAAGAAAAGUUCUUCUUACAUUGCCAAGCGUUUACUCUUAUGUACUUACAUGCCUCAAGUCAAGUCUGGUAACAAGUACAAGAAAGAUACUUCCUCUAGUAGUAACAAUAAUAAUGUUAAAUCCAAUAUUGUUGCUUCUAGUAGUUCUCUUUAUUCCACUAAUGAUUCUCUUAGCCAAGUUACACUUGAGCAAGAAAAUAGCUUAUUGAAUGGAAUUAAAGAGAAAGGUGUUUACAAGAGCCUUGCAUGGAGUAAGCAAUUCGAGGAAAUUGUACGCAAGCAAGGAAGACACCGGAAGAAUCAAGGUGUUGCUUUUGAACGAAAGUUCAAUGCCAAUGGAGUUGAGUGGGAAGAAGAUCAAUACCCCAAGACAAAGUUUGUUCCUCAACAAGAGAAGUAUGAUCCUACUUCCUUCAAGGGAACGCAAGCUCAAGAUGAUCUUCCUCCACAAGACCACAAGAACAAAGGCAAGGAUAAGCUUCAAGAAGAGAUUGAUGCAUUUGAAGAAGCACCUAAGGUCUCUGUCAAGUGGAUUCCCAAGACCACGUCAAGUUCUACUUCAUCAAGUACACCUACAACUCCAAGGAUUCCCAUCAAGAUGAUGUGGAUCCCGAAGAAGAAGAAGAACUAGAGCGUUCUUGAGGGUGACUCCGCCAACAUUCUUCACUCAUAUCUUUAUGGCAAGGACAAGUGCAAUCAACUUCCACAUCUUGCACUAGUUCAAGGAGUCACAAACCCUCAUGUUGGUAAGGCAAGGGACAAGGUAACCUAAUGGUUUCAUGGACAUAAUCUUGUGUGUGCAUCACUCUAUGUCUAUGGAUAUUCUUGUUAUUUCCUUGUGGGACUAACCCAUGUAGGUAAGUUGAAAGUGCGACUCACUCCAAAGGAUUGCUCCAAAUGAUCUACUUCAACAUUGAGCAUCCACAUCUUCAACACCUACAUGAAGUCAUCAUCGACAAAACCCAAGGUUAGUUCAUCCCUCUAAAGGGGGGAUCUCACAUCUAGGGGGAGCUUAACUCAAAAAUUGAGUCAAAGCAACUCUAAUGGUGUGAACACAUCAAUGCAUUAUGUAAAAGUGGUAACCCCACUUGAGCUUAAACGAUGAGUAUGACCUAUGAUCAAAUGUUCUCAUUUGACUCCUAAGUCAAUAUACUCAUAUAUAGAUGACCUAGUCAUCGCCAAUUGUUUGAUAGAUGCUAGAAUUGGUUGUGCAUGCUUUGCCACAUAUUUCAUUUGCCAUUUCAUUGUGUGAGCAUGUUGGUGCAUAUUUUACUCAUUCAAGGACAUCCACUUGUUGUUUUGAUUGUUUGGUUCAGUCUUCUUUUGGCCAAGUGGAUGGACAAGAAUGCCUAAGAACCCUCUCUAGCUAUCUAUGCUUUUCUCGUCUCAAACUCUAUUCAUGCUACAUCACAAAAUUUGAUCAAGUCAGAUUCGAACCACUCUGUGUGAGGAGCACUCGGAGUCCCCGAUUCGUCAUAGACUUAAACUUCCAAAACCUCUUUGUGAUUCUCGGUCUGACCGAUUCCUCCAUUUUGGUCCUACCGAGAUCAUUAAGUUGAUCUGAGUUUUCAAUCUCGGUGCAACCGGUUUGAACUUUUCGGUCACACCGAGUUGCUGUAACUGAACACAGUUAUGCAUCUCGGUGCCACCGAGUUGUUCCACUCGGUCACACCGAUAGGGUCGGGCUAUAUAUAGACACGGGCAAAAUUUUGGAAAUUUCUCCGAACCUCUUCGCCCGCGCAAUAGCUCGCUCUGCCAUCGAAGGUCUCCGGAUCGUCUCCUCAUCGCCAGCCGCCUCCUGUCGCUGGUCUCCGCCACCGUCAACAGAAUUCAACCCCACCGUUGCCGCCGUAGCGUGUUCAUCGCCGCACUAGGGUAUGGACUCGAUCUUUGUGCUAUCCACAUCUGAUUCCUAGCACAUUGUACUCUUAUUGAUUCUUGCCACGAUUGAAACAAUCCUAUCCAGCCAAAGUAGUCCGUAGAGUAGAUUAGAUUCAAAUUUUUAGGGUUAGGUUUCCGCCGAAACCAUCUCGGACCCACCGAGUUGAAAAACUCGGUCUCACCGAUUUGGCAUAUGCCAUUGCACUAGUGACUCUCGGUCUGACCGAGAAUUACUAAUCGGUGCGACCGAUUUUAGGAUUCUGUGAAACCCUAGCAGUCUCGGUGCCACCGAACUAUGACUCGGUCCAACCGAGUUCAUUAGUUUAGGUUCCAAAAACUGCUUCGGUAGCACCGAGUUUGAAAAUCGGUUGAUCCGAAAUGCUUUCUGUGGAAAACUAAAACUGAAUUUUUGAAUCAUUCUUUUGAAAAAUCUCUGCAUUUGUGAUGCUCAUCCACUCUAUCUCAUCUAUAACUCUUCACAGGGUCAGCAGUCAGCUUUUGCAGCAUGUCAGACCAGAGUGACAGUCAGAACAGGUCAGCAGAGCAGAUUCACUUGAGUGAGGGCACUAGUCCCUCCAGCACUUCAGAUGAAGGAAGCAGAAGCACUCCUAGCAACCUACCUAAGGCUGCUACCAGGCAAAGGAGAAAGAGAACCUCAGACUUAGAAUAUGAGGACUACAAAGCCGAGGAAGAUGAGGCUACUUCCAAGAAAGUGGUGCUCAAGAAGGAAUAUGGCUCAGCAAAGGAUAUAAAGCCAGGCAUGAAGAUUAAAAGGCCUACAGGAAGACAACCAAUGUCCAAGGCCAGAGCAUCAACUCAACUACCUGAAAGUCCUGAUCCCAAAGAGCCAGCUGCUGAAAGCAAGAAGAGGAAGGAAAGGGUCAAGAAGACCAUGGCCAGAGUUGUUGGUCAACCUUCCAUGAUGGAAGAGGAAGAGCUUACUGCACCAGCACCAAAGGCACCAAAGCUUAUGGGUGAUGCUAUUAAAUCUGGGGCUGCAACAUCUAAGCCCAAGGAAGCACCCAAAGCUGCCCCCAAGGCCAAGUAUGCACCAAAGAGGAAUACCAGGAGUAUUCCAGCUGCUGAGAAGAACAAGGCCCCAGUGCCUGAGGUUGCUGAGGAGGAAGAAGAAGAAGGACAGGUUCUAAGGAAGCUCAAGCCUAAGAUACCAGAUCACAAUGAUGCCCAUCCUGUGGCUGAGGACAUGAACAUCAGAAAAGACUCAGGAUUGAGGCUAUGGAGGAUGGCAGAUCCAUAUGCCACAAGGAGAAGAACUACUGUUGAUUACAGGUUCCAUACAAAGAAACAACAGGACUUCUAUGAGACAAUCUUAUUGGACAAGAAGCCCAUAGUUUGUGAUAUGAGGUGGGUCAAAUGGACCUACAUGAAGGAGAAUGAAGAGCACUAUCCUGGAGUGCAAGACAGCUUUGUUGCUUGUGGAGUUGCAGAUUUCGUUGGGCAAAAGCUCACAAACUGGAAUGAUGAACUUAUCAUGCAAUUCUACUCCAUAGCACAUUUUUACCCAGAUGGAAGAAUUGUUUGGAUGUCUGAAGGUACAAGGUACCAAUCCACUGUUGAAGAAUGGGCAAAACUGAUAAAUGCCCCAAAGGAAAAUGAUGAUGAUCUGGAUGUAUAUGCCAAGAAGAAAAUGGGACACAAUACCAUGGCACACAUGUACAAGGAGAUCCCAGACAAAGCCCUAGAGACUUUCUCUUUUGGAUUAGUCCAUUUUCUGUUGUCAGGGUUGCCUACUAUCAAUUGGAUUCUGAGGCACACUCUGUUGCCCAAGUCUGGUGACCACAACAUGAUCAGAGGGCAUGCCAUCAAUAUUUUGCAUUUAUUUGAUGUGCCACAGAAAUUCAAAGUCAUGAGCCUUAUAGUUGAAACCAUUAAGAGGACUACAGCAGAUCAUAAGAGGAUUUGUGGUUAUGCACCUCAGAUUCAGGAAUUAAUCAACUCAAAGAUGGGAACUGGCAAAUAUCUAUUGGAUAGGGAACAUUUUCCACUCUAUCCAGACUUUGAAGACAAUGAGGUUGUCAUGAAUGAGGAUGAUCCAUCAUCAGUUCAAGCUCAAGAGAAGAAGGAGAAGGCAAGGAAGGAGAAGGCUGCCAAGAUGCCAACUCAAGAGGAGGCAUCUGAGUAUUUCUUGAAAAACAAGCAGGAGCAGCUUGGUUACUUGAUAGCAUCAUCACUGAGGAUUGAGAAGGGGUUGGCCACCUUAACUCAAAACCAGGAGAGCUUGGAAAGAAUCAUGGAACAAAAAUUCUAUGAUCUAGAUGUCAAAGUAACUGAGAUUCAGUCAGUUGUGGAGCAACUGCAAGAUGACAUGCAGGAGAGGAAAGGCAAGACAACCACAAAUGUCUUUGCCAGAGUGCCUAGAGCUCAGAGGUCAGCUGCUGUGCCAGUGCCAGACACAAGAGCAACAUCUUCAUCACCAGCUACUGCCCCUUCAGCUCCAGUGCAACCAGCUUCAACAUCAACUCUAGCACCCUCUACAUCAACUGAAGCCUUCAUCCUUGGAGUUAUCCGGACACCACCAACUGAAGAUCAAGCCUGAGAGUCGAUCUAGCACUAUGCAUUUUCUAUGAACUUUUUGGUAACUUGUUGCCAAAGGGGGAGAAAAUAUAUAGAUCAUAGGCUUCGAGAGAGAGAGAGAGUGUUGCUUUUGUUCUCUCUUGCUUGGUUGGUUUAGACUUGUUUGCUUUUUGAUUGGUUGAGAUACUAUGCUUGUGAGACAUUGAUGAUCAUGUGUUUGAUCAUAAGCUACACUUAUGCAUGUUUGAUGAUACUAUCCUAUCUAUCUUAUGUGAUCAUUCACUUUGCUUGGUGAUGAGUGCAUGUAUUCAAUACUUAUCAUUUUGAGUGCUCCACCAAGAUGUAUGUGACAUGGAAGAGUAACCCAUGAGCCUAAUUCCUUGUGCAUUUGCAGUCCAAAGCAAAUUUUAAACUAUGCACAAAUUUAGGGGGAGCUCUUGCUUAUCACAUACUUCUCAAAGCGACGAUGUUUUUAUUCUUAUUAUCUUUUGUCGAAGCUUUGAUCUAUAUGUUGUCAUCAAUUACCAAAAAGGGGGAGAUUGAAAGUGCAACUAUCCCUAGGUGGUUUUGGUAAUUCAUAACAACAUAUAGCUCAUUGAGCUAAUGCUAUUCCAAGACUAUUAUUUCAGGAAAGCUCAAUGAAUGGCAUGGCAUGGAUGAUGAAAGUGGAUCCCUCAAAAUACUAAGGACAAAGGAUUGGCUCAAGCUCAAAGGCUCAAGACUCUUUAUUUUAUAUUUUAGUGAUCCAAGAUCACAUUGAGUCUAUAGGAAAAGCCAAUACUAUCAAGGAGGGAUGAGGUGUUGCUUAAUGAGCCUCUUGCUUCAUGUGCUUUGUGAUAUGCUUCAAAACCCUCAGCUACUUUCCCACAUCCACAAAUGACCUAAACCCAAAGCCAAAAUCGGUCACACCGAUUCUUCCAAUCCGGCGCCACCAAUUCCAAAAGUCAUAGCCACUGCCACAAACCCUAAGCAAAUUGGUCUCACUGAUAGGGAUCUCGGUCUCACCGAGAUGGGAUUGUAAUCUCUCUGUUUCCCUUCGUAACGUUUUAGUCUAACCGAAGUGAGCGAUUGGUCCCACCGAGAUUGCAAUGUAGACUCUCUGUUUCCCUUUUGUAACAUUUUGGGUCUCACCGAAAAGAGCAAAUCGGUCCCACCGAGUUUACCUGACCAACUCUCUGGAAAGCUUAUUACCAAAAUCGGUCUUACUGAGUUUGUGUAAUCGGUCUUACCGCGAUUACGUUAUGCCCUAUCCCUAACCUUAUCGGUCUCACCGAGUUGCAUGUCAGUCCCAUCGAAAAUCACUAACGGUCACUAGGUUUACUAAAUCGGUCCGACCGAGUCUGUUGAAUCGGUCCCACCGAGUUUGGUAAAUUGUGUGUAACGGUUAGAUUUUGUGUGGAGGCUAUAUAUACCCCUCCACCUCCUCUUCAUUCAUGGAGAGAGCCAUCAGACUAAACCUACACUUCCAACUUACCAUUUCUGAGAGAGAACCACCUACUCAUGUGUUGAGGACAAGAUAUUCCAUUCCUACCAUAUGAAUCUUGAUCUCUAGCCUUCCCAAGUUGCUUUCCACUCAAAUCCUCUUUCCACCAGAUCCAAAUCCUAUGAGAGAGAGUUGAGUGUUGGGGAGACUAUCAUUUGAAGCACAAGAGCAAGGAGUUCAUCAUCAACGCACCAUUUGUUACUUCUUGGAGAGUGGUGUCUCCUAGAUUGGCUAGGUGUCACUUGGGAGCCUCCGACAAGAUUGUGGAGUUGAACCAAGGAGUUUGUAAGGGCAAGGAGAUCGCCUACUUCGUGAAGAUCUACCGCUAGUGAGGCAAGUCCUUCGUGGGCGAUGGCCAUGGUGGGAUAGACAAGGUUGCUUCUUUGUGGACCCUUCGUGGGUGGAGCCCUCCGUGGACUCGCGCAACCGUUACCCUUCAUGGGUUGAAGUCUCCAUCAAUGUGGAUGUACGAUAGCACCACCUAUCGGAACCACGCCAAAAACAUCCGUGUCUCCAAUUGCGUUUGAAUCCUCCAAACCCUUCCCUUUACUUUCUUGCAAGUUGCAUGCUUUAAUUUCCGCUGCCUAUAUACUCUUUGCAUGCUUGCUUGACUUGUCCUAAGAUAGCUAAAAUCUGCCAAACUCUAAAAUUGGGAAAAGGUUAAGUUUUUAAUUGGUCAAGUAGUCUAAUCACCCCCCUUCUAGACAUACUUCAAGGUCCUACACACUUCUUCCUCUAGAGAUCACUAUGAAGAUCAAAGAUGCGACCGAGUUGCAUCGCCCCAGCGUAACGGCGACUAUGAUCGUGCCCUGAUGCCUCCUCCUCGAGAUGUCGCGUACGAGCGCCAGCCCUACGACGACAGAUGGACUCACGGUGGUGACCGCAUGCCGACUCCUACUCGUCUGUCGAGAGACACUUGAGACCCGUUGUUCAACGCAAGAUCCGUUCUCGCUUAGAACUUGGUCGAUAGAGGUCGGGCUUUGUGGGAGGGCCAAGAUCAUGACAUAUCGAGUGGUUCCGUACCAUCGGGUCCCGAGUGCUUUAGCUGUUACAUACGAGCGGCUGAGAUUCCCAACAACUUCAGGUUGUUGGGAAUCACCAAGUUCACUAGCGAAUCCAAGCCUAAAAUUUGCUAGACGAUUACCGAGCGGAAGUCCAGAUCAGCGGCAACAACGACAAUGUAGCCAUGAAACAUUUGCCGCUGAUGCUAGAAGGCUCUGCUCGGGCUUGGUUCACACAGCUCCUGCCGAGUAGCAUUUUUUGCUGGGAUGGCCUAGCGAAGGUGUUCAUCAAGACCUUUGAAGGCAUGUACAAGAGAGUAGGAGGUUUGACCGAGUUACAACAUUGUGUGCAAAAGUAGAAUGAAACUCUCCGAGAGUACAUCAUGGACAACUCUGCACAACACGGUAGAGAAUGUCAUUAAACACUAGGCAAUAUGCGCCUUCAAGGCUGGAGUCAGGUACCGGGAGUUGAACAUGAAAUUCGGUCGGACUAAGACCCCGACUCUCAGUCAAGCUAUGGAGCUAACCAAUCAGUAUGCCAAUGGUGAAGAGGUAGACCGACUGAGGAGCGGUAAAAGCUGGGCAGGCGACGCACAUCAGUCACAGAACAAGGGCAAGAAGCACAAGCAAAAAUCAUAUGCCGAAGGGAAUUCUGAGGCCGCGACUCUGGCCAGCCAAGGCAAAAAGAACUCCCAAGAGCAGAAGAAGGAUUGGAAAGGGAAGAAGUAGGUCACCAUGAAGAGUGACAUCCUCAACCAGCCUUGCCAGAUCCACACAAAGAAAGAUGAAGACGUAACUUGAUCUUGCCCAAACAUACCACUCGGGAGUGUCGACUCCUAAAGAAAGAGAAGCGGCAUGAUUUUUAUGGAGAAAGAGAUGAUGACGAAGAAGAUGAAGGUAGAGGUACUUCCGAGUACCCCAACAUUGAAAACUUCUCAUGAUUUUCGCUGACGUCUAAAGCAAGAGCCGCCUCAAGGUGAUCAACCGAGAGGUUAAUAUGGCAGUUCCGACUGUCACCAAAUAUCUUGACUGGGCCAAGACACUGGUAACCUUUGACUAGUCAGACCAUUGAUACAUCUCCAAUGUAUCUAUAAUUUUUGAUUGUUCCAUGCUAUUAUAUUAUCUGUUUUGGAUGUUUUAUAUGCUAUUUUAUAUUAUUUUUGGGACUAACCUAUUAACCUAGAUCCCAGUGCCAGUUUUUGUUUUUUUUGCCUGUUUUAGAGUUUUGCAGAAAAGGAAUACCAAACGGAGUCCAAACGGAAUAAAACUUUCACGAUGAUCUUUCUUGGACCAGAAGAAAACCAGGAGACUUGGAGAUGAAAUCGGAGACGCAACAAGGCGGCCACAAGGGUGGAGGGUGCAUCCAGGGGGGUAGGGCACGCCCCCUACCUCAUGGGCCCCUCGGAGCUCUCCUGACCUAAUUCUUUCGCCCAUAUAUACUCUUAUACCCCAAAACCACCAGGGGAGCCACGAAACCACUUCUCCACCGCCGCAACCUUCUGUACCCGUGAGAUCCCAUCUAGGGGCCUUUUUCGGCGUCCUAUCGGAGGCGGAUUAGAUCACGGACGGCUUCUACAUCAACAACAUUGCCUUUUCGAUGAAGCAUGAGUAGUUUACCACAGACCUACGGGUCCAUAGCUAGUAGCUAGAUGGAUUCUUCUCUCUCUUUGAUUAUCAAUACCAUGUUCUCAUCGAUGUUCUUGGAGAUCUAUUCGAUGUAAUAUUCUCUUGCGGUGUGUUUGCCGAGAUCCGAUGAAUUGUGGAUUUAUGAUCAGAUUAUCUAUGAAUAUUAUUUGAGUCUUUGAAUUCUUAUAUGCAUAAUUUGAUAUCUUUGCAAGUCUCUUCGAAAUAUCAAUUUAGUUUGGCCUACUAGAUUGGUUUUUCUUGCAAUAGGAGAAGUGCUUAGCUUUGGGUUCAAUCUUGCGGUGUCCUUUCCGAGUGACAGUAGGGGCAGCAAGGUGAAGGAAAUAUGCCCUAGAGGCAAUAAUAAAGUUAUUAUUUAUUUCCUUAUAAUCAUGAUAAAUGUUUAUUAUUCAUGCUAGAAUUGUAUUUACCGGAAACAUAAUACAUGUGUGAAUACAUAGACAAACAGAGUGUCACUAGUAUGCCUCUACUUGACUAGCUCGUUAAUCAAAGAUGGUUAAGUUUCCUAACCAUGAACAAUGAGUUGUUAUUUGAUUAACGAGGUCACAUCAUUAGUAGAAUGAUCUGAUUGACAUGACCCAUUCCAUUAGCUUAGCACCCGAUCGUUUAGUAUGUUGCUAUUGCUUUCUUCAUGACUUAUACAUGUUCCUAUGACUAUGAGAUUAUGCAACUCCCGUUUACCGGAGGAACACUUUGGGUACUACCAAACGUCACAACGUAACUGGGUGAUUAUAAAGGAGUACUACAGGUGUCUCCAAUGGUCGAUGUUGGGUUGGCGUAUUUCGAGAUUAGGAUUUGUCACUCCGAUUGUCAGAGAGGUAUCUCUGGGCCCUCUCGGUAAUACACAUCACAUAAGCCUUGCAAACAUUACAACUAAUAUGUUAGUUGUGAGAUGAUGUAUUACGGAACGAGUAAAGAGACUUGCCAGUAACGAGAUUGAACUAGGUAUUAGAUACCGACGAUCGAAUCUCGGGCAAGUAACAUACCGAUGACAAAGGGAACAACGUAUGUUGUUAUGCGGUCUGACCGAUAAAGAUCUUCGUAGAAUAUGUAGGAGCCAAUAUGGGCAUCCAGGUCCCGCUAUUGGUUAUUGACCGGAGACGUGUCUCGGUCAUGUCUACAUUGUUCUCGAACCCGUAGGGUCCGCACGCUUAAGGUUACGAUGACAGUUAUAUUAUGAGUUUAUGCAUUUUGAUGUACCGAAGGUUGUUCGGAGUCCCGGAUGUGAUCACGGACAUGACGAGGAGUCUCGAAAUGGUCGAGACAUAAAGAUUGAUAUAUUGGAAGUCUAUGUUUGGACAUCGUAAGUGUUCCGGGUGAAAUCGGGAUUUUACCGGGUUACCGGGAGGUUACCGGAACCCCCCGGGAGCCAUAUGGGCCAUCAUGGGCCUUAGUGGAAAGGGGAAAGGGGCAGCCCAAGGGGGCUGCGCGCCUCCCCCCUUCCCCUAGUCCUAUUAGGACUAGGAGAGGUGGCCGGCCACCCCUCUCCCUCUUUCCCCCUUGGGAAUCCUAGUUGGAAUAGGAUUGGAGGGGAGUCCUACUCCCGGUAGGAGUAGGACUCCUCCUGCGCCACCUCCUCCUGGCCGGCGCCUCCUCCCCCCUUGGCUCCUUUAUAUACGGAGGCAGGGGCACCUCUAAACACACAAGUUGACACAAGUUGAUCCACGUGAUCGAUUCCUUAGCCGUGUGCGGUGCCCCCUGCCACCAUAUUCCUCGAUAAUACUGUAGCGGAGUUUAGGCGAAGCCCUGCUGCUGUAGUUCAUCAAGAUCGUCACCACGCCGUCGUGCUGACGAAACUCUUCCCCGACACUUUGCUGGAUCGGAGUCCGGGGAUCGUCAUCGAGCUGAACGUGUGCUCGAACUCGGAGGUGCCGUAGUUUCGGUGCUUGAUCGGUUGGAUCGUGAAGACAUACGACUACUUCCUCUACAUCGUGUCAUUGCUUCCGCAGUCGGUCUGCGUUGGGUACGUAGACAACACUCUCCUCUCGUUGCUAUGCAUCACAUGAUCCUGUGUGCGCGUAGGAAAUUUUUUGAAAUUACUACGAAACCCAACAGUGGUAUCAGAGCCUAGGUUAUUGAUGUUGAUGUUAUAUGCACGAGUAGAACACAAGUGAGUUGUGGACGAUACAAGUCAUACUGCCUACCAGCAUGUCAUAUUUUGGUUCGGCGGUAUUGUUGGACGAGACGACCCGGACCAACCUUACGCGUACGCUUACGCGAGACCGGUUCCCUCGACGUGCUUUGCACAGAGAUGGCUUGCGGGCGACUGCCUCUCCAACUUUAGUUGAACCAAGUAUGGCUACGCCCGGUCCUUGCGAAGGUUAAAACGGAGUCUAUUUGACAAACUAUCGUUGUGGUUUUGAUGCGUAGGUGAGAUCGGUUCUUACUUAAGCCCGUAGCAGCCACGUAAAACAUGCAACAACAAAGUAGAGGACGUCUAACUUGUUUUUGCAGGGCAUGUUGUGAUGUGAUAUGGUCAAGGCAUGAUGCUGAAUUUUAUUGUAUGAGAUGAUCAUGUUUUGUAACCGAGUUAUCGGCAACUGGCAGGAGCCAUAUGGUUGUCGCUUUAUUGUAUGCAAUGCAAUCGCGAUGUAAUGCUUUACUUUAUUACUAAACGGUAGUGAUAGUCGUGGAAGCAUAAGAUUGGCGGGACGACAACGAUGCUACGAUGGAGAUCAAGGUGUCGCGCCGGUGACGAUGGUGAUCAUGACGGUGCUUCGGAGAUGGAGAUCACAAGCACGAGAUGAUGAUGGCCAUAUCAUAUCACUUAUAUUGAUUGCAUGUGAUGUUUAUCUUUUUAUGCAUCUUAUCUUGCUUUGAUUGACGGUAGCAUUAUAAGAUGAUCUCUCAUUAAAUUAUCAAGAAGUGUUCUCCCUGAGUAUGCACCGUUGCCAAAGUUCGUCGUGCCUAGACACCACGUGAUGAUCGGGUGUGAUAAGCUCUACGUCCAUCUACAACGGGUGCAAGCCAGUUUUUGCACACGCAGAAUACUCAGGUUAAACUUGACGAGCCUAGCAUAUGCAGAUAUGGCCUCGGAACACGGAGACCGAAAGGUCGAGCGUGAAUCAUAUAGUAGAUAUGAUCAACAUAACGAUGUUCACCAUUGAAAACUACUCCAUCUCACGUGAUGAUCGGUUAUGGUUUAGUUGAUUUGGAUCACGUAAUCACUUAGAGGAUUAGAGGGAUGUCUAUCUAAGUGGGAGUUCUUAAGUAAUAUGAUUAAUUGAACUUAAAUUUAUCAUGAACUUAGUACCUGAUAGUAUCUUGCUUGUUUAUGUUGAUUGUAGAUAGAUGGCUCGUGCUGUUGUUCCGUUGAAUUUUAAUGCGUUCCUUGAGAAAGCAAAGUUGAAAGAUGAUGGUAGCAAUUACACGGACUGGGUCCGUAACUUGAGGAUUAUCCUCAUUGCUGCACAGAAGAAUUACGUCCUGGAAGCACCGCUGGGUGCCAGGCCUGCUGCUGGAGCAACGCCAGAUGUUAUGAACGUCCGGCAGAGCAAAGCUGAUGACUACUCGAUAGUUCAGUGUGCCAUGCUUUACGGCUUAGAAUCGGGACUUCAACGACGUUUUGAACGUCAUGGAGCAUAUGAGAUGUUCCAGGAGUUGAAGUUAAUAUUUCAAGCAAAUGCCCGGAUUGAGAGAUAUGAAGUCUCCAAUAAGUUCCAUAGCUGCAAGAUGGAGGAGAACAGUUCUGUCAGUGAGCAUAUACUCAAAAUGUCUGGGUAUAAUAAUCACUUGAUUCAAUUGGGAGUUAAUCUUCCGGAUGAUUGCGUCAUCGACAGAAUUCUCCAAUCACUGCCAGCAAGCUACAAGAGCUUCGUAAUGAACUAUAAUAUGCAAGGGAUGAACAAGACUAUUCCCGAGCUCUUCGCAAUGCUGAAAGCUGCGGAGGUAGAAAUCAAGAAGGAGCAUCAAGUGUUGAUGGUUAACAAGACCACUAGUUUCAAGAAAAAGGGCAAAGGGAAGAAAAAGGGGAACUUCAAGAAGAACAGCAAACAAGUUGCUGCUCAAGAGAAGAAACCUAAGUCUGGACCUAAGCCUGAAACCGAGUGCUUCUACUGCAAGCAGACUGGUCACUGGAAGCGGAACUGCCCCAAGUAUUUGGCGGAUAAGAAGGAUGGCAAGGUGAACAAAGGUAUAUGUGAUAUACAUGUUAUUGAUGUGUACCUUACUAGAGCUCGCAGUAGCACCUGGGUAUUUGAUACUGGUUCUGUUGCUAAUAUUUGCAACUCGAAACAGGGACUACAGAAUAAGCGGGCACUGGCAAAGGACGAGGUGACGAUGCGCGUGGGAAACGGUUCCAAAGUCGAUGUGAUUGCAGUCGGCACACUACCUCUACAUCUACCUUCGGGAUUAAUAUUAGACCUAAGUAAUUGUUAUUUGGUGCUAGCGUUGAGCAUGAACAUUAUAUCUGGAUCUUGUUUAAUGCAAGACGGUUAUUCAUUUAAAUCAGAGAAUAAUGGUUGUUCUAUUUAUAUGAGUAAUAUCUUUUAUGGUCAUGCACCCUUGAAGAGUGGUCUAUUUUUAUUAAAUCUCGAUAGUAGUAAUACACAUAUUCAUAAUGUUGAAGCCAAAAGAUGCAGAGUUGAUAAUGAAAGUGCAACUUAUUUGUGGCACUGUCGUUUAGGUCAUAUCGGUAUAAAGCGCAUGAAGAAACUCCAUACCGAUGGACUUUUGGAACCACUUGAUUAUGAAUCACUUGGUACUUGCGAACCGUGCCUCUUGGGCAAGAUGACUAAAACACCGUUCUCCGGUACUAUGGAGAGAGCAACAGAUUUGUUGGAAAUCAUACAUACCGAUGUAUGUGGCCCGAUGAAUAUUGAGGCUCGUGGCGGAUAUCGUUAUUUUCUCACCUUCACAGAUGAUUUAAGCAGAUAUGGGUAUAUUUACUUAAUGAAACAUAAGUCUGAAACAUUUGAAAAGUUCAAAGAAUUUCAGAGUGAAGUUGAAAAUCAUCGUAACAAGAAAAUAAAGUUUCUACGAUCUGAUCGUGGAGGAGAAUAUUUGAGUUACGAGUUUGGCGUACAUUUGAAAAACUGUGGAAUAGUUUCGCAACUCACGCCACCCGGAACACCACAGCGUAAUGGUGUGUCCGAACGUCGUAAUCGUACUUUACUAGAUAUGGUGCGAUCUAUGAUGUCUCUCACUGAUUUACCGCUAUCAUUUUGGGGAUAUGCUUUAGAGACGGCCGCAUUCACGUUAAAUAGGGCACCAUCAAAAUCCGUUGAGACAACGCCUUAUGAACUGUGGUUUGGCAAGAAACCAAAGUUGUCGUUUCUUAAAGUUUGGGGCUGCGAUGCUUAUGUGAAAAAGCUUCAACCUGAUAAGCUCGAACCCAAAUCGGAGAAAUGUGUCUUCAUAGGAUACCCAAAGGAAACUGUUGGGUACACCUUCUAUCACAGAUCCGAAGGCAAAACAUUCGUUGCUAAGAAUGGAUCAUUUCUAGAGAAGGAGUUUCUCUCGAAAGAAGUGAGUGGGAGGAAAGUAGAACUUGACGAGGUAACUGUACCUGCUCCCUUACUGGAAAGUAGUUCAUCACAGAAAACUGUUUCAGUGACACCUACACCAGUUAGUGAGGAAGCCAAUGAUAAUGAUCAUGAAACUUCAGAUCAAGAUACUACUGAACCGCGUAGAUCAACCAGAGUAAGAUCCGCACCAGAGUGGUACGGUAAUCCUGUUCUGGAGGUCAUGCUACUAGAUCAUGAUGAACCUACGAACUAUGAAGAAGCGAUGGUGAGCCCAUAUUCCGUAAAGUGGCUUGAAGCCAUGAAAUCUGAGAUGGGAUCCAUGUAUGAGAACAAAGUAUGGACUUUGGUUGACUUGCCCGAUGAUCGGCAAGCAAUUGAGAAUAAAUGGAUUUUUAAGAAGAAGACUGACGCUGAUGGUAAUGUUACUGUCUACAAAGCUCGACUUGUCGCAAAAGGUUUUCGGCAAGUUCAAGGAAUUGACUACGAUGAGACCUUCUCACCCGUAGCGAUGCUUAAGUCCGUCCGAAUCAUGUUAGCAAUUGCCGCAUUUUAUGAUUAUGAAAUUUGGCAAAUGGAUGUCAAAACUGCAUUCCUAAAUGGUUUUCUGGAAGAAGAGUUGUAUAUGAUGCAACCAGAAGGUUUUGUCGAUCCAAAGGGAGCUAACAAAGUGUGCAAGCUCCAGCGAUCCAUUUAUGGACUGGUGCAAGCCUCUCGGAGUUGGAAUAAACGUUUUGAUAGUGUGAUCAAAGCAUUUGGUUUUAUACAGACUUUCGGAGAAGCCUGUAUUUACAAGAAAGUGAGUGGGAGCUCUGUAGCAUUUCUGAUAUUAUAUGUGGAUGACAUAUUACUGAUUGGAAAUGAUAUAGAAUUUCUGGAUAGCAUAAAGGGAUACUUGAAUAAAAGUUUUUCAAUGAAAGACCUCGGCGAAGCUGCUUACAUAUUAGGCAUUAAGAUCUAUAGAGAUAGAUCAAGACGCUUAAUUGGACUUUCACAAAGCACAUACCUUGACAAAAUUUUGAAGAAAUUCAAAAUGGAUCAAGCAAAGAAAGGGUUCUUGCCUGUGUUACAAGGUGUGAAAUUGAGUAAGACUCAAUGCCCGACCACUGCAGAAGAUAGAGAGAAUAUGAAAGAUGUUCCCUAUGCAUCAGCCAUAGGCUCUAUCAUGUAUGCAAUGCUGUGUACCAGACCUGAUGUGUGCCUUGCUAUAAGUUUAGCAGGGAGGUACCAAAGUAAUCCAGGAAUGGAUCACUGGACAGCGGUCAAGAACAUCCUGAAAUACCUGAAAAGGACUAAGGAUAUGUUUCUCGUAUAUGGAAGUGACAAAGAGCUCAUCGUAAAAGGUUACGUUGAUGCAAGCUUUGACACUGAUCCGGACGAUUCUAAAUCGCAAACCGGAUACGUGUUUACAUUAAACGGUGGAGCUGUCAGUUGGUGCAGUUCCAAACAAAGCGUUGUAGCGGGAUCUACAUGUGAAGCGGAAUACAUAGCUGCUUCGGAAGCAGCAAAUGAAGGAGUCUGGAUGAAGGAGUUCAUAUCCGAUCUAGGUGUCAUACCUAGUGCAUCGGGUCCAAUGAAAAUCUUUUCUGACAAUACUGGUGCAAUUGCCUUGGCAAAGGAAUCCAGAUUUCACAAAAGGACCAAACACAUCAAGAGACGCUUCAACUCCAUCCGGGAUCUAGUCCAGGUGGGAGACAUAGAGAUUUUCAAGAUACAUACGGAUCUGAAUGUUGCAGACCCGUUGACUAAGCCUCUUCCACGAGCAAAACAUGAUCAGCACCAAAGCUCCAUGGGUGUAAGAUUCAUUACAGUGUAAUCUAGAUUAUUGACUCUAGUGCAAGUGGGAGACUGAAGGAAAUAUGCCCUAGAGGCAAUAAUAAAGUUAUUAUUUAUUUCCUUAUAAUCAUGAUAAAUGUUUAUUAUUCAUGCUAGAAUUGUAUUUACCGGAAACAUAAUACAUGUGUGAAUACAUAGACAAACAGAGUGUCACUAGUAUGCCUCUACUUGACUAGCUCGUUAAUCAAAGAUGGUUAAGUUUCCUAACCAUGAACAAUGAGUUGUUAUUUGAUUAAUGAGGUCACAUCAUUAGUAGAAUGAUCUGAUUGACAUGACCCAUUCCAUUAGCUUAGCACCCGAUCGUUUAGUAUGUUGCUAUUGCUUUCUUCAUGACUUAUACAUGUUCCUAUGACUAUGAGAUUAUGCAACUCCCGUUUACCGGAGGAACACUUUGGGUACUACCAAACGUCACAACGUAACUGGGUGAUUAUAAAGGAGUACUACAGGUGUCUCCAAUGGUCGAUGUUGGGUUGGCGUAUUUCGAGAUUAGGAUUUGUCACUCCGAUUGUCGGAGAGGUAUCUCUGGGCCCUCUUGGUAAUACACAUCACAUAAGCCUUGCAAGCAUUACAACUAAUAUGUUAGUUGUGAGAUGAUGUAUUACGGAACGAGUAAAGAGACUUGCCGGUAACGAGAUUGAACUAGGUAUUGGAUACCGACGAUCGAAUCUCGGGCAAGUAACAUACCGAUGACAAAGGGAACAACGUAUGUUGUUAUGCGGUCUGACCGAUAAAGAUCUUCGUAGAAUAUGUAGGAGCCAAUAUGGGCAUCCAGGUCCCGCUAUUGGUUAUUGACCGGAGACGUGUCUUGGUCAUGUCUACAUUGUUCUCGAACCCGUAGGGUCCGCACGCUUAAGGUUUCGAUGACAGUUAUAUUAUGAGUUUAUGAGUUUUGAUGUACCGAAGGAGUUCGGAGUCCCGGAUGAGAUCGGGGACAUGACGAGGAGUCUCGAAAUGGUCGAGACGUAAAGAUCGAUAUAUUGGACGACUAUAUUCGGAGUUCGGAAAGGUUCCGAGUGAUUCGGGUAUUUUCCGGAGUACCGGGGGGUUACGGGAAUACGGGGAAGAGUAUUGGGCCUUGAUGGGCUUUAGUGGGAAGAGAAAAAAGGCUGCUGCGCCCCCCCUCCCCUUUGGUCCGAAUUGGACUAGGGAAAAGGGGGCCGGCCACCUCUCCUUCUCCUCCUAUUCCUUCUCCCUUCCUCCCCUCUUGGUGGACUCCUACUAGGACUUGGAGUCCUAGUAGGACUCCCUAUCCUGGCCGCACCUUUGCCUUGGCCGGCCUCCUCCUCCUCCAUCCUUUAUAUACGGAGGCAGGGGCACCUCUAAACACACAAGUUGACACAAGUUGAUCCACGUGAUCGAUUCCUUAGCCGUGUGCGGUGCCCCCUGCCACCAUAUUCCUCGAUAAUACUGUAGCGGAGUUUAGGCGAAGCCCUGCUGCUGUAGUUCAUCAAGAUCGUCACCACGCCGUCGUGCUGACGAAACUCUUCCCCGACACUUUGCUGGAUCGGAGUCCGGGGAUCGUCAUCGAGCUGAACGUGUGCUCGAACUCGGAGGUGCCGUAGUUUCGGUGCUUGAUCGGUUGGAUCGUGAAGACGUACGACUACUUCCUCUACGUCGUGUCAUUGCUUCCGCAGUCGGUCUGCGUUGGGUACGUAGACAACACUCUCCUCUCGUUGCUAUGCAUCACAUGAUCCUGUGUGCGCGUAGGAAAUUUUUUGAAAUUACUACGAAACCCAACACAAGGCACGUAUUGUAUUGUUGCCAUCGAGGAUAAAAAGAUGGGGUUUUCAACAUAUUGCUUGAGUUAAUUCCUCUACAUCAUGUCAUCUCACUUAACGAGUUACUCUGUUCUUUAUGAACUUAAUACUCUAGAUGCAGGCAGGAGUCGGUUGAUGUGUGGAGUAAUAGUAGUAGAUGCAGAACGUUUCGGUCUACAUGACAUUGCCUUAGAUAUCGUCAUAAUUAUGCGCUCUUCUAUCAAUUGCUCGGCAGUAAUUUGUUCACCCACUGUAUUAUUUGCUAUCUUGAGAGAAGCCACUAGUGAAACCUAUGGCCCCCAGGUCUCUUUUCCAUCAUAUAAGUUCUAUUUUCCAUCAUACUAGUUUCCGAUCUACUAGUUUUGCAAUAUUUUACUUUACGAUCUAUAAACUAAAAAUACCAAAAUUUACUUUACCAUUUAUCUAUCUCUAUAAGAUCUCACUUUUGCAAGUAACCAUGAAGGGAUUGACAACCCAUUUAUCACGUUGGGUGCAAGUUGUUGAUUGUUUGUGCAGGUAUUCGGUGACUUGUACAUUGUCUCCUACUGGAUUGAUACCUUGUGUAACACCCCGGAUAUAACAUUCCAUAUUUGUAACUCCAACUCUUGUCAUUUCCGGCUAUUUGAUGUGUUAUUCCCUUCGGGGUUGGGUGUUGUCUUUCAUUUUGCUUUUUGUUCAUGUCAUGCAUCAUGUCAUCAUUUGCAUUGCAUCGGCACUUCGUUGCCGCCAUUUUUAUAAAACCCGCAUCCGUUCGUAGUUGCUGGUUUGCCCCGUCCUCUUCAUUGACCUUUCUCAAUCCCCUCGCGUGCGCGUUCGAAAACUUCCCCGAACCCGACCCGAACAAUCGUGACCGUUGGUUUUGAAUCAUCCCCAAACAUCCCCUUGACCCGGAGCCGUUCGAUGACGAUCGGACGCCCUAAAAUACUCCCUCAUUUUGUCUCUCUCUAUAAAUAAGUGGCAACCCUAAUUUCUAGGGGAGAUGUCCCACGGUGCCCCAGCUCCCUGCCUCCCGUGCUCGUCCCUGAGCAAGUAGCUCAGUGCCUCGCCGGCCACCGCUGAACCAAUAGAUGAGCGCCGUCGCUCUCUCCCUUGUUCCUCCUCCUUCCCAUGGCUUCCUCUGCCUCUCAUCCAUCCUCUCUCUUCUCUGUACAGGUGCUCCCCGCGCCAUGGAAGCCACCGCAGGCCUCCACGUCAAGCUCCGCCGCCCUUGGAUCUCCUCUCCCGGUGGAGCUACUCGAGCCCUGCCCAGAGCAGCCAAGCCACCGGUGAGCUCCUCCGCCGCGUGCACCACCAACUCCUCUCCAUCUCUCUAAAUGCGCUCCCUCCCUAUCUUUCUUCCACAGGGAACCGACGCCGCCCCUGAGCUCUGCCCGUGCCGUCGUUGCCCAGAUCCGGCGCCGGCCAGUCGGAUCCGCCCCGUCUCCACCUCGCCGGCCUUCCCUGCAGCCCGCCGUCGCUCCCCUUCAAGUCCCACACCGUCGUUGUCGUCCCCUGAUUCCCGUUGCGAGCUCCAGCGCUGCUGCUCCUCUAUUUUUGGUCGAACAGAGAGUGACGCGCCUGUAGCCUCCCCGCCUCGCACGUCUGGGUCACUUCCAGUGCCAGCAAGGCCCAGCGCCGCGCCAAGCCCAGCUUCCCCCGCCGGCCUGCUUCUUCGCCUGGGCCAUGGCCCGCUAAGGUGAUGCCCCCUCUCUGCUUACCCUCGCCCAGAUCCUGAUUCGGCCCGUGUAGGUUUUUUUCCAGCAUCUGUGAAUUUGCUAAUUAACCAGGGAAUUACAGAUUUGUAGAAAAGUCCUUACACAUCAUGCAUAUAAUAACUCAUUAACCGUGCAUCGGAUUAAAAUGAUUCAAACAUGGAAAAUGCUUAGAAUUUUGUGGAGAUUAUUAAUUUGCAAUUUUCAUCCAUGUUUGAAAUGUUUAAAAUGCUGUUUGUUUAAAUUUGCUCAAAUGCCAUGCUAAAAUGAUUUAUUUCAUAACUAAAUAACUGUAGCUCCGAAUUAAAUAAGCUAUAUAUGUAAAUUGUCUAGACAAAUGCAUAGAUUAACUUGGUGCACUUUAUUUUCCUGUUUAACAACAUUAAAAAUAUGGAUUAGGGAAGAACAGGAGCAAAUUCGAAUGUGGACAUGAGGAUUUUCCGGAAUUGUUGUUUGUUAUUUCCGGCAUCAUUUAAAUUGCCUAAAUAUUUAGUUUACUUAUGUUUCACCUCUUGCCAUGUUUAACAACAUUUAAUAUUAUUUUACUUUAAUGAGAGCAAACUAAAUAACUUGAAUGUGGCAUUUCGUCAAUAUGCAACUCGUUGCAUAUUGAGCUCCAUUUAACUUGUAGUGUUGCUUGUUGCACUUUGCCAUGCCAUGCCUCUUUAAACCGGACAUGCAUCAUACUUGAAUGUGCAUAAUGCCAUGUUUAUGCUUGUGCAUUUACCAUGUUGUUUGCUUCUUUCUGGUGUUGCUUCUUAGUUUCAUAACGUUGCGAUUGUGAGGACCCGUUCGACUACGUUGAGUCGUCUACUUCUUUUCGAUCUUCUUCCUUGCGGGAUCUCAGGCAAGAUGACCAUUACCCUCGAUAUCACUUCUAUCUUUGCUUGAUAGUUGCUUCGUUCUAUCACUAUGCUGUGCUACCUAUCACUUGUUUGCCAUGCCUCCCAUAUUGCCAUGUCAAGCCUCUAACCCACUUUCCUAGCAAACCGUUGUUUGGCUAAGUUACCGCUUUUUCUCAGCCCCUCUUAUAGUGUUGUUAGUUGCAGGUGAAGUUGAAGAUUGCCCCAUGUUGGAACAUGAUUAUGUUGGGAUAUCACAAUAUCUUUUAUUUAAUUAAUGCAUCUAUAUACUUGGUAAAGGGUGGAAGGCUCGACCUUUUGCCUGGUGUUUUGUUCCACUCUUGCCGCCCUAGUUUCCGUCAUACCGGUGUUAUGUUCCUUGAUUUUGCGUUCCUUACGCGGCUGGGUUUAUGGGACCCCCUUGACAGUUCGCUUUGAAUAAAACUCCUCCAGCAAGGCCCAACAUUGGCUUUACAUUUGCCUAACAAACCCAAUAACUUUCCCUUGGGCAGGCCAACCCAAGGGUCAUCUUUAUUUUAAACCCCCCCGGGGCCAGUGCUUCUCUAAGUGUUGGUCCGAACCGAGCCGCCUGCGGGGCCACCUCGAGGAAACUUGAGGCCUGGUUUUACUCGUAGCCUGUCUCAUCCCGUGUGCCCUGAGAAUGAGAUAUGUGCAGAUCCUAUCGAGAUUUGUCGGCACAUUCGGGCGGUCUUGCUGGUCUUGUUUUACCAUUGUUGAAAUGUCUUGUAACCGGGAUUCCGAGACUGAUCGGGUCUUCCCGGGAGAAGGAAUAUCCUUCGUUGGUCGUGAGAGCUUAUAAUGGGCUAAGUUGGGACACCCCUGCAGGGUAUAAACUUUCGAAAGCCGUGCUCGCGGUUAUGUGGCAGAUGGGAAUUUGUUAAUGUCCGAUUGUAGAGAACUUGACACUUGACUUAAUUAAAAUGCAUAAAUCGCGUGUAUAGCCGCGAUGGUCUCUUUUCGGUGGAGUCCGGGAAGUGAACACGGUCUUUUUGUUAUGUUUGUGCGUAAGCAGUUUCAGGACCACUUCUUGAUCACUUCUAGCUUCUCGACCGUUCCGUUGGUUCUCUUCUCGCUCUUAUUUGCGUAUGUUAGCCACCAUAUUUGCUUAGUGCUUGCUGCAACUCCACCUCAUUACCACUUCCUACCCAUAAGCUUAUAUAGUCUUGAUCUCGCGAGUUUUGAGAUUGCCGAGUCCUCGUGACUCACCAGAUACUAUCACAACAGUUGCAGGUGCCGAUGAUAACAGUGCAGGUGAUGCAACCGAGCUCGGAUGGGAGCUCAACGAAGAUCUUGGUCGUUGCUAUGUUUCGUUUCAUGUUGAUCAGUAGUGGAGCCCAGUUCGGACGAUCGGGGAUCUAGCAAUUGGGGUUAUCUUCUUUUCUAUGUGUGUGCUCUGAAUGAUGUAUGAUUUAUUUAAGUAUUUGUGUGAAGUGGCGAUUGUAAGCCAACUCUUUAUCCCAUUCUUGUUCAUUACAUGGGAUUGUGUGAAGAUGACCCUUCUUGCGACAAAACCACCAUGCGGUUAUGCCUCUAAGUCGUGCCUCGACACGUGGGAGAUAUAGCCGCAUCGUGGGUGUUACAAGUUGGUAAUCAAAGCCAGCCCCAACUUAGGAGCCCCCUGCUUGAUCGAAUCACUUGCGUUGUUGAGUCUAGAACAAAAAUGUUUUGCAUCUUAGGAUUAUAUAUAUCAGAGAGUAGGAUUCUUUUUACUCCUCAGUCCCUUCGUCGCUCUGGUGAGGCCUCCUGACGUAGAGGUUUUGUCUUUUCUCUCCUCAAAUUUCACUAAUUUUUUUUAGGAUCACACGGGUAUCUUGGGAUCGUUCCGAUAUUCCUGUGACGAGAACAUUGUUCUUGGUGCCUCUUGACAUUUAGGGGUUGUGGCAGUGUCCCGGGGAGCUGAGCUCCAAAGUGUUGUCGUCACAAUUUUAUCAUUGCGGUUCUGGAAUACCCGAGUUUUGCCGACAUCGAAAAUCUCUUUUAUGCAGUUGUUGGUGAUAUAACCUCGACGCCACCCAGUACUGGGGCGGGAGUUCGGGAGUAUCGCCAUAACUCGUAUAACGGAUGCUUUUCGAAGGUUGAGGUACACGAUUUCCGAAGGUUUCUUGGUUAUGUGUUAACGGAUGGAUACAACUUGGAUGUAGGUAUUGUUAGUUUGGGUGAGAUAUUUAUUGCUUCCCCUGUAUCCCCAACACCAUAUUGCAUAACUAGAAAGUUUCGGGAGUUUUAUAGGUGGGAAUUCAAGUAGCUCCCAGAAUAUCUUUACAACAGAUGCAUGAUAUGAGAUUGGGGUUCGACGUCUAGUGGUCCGCCUAUCCACGGUCGUUUUUAUAGUGGUCUCGUUGUGUCUUAAAGAGCCCUUGGCUAUGCUGGUUCAAGGACGCUUCGUAUGUCAUGUGCACUGCCUUGUACAUGAUGGUGCUGUACGAUCGAGCCCGUGUGGGCCCCACCACGAAAACUUUAGACGAAAUCUCUAUCAUAUGUUUGUUUUCAGCUUAUUCUGCAAGCCAAAUCCUUUGUUUUAUUUUAUUUGUGGUAUUCGAGUUGCUUCGGAGUCAAAUCUUGAAUCCAUACCUUUCCUAAACAGUGUUGUCAUAUUGCUAUGUGAAUACUAAUCCUUCUUGAUAAUUGAGGUUGUCAUGCUAAUUCUUUACCAACCGGUGUGCUUCUAUUCAAGUGGAUCCGAUCAUUUCAACAUUUUCCAUAUCAAUUCUAAGUUUUCUCAACGGUAUCCAUUCAAUCUGCCCUAAGUUGCCUUUGUUUUUUUCCCGCCCACCCUUUUCUGCAAGGGCUCAUAUAUUUUAAUCAAGUAUCCAUUUAUUCAUGUGAAGUCUCUUCACUCUUUUCAAUCAAUGUUCUUAUCCGGUGAUUCUCAGGAAGAUACUAAAGAGCUUCUAUUUUAUUAUUCUUCAUUCUCUUUUCUUCUCCGGUGGAUUAAUUUCAAGUUUCGGUGUUGAUCAUAUCUCUUCCUUUUGUUUCACAUAUGUUCCCAUGUGAAUUUUUUAUCCAAGGCUCUCUUAUUUAUUCACCUCUCCCAGUUCAUAUCCGGAGUGCUCAAGAUAACUCAGAAGAUUCGUGUUUUCCAUUCUUAAUCUGUUCAAGCUAUUUGGAGAUUAUUAUCUCAUUCAAGUCAUUUAAUUCAAUCGGUGCAAUCCCCCCUUUCAAGCAAGCCUUCAACGAUGUUUAUUUCGAGUGGGCCCUAACCCACAGGUCUUCUCCCAGGAUCUUACCCGACUCUUCUAAUUUUCUUGGAGCCAUUGCCAAAUUCUUUUCGAAGUUUGACGUGAGAAUGAUUUUUCAUCAGUCAGAUGUCUUCUACAAGACCGCUUUCAAAUUCUUUUGAUCGUUGGUUCAACCUUUCUAUUCUUCAUCCCGGCGUGUCUCAACAAUUCAUGGUGGUUCUCAUCUCCAUUCUCAACAUUUGAAGACCGAAGAAGGAUUUCUCUUAAAUCUUGCUCCAUUCGCUUCAAAAUUCAUGGUUCUAGCUUCAUGCCAUCCUCAUAAUUGUUUUUGAUUGUGACAAUUCUUUUCUUACCAUCCGGAGUAUUUCAGGAGUUGCUUCCUUUCUCGAUCAUCCAAAGACCAUCAUUUCUGGAUAUUACUCAUUCUCAGCCUUCAGCUCUUGUUCUCCAAAUCUUACCGGUGGAUCGUUCAAGUAUACUCUUUAGUCGGCUCAUGAUCUCUUCGUUCUCAUGUACCUAAAUCCCCUCAAGUAUCUUCAUUCGUUUUCCAAUUUUUCCCGGUGAAUUGUGCCUUUGCUACUUUCAUUUUCGAUUCUUACGGUGGUUUGUUCAAGAUUUCACUUCAUUCAUUAUCAUAUCAAUUCAUUCGUUGUUUCCAAAUCCCACCGGUGGUUCCAUCAAUAGCUUCUCAACUUUGCACUAUAUCUCUCUUAAUCCUUUCUACGAGAAUAAGUAGUAUGCCAAAUCUGUUGCUUGUCAUCAAUUUAAAUUGGUGAAGUAUACGCAUAACGUAAUUCUUAUUAUUGUUCCAUCCAAGUGUCCACUUUUCUUCUUUCCAGAGUUGUUCAUCAUGUCACAUUUCCUGGUUCGAGAUGUUUCAUCUUUUCUUUUCCGGAGUUCCAAGUUUUCCGCUUUAUCUCGUCGGGAAGCUCCAUCCAGAUCAUCGCAAGGCUUCACCUUGUGUUUUCAACUUCUCUUCUUUCCAUCAUCCUUUUAUUACCGGAGUUCUCCAUGGAGGCUCUACAUGGUGGUUCGUCAAGGAUUCUUUUCAUUCUUCAAUUGUUCUUCAAGAUUUCUCUCGAAGUUAUGACCUGCCAAGCUUUGCUCUAAAAUAAACAUGGUGUUCAGCACAUGUCUUAUUUUGAGGAGUUCAAAUAUUCUUCAUCUUGCAUUCCAAAGUGCAAUUCCUUGUACUUUAUCUUCGAGAUGGCGUUAUGCCAUUCUUGACAAUUUCCAUUCAUGUUUCUCGAUUCACAUGUUGUCAAGAAUGAGGUAUUUUAAACCCAUCAUUUUCUUCCUUGGAGUUAUCUUGGUAAAGAUUUCACCUAAAAGCCUUCCAGAAGGAAUGUUGCUAAUUGUGGUGCUUAUCAAUGACCCAAGUUCUCCAAUUAUCAUCUUGGUGAAAGAAGUUUCUCUUAUCUUCAUUGAUCUCAACCAAUCAAUUGUUUCUGUUAGUGGCGGGUUGUCACCUCAUCAUUUUGAGAUGUUUUCCAUAAGACCAUAAUAAGCUUGUGCUUUUCGUUGUUGGUUUUCCAACAAAUCCGUUCAAUUCUUAUUUGCAAGGAUGCUUUCCAAGUUCAUUUGUGGCAGAAGAUUUCAUUUUAUUCUCCGUCCCUUUAUCCCAACAAUCUAGGUUCUAUUCUUUCGUUCCGGAGGCAUUGUGAUGUUGCUCUCUUCACUCAUCUUCUCGUAUUGAGGAUCAUGUUCUUUUCGUGCUUAUCCAUUUAACCAGAGUGUUGUGUCAUCUCUUCAAGUUCUUUCAUCUUAUCAAGUCUUGCAUCUCUUUUCAACCGGAGUGCUUGCAUGUACUUCUUGUCCAUUGUAACCCUUUUCUUAUGUCUUUCGACCCCCAAGGUUCACAUGGUGUUCCUUGUUUCUCUUUUCUAUCGGAGUGCUACCAAUUUCGUUCAACUCUGUUGUGUUCUUCUUUCAACUUUUCAACCUCUCAAGGUUCAUUGGUUUCACUUAUUGGUCGAAGAAGCAACUUAGUUUUACCUGUUUUCUUUCUCUUCCGUUUCUCUCCGGUGCCAUCCUAGAUCUCGGGACAAGAUCCUCUUGUAGUGGUGGAGUGUUGUAACACCCCAGAUCUAACAUUCCAUAUUUGUAACUCCAACUCUUGCCAUUUCCGGCUAUUUGAUGUGUUAUUCCCUUUGGGGUUGGGUGUUGUCUUUCGUUUAACUUUUUGUUCAUGUCAUGCAUUUCAUCAUGUCAUCAUUUGCAUUGCAUCGGCACUUCGUUGCCGCCAUUUUUAUAAAACCCGCAUCCGUUCGUAGUUGCCGGUUCGCCCCAUCCUCUUCAUUGACCUUUCUCAAUACCCUCGCGUGCGCGUCCGAAAACUUCCCCGAACCUGACCCGAACAGUCGUGACUAUUGGUUUUGAAUCAUCCCCAAACAUCCCCUUGACCCGGAGCCGUUCGAUGAUGAUCGGACGCCCUAAAAUACUCCCUCAUUUUGUCUAUCUCUAUAAAUAAGUGGAAACCCUAAUUUCUAGGGGAUAUGUCCCGCAGCGCCCCAGCUCCCUGCCUCCCGUGCUCGUCCCCGAGCAAGCAGCUCAAUGCCUCGCCGGCCACCGCUGAACCAACAGAUGAGCGUCGUCGCUCUCUCCCUUGUUCCUCCUCCCUCCCGUGGCUUCCUCUGCCUCUCAUCCAUCCUCUCCUUCUCUAUACAGGUGCUCCCCGCGCCAUGGAAGCCACCGUAGGCCUCCAUGUCGAGCUCCGCUGCCCCUGGAUCUCCUCUCCCGGUGGAUCUACUCGAGCCCUGCCCAGAGCAGCCAAGCCACCGGUGAGCUCCUCCGCCGUGCGCACCCCCAACUCCUCUCCAUCUCUCUGAAUGCGCUCCCUCGCUAUCUUUCUUCCAUAGGGAACUGACGCCGCCCCUCAGCUCUGCCCGCGCCGUUGUUGCCCAGAUCUAGCGCGAGCCAGUCGGAUCCGCCCCGUCUCCACCUCGCCGGCCUUCCCUGCAGCCUGUCGUCGCUCCCCUUCAAGUCCCACGCCGUUGUUGCCGUCCCCUGCUUCCCAUCGCGAGCUCCAGCGCCGCUGCUCCUCCGUUUUUUGUCGAACAGAGAGCGACACGCCUGUAGCCUCCCCGCCUCGCGCGUCUGGGCCACUUCCAGCGCCAGCAAGGCCCAGCACUACGCCAAGCCCAGUUUCCCCCGCCGGCCUGCUUCUUCGCCUGGGCCAUGGCCCGCUAAGGUGAUGCCCGCUCUCUGCUAACCCUCGCCCAGAUCCAGAUUCGGCCCGUGUAGGUUUUUUUCUAGCAUCUGUGAAUUUGCUAAUUAACCAGGGAAUUACAGAUUUGCAGAAAAGUCAUUGCACAUCAUGCAUAUAAUAACUCAUUAACCGUGCAUCAGAUUAAAAUGAUUCAAACAUGUAAAAUGCUUAGAAUUUUGUGUAGAUUAUUAAUUUGCAAUUUUCAUCCAUGUUUGAAAUGUUUAAAAUGUUGUUUGUUUAAAUUUGCUCAAAUGCCAUGCUAAAAUGAUUUAUUUCAUAACUAAAUAAUCGUAGCCCGAAUUAAAUAAACUAUAUAUGUAAAUUGUCUAGACAAAUGCAUAGAUUAACUUGGUGCACUUUAUUUUCCUGUUUAACAACAUGAAAAAUAUGGUUUAGGGCAGAAUAGUAGCAAAUUAGUCAUGUGGACACCGGAAUUGUUGUUUGUUAUUUCUGGCCUCAUUUAAAUUGCCUAAAUAUUUAGUUUACUUAUAUUUCACCUCUUGCCAUGUUUAACAACAUUUAAUAUUAUUGUACUUUAAUGAGAGCGAACUAAAUAACUUGAAUGUGGUGUUUCGUCAAUAUGCAACUCGUUGCAUAUUGAGCUCCAUUUAACUUGUAGUGUUGCUUGUUGCACUUUGCCAUGUCAUGCCUCUUUAAACCAGACAUGCAUCAUACUUGAAUGUGCAUCAUGCCAUGUUUAUGCUUGUGCAUUUACCAUGUUGUUUGCUUCUUUCCAGUGUUGCUUCUUAGUUCCGUAACGUUGCGAUUGUGAGGACCGGUUUGACUAUGUUGAGUCGUCUACUUCUUUUCGAUCUUCUUCCUUGCGGGAGCUCAGGAAAGAUGACAAUUACCCUCGAUAUCACUUCUAUCUUUGCUUGCUAGUUGCUUCGGUCUAUCGCUAUGCUGCACUACCUAUCACUUGUUUGCCAUGCCUCCCAUAUUGCCAUGUCAAGCCUCUAACCCACUUUCCUAGCAAUCCGUUGUUUGGCUAAGUUACCGCUUUUGCUUAGCCCCUCUUAUAGCGUUGUUAGUUCCAGGUGAAGUUGAAGAUUGCUCCAUGUUGGAACAUGAUUAUGUUGGGAUAUCACAAUAUCUUUUAUUUAAUUAAUGCAUCUAUAUACUUGGUAAAGGGUGGAAGGCUCGGCCUUUUGCCUGGUGUUUUGUUCCACUCUUGCCGCCCUAGUUUCCGUCAUACCGGUGCUAUGUUCCUUGAUUUUGCGUUCCUUACGCGGCUGGGUUUAUGGGACCCCCUUGACAGUUCGCUUUGAAUAAAACUCCUCCAACAAGGCCCAACAUUGGUUUUACAUUUGCCUAACAACCCACUAACUUUCCCUUAGGCAGGCCAACCCAAGGGUCAUCUUUAUUUUAAACCCCCCGGGCCAGUGCUUCUCUAAGUGUUGGUCCGAACCGAGCCCCCUGUGGGGCCACCUCGGGGAAACUCGAGGUCUGGUUUUACUCGUAGCCUGUCUCAUCCGGUGUGCCCUGAGAACGAGAUAUGUGUAGGUCCUAUCGGGAUUUGUCGGCACAUUCAGGCGGUCUUGCUGGUCUUGUUUUACCAUUGUCGAAAUGUCUUGUAACCAGGAUUCCGAGACUGACCGGGUCUUCCCGGGAGAAGGAUUAUCCUUUGUUGGUCGUGAGAGCUUAUAAUGGGCUAAGUUGGGACACCCCUGCAGGGUAUAAACUUUCGGAAGCCGUGCCGCGGUUAUGUGGCAGAUUGGAAUUUGUUAAUGUCCGGUUGUAGAGAACUUGACACUUGACUUAAUUAAAAUGCAUCAACCGCGUGUGUAUCCGUGAUGCUCUCUUUUCGGCGGAGUCCGGGAAGUGAACACGGUCAUUGUGUUAUGUUUGUGCGUAAGCAGUUUCAGGAUCACUUCUUGAUCACUUCUAGCUUAUAGACCGUUCCGUUGCUUCUCUUCUCGCUCUUAUUUGUGUAUGUUAGCCACCAUAUUUGCUUAGUGCUUGCUGCAACUCCACCUCAUUACCACUUCCUACCCAUAAGCUUAUAUAGUCUUGAUCUCGUGGGUUUUGAGAUUGCCGAGUCCUCGUGACUCACCAGAUACUAUCACAAUAGUUGCAGGUGCUGAUGAUACCAGGGCAGGUGAUGCAACCGAGCUCAGAUGGGAGCUCAACGAUGAUCUUGGUCGUUGCUAUGUUUCGUUUCAUGUUGAUCAGUAGUGGAGCCCAGUUGGGACGAUCGGGGAUCUAGCAAUUGGGGUUAUCUUCUUUUCUUUUGGCUUUGUCCGUAAUCGGACUAUGUGUGUGCUCUGAAUGAUGUAUGAUGUAUUUAAGUAUUUGUGUGAAGUGGCGAUUGUAAGCCAACUCUUUAUCCCAUUCUUGUUCAUUACAUGGGAUUGUGUGAAGAUGACCCUUCUUGCGACAAAACCACCAUGCGGUUAUGCCUCUAAGUCGUGCCUCGACACGUGGGAGAUAUAGCCGCAUCGUGGGUGUUACACCUUGGUUCUCAAACUAAGGGAAAUACUUACUCUACUUUGCGGCAUCACCCUUUCCUCUUCAAGGGAAAAACCAACGCAAGCUCAAGAGGUAGCAGGAAGAAUUUCUGGCGCCAUUGCUGGGGAGAUCUACGCCAAGUCAAGCCAUACCAAGUACCCAUCAUAAACUCUCAUCUCUUGCAUUACAUUAUUCGCCAUUCGCCUCUCGGUUUCCUCUCCCCCACCUCUAAAACGAUUUUCGAAAAGAUUUGGCUUUUCUUCGUCCUUCUUCUGUUUGCCUUUUCCGCUUGCUUCUUGUGUGCUUGUGUGUUCGAUUGCUUGCUUUGUCAUGAUGGCUCAAGAUAAUACUAAAUUGUGUGACUUAUCCAACACCAACAACAAUGAUUUUAUUAGUACUCCGAUUGCUCCCACUACCAAUGAUGAAUCUUGUGAAAUUAAUGACGCUUUGCUGAAUUUUGUUAUGAAAGAUCAAUUUUCUGGCCUUCCUAGUGAAGAUGCCGCAUCCCAGCUAAACAAUUUCGUUGAUUUGUGUGAUAUGCAAAAUAAGAAAGAUGUGGAUAAUUGUUAAAUUGAAGCUAUUUCCGUUUUCGCUUAGAGACCGUGCUAAAACUUGGUUUUCAUCUUUGCCUAAAAAUAGUAUUGAUUCGUGGAAUAAGUGUAAAGAUGCUUUCAUCUCUAAGCAUUUUCCACCCGCUAAGAUCAUCUCCCUUAGGAACGAUAUUAUGAAUUUUAAGCAACUUGAUCAUGAGCAUGUUGCACAAUCUUGGGAGAGGAUGAAAUUGAUGAUACGAAAUUACCCUACACAUGGUUUGAGUUUAUGAACGAUUACACAAAAAAUUAUGCCGUACUACUUCAGGAUGCUACUAACGCGACACUAUGAUCAGAGACCCUUCGAGGAAACUGUGUGCGAUGCAAUACUCGCAAACGGUGGUGUAAAAAACUGUCAAAAAGGUGCAAAACGUUUGUGAUGACGGAUGCAUCAAACACGGUUUAGAUUUUGGUUGCUGUGUGAUGCAGGGCAUGCGGUUCAGUUAAAUUAACUUUUUGCGAUGAGGAUGAACAAAACAAACGGGAUGCCAGAUGAAUGUGUGUGCGAUAUACAACAUACGCUUCACUCGGAUGAACUGUUUGUGAUUAGGCAACACAAAAGAAACGGUCAGCCAGAUCAAGGUGUGUGCGAUAUACGACAUGCGGUUCACUCGGAUGAACUGUUUGCGUUGAGACAAGAGAACAGAAAUGGUUCAAUAUAACAAGAUGUGUGUCUUACGCAGCAAACAGAUCUGUAAUCAGAAAUGUGUGCGAAGACCGAUAAUAACACAGAUAAUUGCUUCUAAUAAGACAUAUGUGAUAUGCUCUGUCUACACAACAUCUAUUGGCCAUUGGGGGUCGGGCAGUCAUCUGGAUACGCGAUAAGGAUGCGAAGAGGCAUCCCAUAUUAGCAAGGACUAGCUGUUCCACCAGUAGCUCAUGUAAGAGAACUCUCAAGUUAAGCGUGCUCAGGCUGGAGCAGCCAUCAGAUGGGUCACUGGAUGGGAAGUUGUGUUGAUGUUAAAUUAACUGAUAGGAUGGGUCAUGUCUGUCAAAUUAAAUGACUGAUAUGACCCAUCCCAUGAGUUAAUUUAACCUCGAGGUCCUUGUUUUUUAUUUUUAUUUUAUUUUUUUAAUGCAUGUUAAAGAAGGUCUACUUCAUUACUUUUUGACAAUGUGUAUACGUGGCAUAUAGUUUAUCCAUCCGACCUGUUUGUGAUGGAAUAAGCCAUGUGUGUUGUGGGCAAAUGCUUGCUAGUGUACAACCAUUUGCGAUUGAUGAAUUCAUCACCGACGGGUUCCCUAGUGUGGUCCGUGUUCAUCUCAUCAUCAUCUACUCCUUGUGCUAGCUCGAUGUUCCUUAUAUGCUAAGUUUCCAUUAAUUGAUGGCGUUUUAUGAACACACCACCGCUUCCCGCCAUUUCCUCACCAGUUUCCCACGACCCACUGAUAUUGCACAUAAACCUAGGCACGGUGCGAUGCGUGGAGGCAACAAGCACAGCCUGUAGCACAUCCACCUUUUCCAAGCAUGCGAACCUACCAAAGCGCCGCCUCUGCCAUCAACCUCAUCGAUGAGGAAAACCAGAAUGCGCCAUGACCCGUUGAGGCUGCGGCGCUCCCCGGCAACGCGAUGGACGACGUCAUGAUGUGUGUCAUCGCCAGCGUUGAGCAGACCCUUGGUGCAUGGCGCUUCAGCGUCGCUGAUCAAGAUAGGCAUGUCAGUGCCGAGAGGUUGCAGCUUGCCGCACAACAUGAUCGAUGGCGCGCCACAGAGAAAGCUAGGUGCAUCCCGUGCCGAUAGGCUGCUGCUCACCGCACGGCGAUACCGUUGGAGCGCCGCAGAGCAAGAGGCGCGGCACACCGCACAGCAAGAGCGGAUCCAUCGGCGCUUGCGUGCUGUCGACAGGGUAUUGCAGCUGGGUACACGUCCCGUCAGUACCCCCAUUCCUCGCUAGGAGUGGGCACAUGCCCUCUGCGCUAUACUUGCACCAGAGGCCGCCUGCACCGUACUUGCACCGGAUGCCCGCCGUGCCGUUUGCUUGGGUCACGCUGUUCGCCUUGUCUGUGGCCCGCUCAAUGCCAACACGUUGGUCGGUAGGCUCGACCGCCUCCUUGGCCCAGGUGUCCACCUGGGCGCAAUAGAGGAACAUGGCGUCGCAUCGUCGAGGUGGUGAUCUCUGAUGAAGUAGCCAACUUGGAGCUCGAGAUCGCGCUCCAGAUGUACCGCGAGCGUGUCGAAUGCUUGGACGAAUGCCUGCAUGAGUUCAGGCAGAGCCAAGAACUACCGUAGGCAAGGGCUGCUGGUCAUGGUCUCAUGGAAUCCUUUUAUUUUGUUGAGUCAUUUCGACGUGGAUAACUAUGUAUUCACAGCAAUCAUAGUAUUUCUCUGUUUAUUGCUCUGUUUCAAUGUGUGUACUCUGUUUUCCGUUCUUAUAUGUUCUGUUUCAAUGUGUGCUUAUACACUUACCAUUCUUCAUUAGUUCAUCACAGAAUAUAUAUAAUAUCAUCACAUAUAUGUGAUGAUACUUAACUACCAGGUACAAUGCAUAAAGUUGAGAACGAACAAUACUAAAACUAAUAAUCCCUCCUGGGGCCAGUAUUCCGACAGCCCCCGCCAGCAGCUCCCUGGUACGCGGUGUCUUCCCAGCGCGGAGGUAGUAAUCCGCUUCCUCCGCCUUGCAGCGCUUGACGUAACGAUCUGCCUCUUGCAGGCGAACGAUCUUGCCAUUUUGUUGGAUGCCCACUGGAGCUCCUUGUCGGUGGCAGGCUGGAGCUUAUCGGCCCACCUCCACGCAGCGAUGAGGCGCCUAGUGCCUUUGGCCUUCCUCACGAAGUACCCGUCUUUAUACACCUCCUCCGCAUGAUGACACGCCCGCCCCCAAUGCUCCACCGCCUCCUUUUUCCAGGCGGCAUCACGGGCUUCACAGGCUGCCUGGUACCUAGCAUCCUCCUCCGCCAUCUCCUUCUCGAAAGUCACUUGCCUGGCUUUCUCAGUCGGCGGCAGCGACUUCUAAAGACAAAGAUCGUCAGUACAAAAAAAAGACACAUCCAUGACAUUUUGGGCCGAAUGAAUUUUUUCUGUCAUACUUAUGACACUUCUAUGACGAUAAUUAUGAAAAACCCUGUAUCAUCAUAGAUGUGGUGGGCUCCUACUUCUAGGAGAAAAAAUCAUGACAGAAAAUGGGCUUUUUGUCCUGGGCGGGCCGGAGACGCACCUACAUGACAUUCUUUGGGCUGUCCAUGAUGGAAAAAAUCAUUGUAGAAGCGAGGGCGAGGAAAAUUUCGGGGACUUCCCGAUUACGGUGGGUGGUCGGGGCCGAGGAAUGCAUGGAGGUUUGUGCGUUUCUCUCGUAUACGUACGCGCAUGUGAACCCGAGCGAUUGCACUAGCUACAUUACUGAACCCUGAUCGAUCCCUUGCUGUUAACUAAACCCGAUCGAGCGAUUCCUUCACCACUGCUGCUAACUGAAGCCGAUCAAACCUACUGCCUCCUUCCCUUGAUGAACAAUCAGCGUUGUUGGGAAGGGGGGGGGGUUGGAUGAACAGUUCCUAGUGGGGGGUUGGAUGAACAGGACCCCGUGGUAGUUGAGGCCGUUGCCGCUGGAUGAACAGUACCCCGAUUGAUCAAGCCGGUUGGGUGUGGAUGAACAGGACCCUGUGGGGGCUGGAUGAACAGGACGACCCCGUGGAGGGCUGGUUGAACAGUAGCCGGUGGAGGGCUAGAUGAACAUUAGCCCGUGGAGGGGUGGUUGAAUAGAACCCCAUGGAGAGGGCUGGUUGAAUAUUAGCUGGUGGAGGAGCGGUGGAGUCUGGAUGAACAGGAGCCCGUGGAUGAACAGUUGCAGGUGGAGGCUGGAGGAGGUCAACGAUGGAUGAACAGUAGCUCGUGGAGGCUGGAGGAGGUCGAUGGUAGAGAUGAACAGUAGCCCAUAGUCCCAUUUUGUGGUACUCCACACCCCUCCCGAUGAAUAGGACCCCCGUUUCGACCGUAGCGCUCCAACACAAGUCUGUUUCCUCCGUUUUGCGGUACGCCACACCCCUCCCGAUCAAUAGGACCCUGUUUCAAACGUAGGCACUUGGACACAAGUCUGUUUUCUCCGUUUUGCGGUACGCCAGACCCCUCUCGAUGAACAGAAUCCCGUUUUGACUCUGGGCGAUCGAACAGAAGGCCGUUUCCUCCAUUCUGCGGUACGCCAGACCUCGUUUCGAUAGGCUAUUCCGUCCAAGUCGGUUGCCUCCCGAUGAACACGACGACACAGUUUCUCCACUCCGACCCAGGCGGUUGGCUGCCCGUGAACAGGACGCCGUCGCUGCCUCUCCAUGUACAAGAGCCCUAGCCAUACGUAUGCGUGAGUAGGCGUUCGAGACCCCGCCCGUAUGUAUGUAUGUGGCCGUAUUUACUUUCUUGCAGACUGGCUGUACGUAUGUGUACAUGCUACGUGCGCGCCUCUACUAUGACAUGUGCGCGCCUCUACUACGACAUGUGCGCGCCUCUACUAUGACACGUGCCCUUCCUUACUCGGCCAUGGUUCAUCGUUGCAGCAUGCAGACAGACCGAUCGACCAGUAUGUACAUACAUGUUCGCGACCAGAAUGACAACGCUACGUAUGCUUCGACCAGGUGGGUCCCGACUGUUAGGCAUUUCCUUGCAUGCGAAGAUGUAGCUUGUGGGUCCCAGCAGUCAGGGGGGAAACAUUUUUUUCGCGAAAUAUGGUGGCCCGUCCGAUGGGUCCCCACUGUCAAGUGGAGGAAUAAUUAUUUUACACGUAAUAAGGUUGCACUUCCUUGCUGCGGCCAUGGACCCAGCUGCCGGCCUCUCCACAUACAGUACUCUUCCGAUGGAAGUCAUUCCUUGACCACAUUGACCACGCCGCGCCGAGAGCACCAAGGCGGUGGAUGAGGUGAGGCCUAGGAAGGGGACAACACGGAGCUGGGGAAGACGCGGCUGUGGAUGCCCACGCGGAGAGGAGUACGAGGGUUGAUGGGUUCGGCUGUGGUGUGAGGCUGCUGUCGCCGCAGAAUAACAGGGGUUGUGGGUGAGUGGAGGGAUGGCCUGGCUAGAGGUUGGAGUAGGGUGGGGUGGUCAGACCUGCACGGCAGCAGAGCCGACCACCGGAGGCAAGAGCAGGCGGCAUGAUAGGCGCUGGUUUGGGCGGCUGGAGCAAGAAGACCAAAGGUUGAAGAAGCACUACGGCCGUUGGAUGGACAUCGUACAUUCAUUGGAGCUAAAAAAAUCGUUCAUAUUGACUAAGUUGACAAAGCCCUCUGUCCGCAUCAACUUAGUAGGCCCACAAGUCAGCCUCCCACUAUGGUGGGUCCCAGCUAGCAGGGGGAGUAUUCUUUUUUUAAUAAGGAGGCACUUUCUUGCGUGCAAAGGUAUAGCUGGUGGGUCCGAUCUGUUAGCGGGAGGAACAUUUUUUUCAUGAAAUUUAGAGGCCCUUCCAGUGGGUCCUAGCUGUUAGGUGGAGGAAUCAUUAUUUUGCGCAUAAUAAGGAGGCACUUCCUUGCGUGCGGCCGUGGACCCACUGUCAGCCUCUCCACAUACAAUCGUCUUCCGAUGGAUGUCAUUUGUUGACCACAUUGACUAUGCCGCCGAGAGAACUAGGGUGGUGGACGAUGGUGAGGCCCCAGACUGCAAUGACCCAGAGAAGCCCCACUGUUUUCACGUAAUAAGGAGGCACUUGCUUGUGUGGGUCCCUGAUACAUCUCCAACGUAUCUACUUUUCCAAACACUUUUGCCCUUGUUUUGGACUCUAACUUGCAUGAUUUGAAUGAAACUAACCCGGACUGACGCUGUUUUCAGCAGAAAUACCAUGAUGUUGUUUUAUGUGUAGAAAAGAAAAGUUCUUGGAAUGACCUGCAAAUCCACGGAGGGACUUUUCAGCAUUAAUAAGAAUUUUUGGCGAAAGAAUCAGGGCCAGGGGGCCCAAGGCCUGUCCAUGAGAAUGGGGGGCGCCCCCCCCUAGGGCACGCCCCCUAUCUCAUGGGCCUCCUGGACCUCCUCCGACCUCAACUCCGACUCCAUAUAUACCGUCUCGCGGAGAAAAAAUCAGAGAGAAAGUUUCAUCACGUUUUACGAUACGAAGCCGCCGCCAAGCCCUAAUCUCUCUUGGGAGGGCUGAUCUGGAGUCCGUACGGGGCUCCGGAGAGGGGGAUUCAUCGCCGUCGUCAUCAUCAACCAUCCUCCAUCACCAAUUUCAUGAUGCUCACCGCCGUGUGUGAGUAAUUCCAUCAUAGGCUUGCUGGACGGUGAUGGGUUGGAUGAGAUUUACCAUGUAAUCAAGUUAGUUUUGUUAGGGUUUGAUCCCUAGUAUCCACUAUGUUCUGAGAUUGAUGUUGCUAUGACUUUGCUAUGCUUAAUUCUUGUCACUAGGGCCCGAGUGCCAUGAUUUAAGAUCUGAACCUAUUAUGUUUUCAUGAAUAUAUGUGUGUUCUUGAUCCUAUCUAGCAAGUCUAUAGUCACCUAUUAUGUGUUAUGAUCCGACAACCCCGAAGUGACAAUAAUCGGGACACUUCUCGGUGAUGACCGUAGUUUGAGGAGUUCAUGUAUUCACCAUGUGUUAAUGCUUUGGUCCGGUUCUCUAUUAAAAGGAGGCCUUAAUAUCCCUUAGUUUCCACUAGGACCCCGCUGCCACGGGAGGGUAGGACAAAAGAUGUCAUGCAAGUUCUUUUCCAUAAGCAUGUGUGACUAUUUACGGAAUACAUGCCUACAUUACAUUGACGAACUGGAGCUAGUUCUAUAUCACCCUAUGUUAUAACUAUUGCAUGAGGAAUCGCAUCUGGCAUAAUUAUCCAUCACUGAUCCAUUGCCUACGAGCUUUUCAUAUAUUGUUCUUCGCUUAUGUACUUUUCCGUUGCUACUGUUACAACUAUUACAAAAACCCAAAAACAUUUAUAUUUACUGUUGCUACUGUUACCAUUACUAUCAUACCACUUUUGCUACUAAAUACUUUGCUGCAGAUACUAAGUUAUCCAGGUGUGGUUGAAUUGACAACUCAACUGCUAAUACUCAAGAAUAUUCUUUGGCUCCUCUUGUGUCGAAUCAAUAAAUUUGGGUUGAAUACUCUACCCUCGAAAGCUGUUGCGAUCCCCUAUACUUGUGGGUUAUCAAGACUAAUUUCUGGAGCUGUUGCCAGGGAGCAUAGCUCUAUUCUCUGAGUCACUUGGUAUUUAUAUCUGUUGAUCACUAUGAAGAACUUGAAAGACGCUAAGACCAAGAUUUUGCCCUCAACUACGAGGGGAGGUAAGGAACUGCCAUCUAGCUCUGCACUAGAUUCUCCUUCCGUUAUUGAUAGGAUUGCGACACCUAAACCUGCUACUGCUAUGAAUUCUGAUAUGUCGCAUUUUAUUGAUGAUGCCACUUCUGCUAUGCAUGAUGAAACUACUUCUGUGCGUGAUACUACUUUGCCAUUAGGUGAAUUUCUUGAUGAACAAUUUGCUAGAGUUAGGGGGAAUGAAAAUAUUGAAGAACCUAUUAAUGAUGAUAGUGAUGAUGAACGUUCCCCCAAUGAUUAUGUAUUACCUGUUGUUCCUAAGGGUUAUGUUAUGAACAAAGAAGCUGCUGAAGCUAUUCUUGCUUGCAAUGAUAGAAAUGAUCUUAAGAAAUUAUUAGCUAAAUGGAAGCAACAGUCUCUUAAUGCUAGAAUGAAACCCGAUCUUGCUUUUGCUACUUCACCUAUUUGUGUUACUGAUAAGGAUUAUGAAUUCUCUGUUGAUCCUGACAUUAUUACUUUAGUUGAAUCUGAUCCUUUUUAUGGCCUUGAAUCUGAAACUGUUGUGGCACAUCUUACCAAGGUUAAUGACAUAGCCACCCUAUUUACUCAUGAUGAUAAGUCUCGCUAUUUAUAUAUCCUUAAGAUUUUCCCAUUCUCAUUAAAGGGUGAUGCUAAGACUUGGUAUAAUUCUCUUUCUCCUAGUUGUGUGCGUAGUCCCUAGGAUAUGAUUUAUUACUUCUCUGCUAAAUAUUUCCCUGCUCAUAAGAAACAAGCUGCCUUGCGAGAAAUAUAUAAUUUUGUGCAAUCCAAAGAAGAGAGUCUCCCACAAGCUUGGGGGAGGCUUCUCCGGUUGCUUUAUGCUUUGCCUGAUCAUCAUCUUAAGAAAAAUGAAAUACUUGAUAUCUUUUAUAAUGGACUAACCGAUGCUUCCAAGGACCACUUGGAUAGUUGUGCUGGUUGUGUUUUUAGGGAAAGAACAGUCGACGAAGCUGAAAUAUUAUUGAAUAAUAUGUUGACUAAUGAAAAUAAUUGGACUCUUCCCGAGCCAGUUCCUGAAGUAAUUCCUGAACCAAUUGAGCCAACUCCUGAGCCUAUUCCUAAACCCACUCCAAAGAAGAGAGGUGUUUUAUUCCCCAGUCCUGAAGAUAUGCAAGAGGCAAAGAUAUCAAUCUUUACCUAAUAAUAAAGAAAAUUGGGUUUCUGUCGUCCGUCAUUAAAAUUACCCCCGAAGUUGGCAUAAAUUACCCACUAUGCCACCCAUAAGUGGAAAAAACGGUUCGCUUCUUUUUUGAAAAUCGCGCUCGGUUUUGUGUAAUUAGAUGCCGCUACAUUUAUACAACAGGAUCACCCCGAUGGCGCAGUGGCUGUGAUCGCUGCACUGCCCGUGGGAGACCAGAGUUCGACGCCUAGCACUACCACCUUUCUUUCCUUUUUUUCUAUCGCAAACGCACAUGCUUCCCUAAUUAAUGGGUCGGCUCAGUUCUAGGUGGUAGCACAUCAUUUUCCUAUUUUGUUUUUUCCUUUUUAAUUUCUCAUUUUUCUUUUAGUUUUUCCUUUUUAAAAUUAAUUUUUGAUUUAUAAAAUAACCAAAUUUUAAAAGUUGUGAGUUUAAAAAAGUUGAGAAAUCAUAAAUUGUUUGUGAAUUCAAAAAAUAUUUGAAAACUCAUAAAAUGAUCGCGAUUACAAAAAAUUGUUCGUAUAUUACAAAAAAGAUCACGAUUUCAAAUAAAUGUCAUGAAAUGAGAAAUGCUCAUGCUUUCUAAAAUAAUAUUAUUCAAAACAUUUUCCGUUUUAAUUUCUCAUUUUUCUUUUAGUUUUUCCUUUUUAAAAUUAAUUUUUGAUUUAUAAAAUAACCAAAUUUUAAAAGUUGUGAGUUUAAAAAAGUUGAGAAAUCAUAAAUUGUUUGUGAAUUCAAAAAAUAUUUGAAAACUCAUAAAAUGAUCGCGAUUACAAAAAAUUGUUCGUAUAUUACAAAAAAGAUCAUGAUUUCAAAUAAAUGUCAUGAAAUGAGAAAUGUUCAUGCUUUCUAAAAUAAUAUUAUUCAAAACAUAUUCGGGAGUUUAAAAAAAUGUCCAUGAAAUUUUAGAAUAUGUUCACAAAAUUGAAAUAGAUCCAUAAAUAAUGAACAUAACGAACCGUCGCUUACGUUCAAGUUUUAUUAGGAGAUCUGUAGAGGUCAUUUUAUGAUUUUAUUUAGUCCCUUGCGUCGGGUAAAAAAAGGUUUUCCUAACUUGUACAACGUUGAGCCCCCUAAAAUUGACACAACUUUCUGUGGGUUACUUUUUGUAAGCUAUAUGAAACUAACUGAAUUUCUAUUUUUCCUCCGUACACAACUAUGUUUAUUCUGGCGUGAUAAUACUGAUUAUGAGAAACACUACUACUCUAGGUCAGGGUGAGACACAUCAUUUAUCAGUCUAGCUCAGACAGUGUCCAUCAAUGCAGUUUGCUCAGUGGAUUUUUUUUGUUGUGGCGUCUUAGGAGAUCAAGUCGUGAUAAGACCAUCACAUUUUUUUAAAUGACUCUUUAAAAGUAUCUUACCUCAUCAUGACAUCACUCGAGCAUAGUUUGUGAAAUGACAUUUUAAAAGUCCUGAUCUCAUCCGGGCAUUUGAUUCAGACUUUUUUUAUAUCUAUCCCACCUGUAUAAUCUAAUACUUUUACCCUCAAAAAAUCUAAUAUUUUUUCUCCCGUUGCAACGCACGGGCAAAUUUGCUAGUGAAAGAAAAAGGUAUUAAAGCUGAAGAUGUUAAGAAUUUACCUCCUAUUGAAGAAAUACAUGGUCUGAAUAUACCACCUAAAGAACCACUUUGUCCUGAUAACCGGACACAGGUAGUGAAGGUAAAUUCUCUCUAUAGAUAUGAUAAAUUUGAAAUACCCUCUACUAAAUUUCAUAGCCCAUGGUUAGAUGAAUUUGAUGACUUUAUAGCUAGACAAGAAAGUUUUAAUGCUUAUGUUGGUAGAGAGUUAAAUAAUAAUGCUUUCGAGAUAGGACGCGUAGGUGAUAAUCUGGCUAGAGUUAAAGAUGAACUUCACCGCGUUAGCAAAUAUGCUUCUAUGGUUGCUACUCAAGCUGAGCAAGUGCUCAAGGCUCAAAAUGAUUUGCUUGAGGAAUUGAAUAAUAAAAAUGACUUUGCUGUUAGAGUGGCUACUAGAACUGGUAGAAUGACUCAGGAACCUUUGUAUCCUGAAGGCCACCCUAAAAGAAUUGAACAAGAGUCUCAGAAUAAUAAUCUAGAUGUUCCUAGUUCUUCUAAGAAGAAGAAAAAGAAAAAUGAUAGGACUGUGCAAACUUCUAGUGAACCUAAUAUUGAAACACUUGAGAAUCCCAAUGAUACUUCUAUCUCUGAUGCUGAAACACAAUCCGGAGAUGAACAUGAACUUGAUGAUAAUGCUAAUAAUGAUGUUCAUGUGGAUGCUCAACCUAGUAAUAACAAUGAUGUAGAGAUUGAAUCUGCUGUUGAUCUUGAUAACCCACAAUCAAGAAACCAACGUUAUGAUAAGAGAGAUUUUGUUGCUAGGAAGCACGGUAAAGAAAGAGAACCAUGGGUUCAGAAACCCAUGCCCUUUCCUCCUAAACCAUCCAAGUCAAAGGAUGAUGAGGAUUUUGAGCGCUUUUCUGAAAUGAUUAGACCUAUUUUCUUACGUAUGCGCUUAACUGAUAUGCUUAAAGUAAAUCCUUAUGCUAAAUACAUGAAGGAUAUCAUCACAAAUAAAAGAAAGAUACCGGAAGCUGAAAUUUCCACCAUGCUUGCUAAUUACACUUUUAAGGGUGGAAUACCUAAGAAACUUGGUGAUCCCGGAGUACCCACUAUACCCUGCUCUAUUAAAAGAAAUUAUGUUAGAACUGCUUUACGUGAUCUUGGAGCCGGUGUUAGUGUUAUGCUUCUCUCUUUAUAUCUUAGACUUGAAUUGAAUAAGUUGACACCUACUGAAAUAUCUUUGCAAAUGGCUGAUAAAUCAACUGCUAUACCUGUCGGUAUUUGUGAGGAUGUGCCUGUUGUGGUUGCAAAUGUCACUAUUUUAACGGAUUUUGUUAUUCUUGAUAUUCCUGAGGACGAUAGUACGUCUAUUAUCCUUGGUUGACCUUUUCUUAAUACUGCAGGGGCUGUUAUUGAUUGCAACAAAGGCAAUGUCACUUUUCAUGUUAAUGGCAAUGAGCAUACGGUACACUUUCCGAGGAAACAAUCUCAAGUUCAUAGCAUCAAUUCUAUUGAAAAAGUUCCAACUAUCUUUUUUUGGAGGUUUUGAAUUUCCUCUCCCUACUGUCAAGAAAAAGUAUGAUAUUCUUAUUGUUGGGGAUUUUCAUAUCCCCGUUGAGGUAACUUAGUGUUAUUCGAAAUUUCUCCGGUUCCGUGUUAUUCGGAAUGAGUUUGUUAACAAGACUUGAUCAACCUUGUUAGCGGGUUCAUUUUGAUGACCACGAGAUGGACGAAACUAGAAGGCACAACCCUCUGUACCCUCUUUUUACUUUCUGUUAUUUAGAAUAAAUAAAGCAAAAAUAGUAUUAUCCAUCUGUUUUCUGAAUUAUCCGUGCAUUAAAAAAUAGUCCGAAAAUAAAAGUGCUCCAAAUGCCCUGCAAAUUUAGUAUGAUUUUUUCUGAAAUAUUUGAGGAUUUUAGGCACUGAAAACACUGCAGGAGGGGCAAGCACCAGGCCACGAGAGAGGAGGGCGCGCCCCCCUGUAGGGCGUGCCCCCUCUCUUGUGGGCCCCUGGUGGCUCCCCUCCACUUACGCCAGCACCCACACACUCCAUCUUCUACCCAAAAAAUUCCCCAUCCAGCUCAAGCACGAGUUCUAGCUCGUUUUGCUGCGAUUUUCGAUCUCUUAGCUCAAAGCUCCAUUCACAAAACUGCUUUGGGAGAUUGUUGCUUGGUAUGUGACUCCUCUAUUGAUCCAAUUAGUUUUUGUUCUAGUGCUUUAUUCAUUGCAAAUCCUUGCUGUCUUGGUGACCCUGUUCUUGAGCUUGCAUGUUAAAUUUUUGAGGUUCCAAGUAAUUCUAAUGCAUGAUAUAGGCUCUAGGCACUUGUAGGAGUAGUUGCUAUCAAUCUUGUUUAGUUUUAUGCACUUUUAUUUUGAAGUUACUAAAAUUUCAGAAAUUUUCAGAAAAAGAAAUAUGCUUGGGAGAAUGUAUGAAGGUGGUUCCUCGGCAAAGAAAGGGCCAAGGAUUGCUAUACAUGAGCAAGAUGUUGAAUUGUCGAGGAAUGCAUGUGUACGAGCCUGCGAGUGGCCAUCCGAUGAUUUUAUGAUUGAAGCAGGCUUCAAGGAGGAAUUUGACGCGUAUGUGCGUAAUGCUGAGCUGGAGGACUUCUUACAAGAUAAGUGUCCUCAGUACUCUCAAUUGACUGAUUCCUUUGUGCGGAGGUUUAAAUAUAACUGUACACGUAAUUCUCCUAGUGUCCUAUUUGAUAUUUAUGAUACAUCUUACACCAUGGACUUAGAGGAUUUUACAACUGCUUGCAAACUCCCGCAGUGGGGCAAUAUUAAUGAUCCUCCCAAAUCUGAAUUUAGAGAUUUCCUUGCGAAUAUUACUGUGGGAGAAUCUAGGGACGUAGCACAAGCUACCAUAGGGAGCAUUCAUUUUCCUGCUUUACAUUACUUUGCUCUGUUUAUUGGUAGAUGCAUUAACAGUAAGGACGAGGUAUCUCACAUGUGUGCACCUGAUAUUUGUGUCCUCAAGAGUGCUGUGUCAGGUUAUAAAGGUUAUAACUUGGGGGCAAUUGUUGCACGUAGGUUGCAGAAUAAUAGUAGAAAGGGAAAUGUCUUUGGAGGAAUUUAUGCAACCCGGGUGGCUAAUUUUCUUGGUAUAGCCCCGCGAGAAGGAGAUAUGAUAAUGCCUCCUGUUUGUUUGUAUAAAGAAGCUAUGUUUAGUCAUCAUUUUCUUGAGAGGAAUGUGCAAUUCCUCCUUUAUGGACUAAUCUAUGACAGACACAACGUCGUCCCUGUCACUCUUCCUGCUCCCUACCUUUUUGAUUAUCAGGCAAGAGGAAGAUAUGUUGUGACCAGGGAAGAAGCCACUAAAUAUGAGAGGGGAAUGGAGGCAGCUCGCCAACACACUGCUGCCCUGGAGGCUGUUGCCUCUGCAUCUCAGUACAAUCCCAGUUUCACUUAUGGAUAUCAGCGAGGCGGUCCUUGGUAUUAAACCAACUUAGGCCAAAAGCCUAGGCUUGGGGGAGUACGUAUUUCUCACCGACUUUACAUUCAUGUUCACACACUAGUCGUCGGUGCUCAUACUCUUUCAUUGUAUUAUCCAUGCUAGUUUAAAUUUCCUUUUUCUAGUCUUUUUCUUGUGUGUUUAAUAAACCUUGAGAAAAACCAAAAAAAUUAGUUAGUUUAAUUUCCUUGCUUGUAGUAGAAAUUAAAAUGAAAAACCAAAAAGAUUUCUAGUUCUUCUUUUUUUACAUGUUGGGAGCUUUCCCGUGUAAAUAGUUUUAUUUUCUUUUCUUUCCUUUGGGGGUCGAGAAGACCAUAUUGAAAAUGCUUAGUGGCUCUUAUAUGCGUGAUUGGUUAUUUAUAUUUAGAGCCCAUAUUAUUUGUCUUCUCUCUUGAGUUGAAUGCUUGCAGAUUCCAGCUUAGUCCAAUGCACAUGCACUCUUAUUAUUAUACACAUCGUUUGGUCGUGCGAGUGAAAGGCAAUAAUGAUGAUAUAUGAUGGACUUAUUGGGAUGAGAAAAGCUGGUAUGAACUCGACCUCUCUUGUUUUUGUAAAUAUGAUGAUUCAUCGUUCCCGAGUCAGCUAUUAUGAAGUAAACAUAUUUGCCAUGACAUUUAGAGAUUAUAGUUACUUGUGCCAUGCUUGAUUAGCUAUGAGUUAUAAUGGUUUACCUUGCGUGCCAACAUGCUAUUAGAGUGGUUAUGAUGUGGCAUGAUGGGAUGGUAUCCUCGUUUAAAUGAAUUGAGUGACUCGACUUGGCACAUGUUCACGCAUGUAGUUGAAUCAAAUCAACGCAACCUUCACGAUAUUUAUGUUCAUGGUGGAUUAUAUCCUACUCAUGCUUGUACUUGGUGUGAAUUAAUUUUAAUGCAUGCUUACGACUGUUGUCUCUCUCUCAGUUGGUCGCUUCCCAGUCUUUUGCUAGCCUUCACCUGUACUAAGCGGGAAUACUGCUUGUGCAUCCAAACUCUUUAAACCCCAAAGUUGUUCCAUAUGAGUCCACUAUACCUUCCUAUAUGCGGUAUCUACCUGCCGUUCCAAGUAAAUUUGUAUGUGCCAAACUCCAAAUCUUCAAAUGAAGUUCUGUUUUGUAUGCUCGAGAAACUCAUGUAACAACUAGGGCUGCCUAUAUCUUCCAUGCUAGGUGUGUUAUUCUCAAAGGAGUGGACUCCGCUCCUCAUUCACGAGAAAGGGCCGGUAACCGGGAUGCCCAGUCCCAUGAUCCAAAAAGAUCAAAGCAAAUAAAAAUAAUUAAACAAAACUCCCCCAGGGCUGUUGUAUGUUGGAGGCACUCGUUGUUUCGAGCAAGCCAUGGAUUGAUGCUUGUUGGUGGUUGGGGGAGUAUUUUUGACACCAGAUUUUGGCACGGUCAAUAACUUAUUUAAGAUGGCCUCAAAUAGAGAAGUGAUCUUCAUGAAAGAGUUCCGUAUUGUCUAUAUGAACAUCUUUGAAGUUUGGGUCAUCGCAGUCCGAUUUCAUCUCGAAGGCCGAAACUAUGCUCAAAGUACUAAGAUCUUAUAUUCAGAGUACAGUUUGGCUGAUUAAUCCCCCAAGAUGACCUCAAAUAGAAAUAUUAUCUACAUGGAUUGUCUUCGCCUCGUCGAAACGAUCGAUUUUGAUAUAAAAAUCGUUCCAAUCCGAGUUCGUAUGCAAAAGUUAGAGCCAUCGGAAUACAGCCCUGUCAGGAGGCAAAAACCGGCGCGCCCCACCAGACACCAUGUCUGAUGGGUAGCGCGAGGGAUAGCCUGUUUUGCGCGACCUAUUUGACCCUCAAGAUGACCUCUGAUCACAAAACGUUCAACAUAAAAGUUGUUCGUCUCGUCGAAACGGUCAAGAUUGCUUUUGGGCUAGUUUCCAUCCGAGAUCGUUUACCAUCACAAAAAAGACCCGCAAGGUGCAGCUAGUUUAAACCGAACAGUUUUGGAAAGUUCGGACAAAAUCAAUCCAAAUUUGACUAGGGUUUUGGACGUGAAUCCAAGACUGUUCCUUGCACGGGAAGUCCAGCGCCUCUUAUAUACCUAAGGGGUGAUGGCCGAUUGAACAACACCAAUCGAACAAACACAUCCAAUACUUUUUCGUGUUCAUCUACUUUUAUCUCUCCCCUUGUAUCUUUCUUCUCGUUUUUCGUCGUUCUUCAAGAUUGGAGGCUGCGAAUCCACGAGGCUCUAGGGGCGGUAAGGACGACCUCGAGCAGCCAAUCGUCGCCGCAAGCCCUGACGGGGUCCCUCCCGGGCGAGCGGGGCGUCUGGUCCCAAAAGUGUCGGCUUGCUGUCUUGCGUAUCGCGCUGGAAGUCGGCCUCCCGCGGUGUGAGUUGCGGAGCAUCUCCCUCGGUGCCGCGGGUACACAUCGACGUGUUCGUGUGACGCGUUCCAGCGUCAACACACUUUUUGGCGACUCCGCUGGGGACGAAGCUUUGAACGGUCUCCGGCCCGUUCUUGCUACGAAGAGAUCGUCAUCUAGGGUUUGCAAUCUACAAAGGUAAUAUGAAUACUCGAUUCACUUAUGUAGACACAAUUAAUGCAUAUGUUGUUGCUAGAUCCUCUAAUGAACAUAAUGUAUCGGCUAGCCCUAGUUUUAUCAAUCAUGUAUCUAAUUAUGUGCAACAGCCGAUUCAGAAUAAUCUUCAUGCUUCAACUUUAUAUAAUUUUAGCAACAUGCAACAUAUGUAUCCCAACUCCCAUGCAUCGGCAACCCCACAAAUAUAUAUGCUGAUGAACAACAUGAUGAUUUCGGUUAAUCAAGUUGAAACACCCAAUGUAGGAACUUCCAAUGGCAUGCAACAUAGUGUUUCAUCUUUUUAUUCAUCGUCAGCUAAUUUGCAACAUGUUAAUCCAAACAUGCCAGUGGAUAGGGGAAUUGGCCAUGCUACUACUAGUUAUUCGGCCAAUUACCCUCAAACAUCGUAUGCUACACCUCAUGCUACUAGUUUUUUGGCACCAUACACGACUAUUGAUGUCCAUAAUUCGGCUCCGCACCUUAAUGGUCAUGGCCGAAUAAGUGAAACUUCUACAGGAGCACAAAUGCCUUCACCUACUACCGUGGCAUAUCAUGUUCCUCCUACACAAUUUGCUGAUCAGGUCGAGAGCCCCUGAAUCCGGCGUUGAUCGUCAUGCUGUCCGGGCUCUCUUCCUUGUUUUGGCGUUUGUUUUUUAUUACGCCGUGGCUUCCCGUUGCCAUCCCUUAGUUCGGAUGUGCUGGGGUCGCUGGUGCCUUUACGGGCCAACCAGCUAUCCUCACCCGCGCAAAAGCGGGUCAUAAGGCUUGUUAAGGCUGCCAUUGUCCUUGGCUUUUCUUGGCCGAGGUGUCGGGCGAGCCAUUCGUCAGGGAUGCUGUGUUUGAAAGCCGCUAAGGCUUCAAUGUCCGGACAGUCGACAAUUUGAUUCUUCUUAGUGAGGAAUCUGUUCCAAAGCUUGCGGGCGGACUCUCCGGGCUGUUGGACUAUGUGACUUAGAUCGUCUGCAUCCGGAGGCCGGACAUAAGUCCCUUGAAAAUUGGCCCUGAAAGCGUCUUCGAGUUCCUCCCAACUCCGAAUUGAGUUUUCGGGGAGGCUUUUCAACCAGUGUCGAGCUGGUCCCUUCAACUUGAGGGGAAGGUAUUUGAUGGCGUGGAGGUCAUCCCCACAAGCCAUGUAAAUAUGCAGGAUAAAAUCCUCGAUCCAGACCCCUGGGUCUGUCGUGCCGUCGUAUGCUUCUAUGUUCACAAGUUUAAUGCCUUGUGGGAAUUCAUGGUCUAGUACUUCUUUGGUGAAGCACAGGGGGUGAGCAGCCCCUCUGUAUCUGGAUGCAUUGUGGCAUGUAGUCGGCUGUUGUUGUGUCCGGGAUUGAUUCCGAACUAGUAUCUGGCUUUUAUGAGCGUUUGGGUGACCAUAGUCCUGCGCUGGGGUGUGUCUUCUAGAUCCGUAUAGACCUGGAUGCACCGGUCUUUUUAUCCGGAUGCUUGCAUGGAUCGUGCGCAGUGUCUGCGGCUGCUCUGUUAUGGCUGUGAGGCGGUACGUCUGGUUUCUUGGUUGAAUUUUCUUUUGGAGGAACGGCCGCGUCGUCGAAUUCUGGCAGUAGCUUACGCUUCAGAUAGCUUUUCGUAUGGCGGUCAUCGCCAUAUCUUUCUUCAGUGUCUAGCACCCUAUUCCAUCUGCGACUUAGCUUUUCCUGUGCGGCCUUGAGCCGUUGCUUCUGCUUUUCUAGACUUCUUGCGGUGGCCAUAAGCUUUCUGUGGAGGUUGUCUCGUUCCACUUGUUCGUUCGGGAUGAUGAAUGCAUCGUCGUCUGGACCGUCUUCCUGUUCUGGGGCGGCAUCCUGAGCUCGUCCCUUCGGAUCAUUAAGAUAGUUUAUUUGCUCCGAACUUGAUUUGGCGUGACCUGGCUCGUCCUACUCCAUCGCUGGGUCCAUGUGGUCAUUAUUGCUUUUGGAGUUUGCGGGUAUAUCGACCCUUCUUGCGCUCUUGUCACUAUUUUUGCCAUUGCUGGACUUCGAGUGGCGUCUGCGCCGCCUCUUUGGCUUUUCCCGGGUGUUUUAACGUCCGGACUGCCGUCCUUAUUGGGCGUAUCUACCAUGUAUAUAUCGUAUGACAAGGUACUAGUCCCGCGCUCCAGGGAUUCUGGAGCCUCUCCUGCAUCGUCGUCCAUACCGUCGAUGUGUUCGGAGUCAAGCACGUUGGUUAAUUCUUCGAUCGUGGCAAUGAAGUGGGUGGUGGGUGGGCGGCGAGGUCCUUCGUCGUCUGCUUCCCACUUGGGCCGUACAUAAUUCGGCCCAAAGCCUCCUGACAAAGAGAGAGACUUCAAUGAGUUUAGUAUGUCGCCGAAGGGCGAGUGCUGAAAGAUGUCCGCGUCGGUAAACUCCAUUACUGGAGCCCAGCCUGGCUCGGCUGGCUCGAGAGUGAGUGGACCAGGACCAACAACCAGAUAUGAGUCAGGGGCCCCAAGUUUACAGGCCUCCUCAGAGGUGAGACCCGUGUUCGGCUCCACCGCCAAUAAGUGUGCGGCCUGCGGGGCAGGGUCCAGCCCUCCGUCUGUAGGCAACACAACCUGCCCUGGAUUUAGAUCCGGGGCUGCCUCGGGGAGAAUGUCCCGGGCAUUGUCCGACAACAGGUCUAGGCCGUGCUCGUCGUGGCUGUCCGGUGCUCCUAGCACAGGCUCGAAUUCGUCGAAGAUCAAAUCUCCGCGGACAUCUGCCGUGUAGUUCAAGUUUCCGAACCGGAUCUGGCGGCCACGGGUGAAGCUGUCGAUCUGCUCCAACUGGCCAAGUGAAUUGGCCUGAGUGCAAAGCCGUCGAACACAAAGAUCUGUCCGGGGAAAAGAGUCUCACCCUGGACCGUGUCAUUGACGAUUGAAGACGCCAUCAAGCCUCGAAGCGACGACACAAAGGAACUCUCAACGAAAGCACCAAUGUCGGUGUCAAAACUGGCGGAUCUCGGGUAGGGGGUCCAGAUCUGUGCGUCUUAGGCUGAUGGUAACAGGAAGCGAGGGACACAAUGUUUACCCAGGUUCGGGCCCUCUCGAUGGAGGUAAAACCCUACUUCCUGCUUGAUUAAUAUUGAAGAUAUGUGGAAUACAAGAGUAGAUCUACCACGAGAUCGUAGAGGCUAAACCCUAAGAGCUAGCCUAUGAUGGUAUGAUUGUAAUUGUGAUCGGCCUUCUAAGGACCAUGCUCUCCGGUUUAUAUAGACACCGGAGAGCUAGGGUUUACAUGGAGUCGGUUACAAGGAAGGAAACAUAAUAUCCAGAUUGCCAAGCUUGUCUUCCACACAAAGGAGAGUCCCAUCCGGACAUGAGCCGAAGUCUUGAGUCUUGUAUCUUGACGCUUCUAUAGUCCGGAUGAUGUAUAUAGUCCUGCUGUCCGGAUACCCCCUUAUCCAGGACUCCCUCAACAUCGGAGGGAGUAGGGUGGGCCGGUGAAGCCUGUGCGGCAUCACAGCGGGCCACAAGAGGAGGGAGCAGGCAGUCCCGCCGGUGCUGGUUUAGGCGGAUGGAGCAGGAAGAUCAGAGAUUGAAGAAGCACGUCGGCCGUCGGAUGGACAUCCAAUAGUUACUGCUGCUAGAAUCGUGUGUUGACUGACAAAGCCUUGCAUAAACAAUUCAACCUCGAAAUCUGUGGCGUGUACAACCCAUUUGCUAUUAUUUUUAUAAUUUUUACUCAUUUGCUAAUUCAUAUGGAAUUUAUUGCAUCCCAUUUUCCAUUUUUAGAAUUUCUGCCCAUUUUCUGGUCAGUGUCAGGGUUAAAAAUUUGAACUAAAAACUAUGCGAAAUUUUAAAAAUUCGCAUAUUUUUGUUGGGAAACAAAAUAUUCUUAAUCCAAAAAUUAGUAGCCAUACUAUCUUUUUAAAAAUUAAUUAGUACUAUGUCAUGUUAAAAUCCAAUGAAAUAUAAAAUAUUAGUGAAGAACAAAAAAAGAAACUAAUUGCCCAUUUGCUAUAAUUCUUUUGGAAUUGCAACCCCUUUGAUAUUACUUUUAAGAUAUACUGACCAUACUCUUUGGCCAGGCCAGAAUGCAACCCUCCUCGUCUUGAAAGAUUUGCAGCCCAGUAAGUUAGAGAAAAGAAAUAGGCCUAGCUUGGGUAUUCUUCAAAAAGAAAUAGUGGGCUACCUUUUUUCCCAAAGAAAAAACUGCUGGGCUGGUCAUGUUGUUAGGUGGGCCACAGAGACCGCACAACCUAGUUUAUAGCCUGCUCCUCCAAACAAAUCCUCAAAAAAAGUUGUGCAAUUCUGUCGUUUAUUGACUAUACGUUGACAAUGAUGGGGUCCCAGAUAUCAGCAGGGUGGAUUAGAGUAAAAAAUGAGAGGUGCAUCUGAGUAGUAAAAGAGGCGCUUGCUUGUGUUCGGGAGUGGACCUGGUGGGUCCGUACUGUCAUACUCACAACUACAGUCCUCUCCUGAUUCACUAUGUUGAUAGGGCCGGACGGCGGUGCCGCGGCGAGCGCACGAAGGCAGAGGAUAAAGUGUUGUCGCCAAUGUGUUGGGCUGGGUUGGACAUUCUUAUCAAAAAAAUAAAAAUGGACCGAAAUUAUUUAUGAUGUUGACUAUGAUUUGCAUGGGUCCGCUGGUUGCAGGAAGAAAAUGGUGGGAGAAAGAAGACUAGUCGCUAUCUUUGCCUAAGAAUAAUAUCGAUUGAAUGUAAUGACACUAUCAUAGGAAAUAAUAUCCCCCUGUUAAAAUUUGACUUUUCAAAUCAUGAAUUUAAAGAACUCGUGCAUGAGCAUUUAGUUUUAUUUAUUUAUUUACUUAUUCAUGUUUUGGGGACCAUGAGCAUGUACCUGGGCCGGAUUCAUGUGAGAGCCUCCCUUCCAAUUAAUUAUGGGCUCCUCUAUUGGGCCUUCUUCAAUGGGCUGCAUGUUAUCGACAAGUGCAAAAUGUGUCCCAUGCCAAAAAUAGUAUGCGCUAUGUACGGUACAGGGCACUAAAGGAUCGGACCGUGCAACGAAUUACAAAACAAUGUGUUUGACAUUCUAACAACACAUUUAUUCAACCAAUAGACAAAAUAUACUACUGAUUGUACAUUGAAAACAACAGCAGCAGCAACCAGGCUGGGGGUGCAACAUAAGCAGUAAGCAGGCCAGAAGAGUAAUGACGCAACUCUCUCUUCCAAACCAAACAUCAGCUAUCAUUACAAAAGGGCUACCAAAAAAUAACAAGUGUAUGCAUCAAACUAAAUAAAGAUCCUACUACACCAAGUGUACGCAUCUAACUAACUGGCUCAGUUAGACGUUACUAUUUAUUAAGCUAUGGAGAUUGGCUGACGGCUUGAACCAGAUGGGUGCCUGACGGGGCAAACUCCAGCCAGCAAGUCAAAGUCUGAUACUUGCGACCCUCUCUCCUACUUUGGGCUGCAGAGCGUGGCAACACAUAUCAGGGUAUGGUGCAUGAAGAGACGCAUGGUAUGUUGUGUACACACAGUUUUGCCUGAUGAAUGAAACCACGCUGCCAUCAUGAUCCUUGCUGUUGGUUAUCUCCUGGUUAAUUGGAUAUUUCAGUCCGAGAAACAAAGAGCGUGUACCAAGGCUACUUACCAGCCUCCAAUCAAAAAUUCCUGAAGGCCCAGAGAAGCUGGGAUCCUGCAUAAAGACCUUGUAGUGACUGUGAUUGUAUUCCGCGAAACAACACGUCUGGUACGUGCGAACGAUGUCGUCUGAUCGAGCCAAGAACCACCUGCAACUGCCAUGCCGCUUUUAUUUGAAAGGUUCUGGGAUUAGGAAGGGUAAGGACACCAGGCGGCCUACAACAUCAUAUCAAGUUGGAGUCAAAUAAAAAAGGGCUCUUACUGUAGUCAAUCUUAAGAACAACAUGUUAUGAGCAUGAAUAUUUUUUCAGUAAAUGUUGAUAGUAAUAUAAGAAAGCCAUCAUGAUAUCAUAGGAAAGUAACAUACUGCUGUAACAGCUGUUUGUAGUGAUGACUGGAGUAGGCCAGCAAUACGUCCAGCCAUAGAAGGAUUCAAUAGCAUAAAUGAAGCCCUUGUGUUCAAUGGCAUCAGAGAACCAUGGAGGAUGUAUGAUCCUGCGAUGGACGUGCAGAUUUAUGCACUUACCGUAGUGACCUGUCAGAUAGGCGAGACCGCGCUUAAAGAACACAAUUAGCCUGAAGUCUUUAUAAUUUGCAGAUCUUGUGGGCACUUGGAGGAUUACAACCUUGAGCAAAUCAAACUUGGUAUCAUGUUGGCUACUGUAAGAUUCCGAGUAUUCUGGGUCGUGGUGCCAAAGCAGUGCACUAUUAAUCGAAGGAAGGGGGAUCAAUCGCCGGGUGUAGGCCUCCACGAGUAUCCAGCUACCGCGACCAUCGAUGAGCACCAUCCAAGACGUGUUCAUCCUGACCCGGUACAUACCGUUAAUGUAGUUGAGGGUGACGAGGCUCAGAUUGCAGUCAAGGGGGUUGAUGCUCACCACCCUAUGAUUGUUAUGCUGCAUCACAUGCCAUUUCUGAAGAUCACGCGGCAUCAGCAAGCAAGGAGCUGGCUUAAAAAGCUCAAGCCUAAGGGCUUUGAGUAAAUGGUACAACCCCGAUGAGCACGCGGAACAAUGAGCUUGAUUACCUCUGUGGGUAGCGAAUUCCAGCCACUCUUUCAGCGGACGCUGCUCGGUUCUGCCAUUGUUAGUGCUUGGGUUUUGGAAGAUGGAUGGAAUAAGAUUGGACGAUUAUGUGCGAACAAAGAUGAAGAAGCAAAUAUGUGCUACGGGAAGUGGACAGGUGAUGAUGACUACAACAUGCCACUUGACUUACGAUACACAUACCAGCCGCGUAGGGUUAUAUCGAUGCCAGACAACUUGCUUGAGUGAUCACAGUACUAGUACUCCCCACAAUACCUACUACUAUGCCCUAGUUUGCAUAUAGAGUAGUGGAGUAGGACUCUGCUCUACUAGUAGCACCGGAGGUGUAGUAUAUUCUAAUAAAAAAUAGUUACAAACUUCAAUGCCCAAGCGUGGAACGACUACGAACCGCAAUCGGAGCUAACUCCAAUCCCCAACAACCGUUCGCCGGGAGACAUGGUGAGGGAGUCCUGGAUUCAGGGGUCCUCAAGUGUCUGACCUAGGAGUAUGGGCCGGAUAGGAUGGGCCGUGCAAGGAUCAAGCUGAAGAUUAUCCCCCGUGUCUGGAUAUGACUUCUCUUUACGUGGCUAGCAAGAUUAGAGUCCGGAAGUUUCCUUCCUUGAUGAAACCGACCUUGUAUCAAUCCUCCGGUGUGUAUAUAAGCUGGAGGGGUUAGUCCGUAGGGGCAUUCAUCAUAAAAAUAUUCAUAGGCUAGACAUCUAGGGUUUAGCCAUAAUGAUCUCGAGGUAGAUCAUCUCUUGUAACCUCCAUACUUGAUGAACAUAAUCAAGUAGGAGUAGGGUUUUACCUCCCUUAAGAGGGCCCGGACCUGGGUAAGCAUCGUGUCCGCAGUCCUCCUAUUACCAUCGGUCCUUAGACGCACAACUUGGGCCCCCUACCUGAGAUCUGCCAGUUUUGACACCUACAUUGGUGCUUUCAUUAAGAGAUCUGCCAUGCUGUCUACAGAAGUGGUCUAUGACUCGCCUGGUCAUCAGUGAUGACAUCACUGCUGCAGGGUGCUUGGCUUUCGGGUAGACAGUCCAAAUUGGCGCCUUCGCCGCAUGGGCUCACGCGGCCGUCAAGCCUGCGACUCCCCCUACGGCUGCCAAAUACCAUCUUUUCAUCGGACCCGAAUACUCCGAGAAAUUGGAGCCGGCAGAUGUCUCAUCCUUAAACGAACUACUGGAACGCAUUACCGCCCUAGGGAUCUCUAUGGACUAUGAUUGGAUCGGACUCAUGCCCGACUAGAGGGAAAUCAAUCACCCGCUGUGGCACCCCAGCUCAAAGCGACCGGUUUACCUUGCAUUUCCAGCCCAGAGACCUUGUCUUCUGGCAACACACAACAACAUGAUACAGAAAACAACUGCUUUAUUCAUGCUAGCGGAGCAUAGUUCAUAUUACAACAGUUAGCGAGGCCAAGCGGCACACACGGUGCGGCUGAACAAUAUGUACAUUAUUUAGUGAACAUAAAGGGGCCUCGAUCAUGACAACUACUCGGCAGCGGAACAAUGUCGUAGCGGGACUCCAUAGCACAAGGACACCGACGUGGACACAGUCUAGACUCGGACAACACUCCUUUCCAACGGGACUUUCCUGAAAUCUGGCAUGACACGCCAGGUCAGUACAUUGAAUGUACUUGCAAGCUCACAAUAAACAUAAACAUGAUGACAGACAAUAUCAUGAUAUUUAACCAAUUAAACAACAAUGCAACCAUAUAUCCAACAUGCUGCGAUUAUGCUCAACAUGUACUCAUUCUCCUGACUGGCUUACCAGAUGUGACCAAUAAACAUGAUAAUACCAAAAACACACUCGUGAUCCUUACGGCGAUCACAACCUGACCAACUCGUGGCCCGUGAUCCUUACGACGAUCACAACCCGACCAACUCGUGGCCCGUGAUCCUUACGGCGAUCACAACCCGACCAACUCAUGGCCCGUGAUCCUUACAGCGAUCACAACCCUACCAACUCAUGGCCCGUGAUCCUUACGCCGAUCACAACCCGACCAACUCAUGGCCAACUCAACACGAUGGCCUCAUUGCCAUCCUUAGUGCAAUUUAGUGUGCAUAUUUAUUAAGUGUUGACCCAUGGUGUACCCUACUUUUGAGCGUGUCCGUAACCGUGGACUCGGCUAUCGAUAGAUUAAAAACACUCUGCAGAGGUUAGUACACUGUACCCACACUACGGAACCCAUGGCCUCGCGCUCCCAUUCGGGUUGGACCAACAGUGUUCCGACGAAACCAUUUCAUUGUCAUGACACUCUCCCGGCCCUUCCGACUCAAACCCCAACGGGCUAGUCCUGGGUGGCCCCGUGUCUACCUCCAGACACCUCCACCACCGUCGUGGCCAUGAUCCACUCUGGGACCCGGUACCAAAAUUAACUUAACAAUGGGUUCACAAGGUUAUGCUUGCCUACCAGGCCAGGGUACAGCACGCCCAUAACCUUCCCUAAAUGGAGGCACCGACCAGAGGCACGACAAUGAAACACAUUAAGGCUGUCCCAUACCAGCAAAUGUGGUUGCACUGGGAAAGACUCGUUUCAGCGGCACCACGACCCGGUCAACAACAUGUUCAAGUUGAAUUAUUAAUCAGGUUCAACUUAAUGUGAAAAUAACCGGUGUCAUACUGCCAUACUAUGCAUCACUUAACAUAUGCAUCACAUAGCCAUGCAAAUAUCUUCAUCAACCACGCUCCUACGGAGCCAUCAGCAACACAUGCUACUAUUCUGGUUAAAAUCUCACUUUACUUAUACCCGAACCAUUUCUAGCAUUCUCAUCAUUAUUCAUUAUGCAAAAUAAUAUUUAAACUACUCAUCAAACUCUAUGACCAUAUUAUUUAUUUAUUACUUGUAACUAAGUUCUCCUUAUCUUGCCAACAAUAUUUAUUUCAAACAUUCCGAAGUUCAAGUAUUUCAACACAUCAAGCAUAUAACAGAAUAUUUUUAUUAUAUAACUAAUUUAAAUGCAUCAAUAUUCGUAAGUUCAAGUAUGAAAAUCGUAAAUAUUGAAGUGGCACCAUGAAUAUGUUACUGUGGCUUGCCUUAGUACUAAUGAGGUUCACAAAGCUCCUGGUGAUCCUCAAGAGAAGCUGGCUCUGCUGAAAAUAUUCAAAACCACAAAAAGAAAAUAUCAAGAAACCUUCUAAAAAUUGCCAGAAAAUCCAGACAUGGGUGCUGUUAGAUUUUUGGACACAGAACACGAUGCAAAAAGUAUCAAUGCAUUUGUACUUUCAGGUAAAAAGUUGUGGCUAUUUGAAUGCUACUGGAUUUUAAAUGAAUUUGAAAUAAUAAACAAAGGGGGUGACGUCAAAGGCGUAAUCUCCCGGGGUGCCACCACUCAUACCGCUUCGCACGCGUAGUGAGUGGCUGACUAGCAGGCCCCGCUAGUCAGGCCGGAGGGAGGGGAGAGGGAAAUAGAGAGGCGCGGCGCUUCGCCGGAGCUCACGCCGGCGUUGAGACUUCUUGGAGGCGAAUGAGAGGGAGGGAUCGAUGGAGAAGAUGAUUGCGCACCUACCCGUACCCGUAGCGUGGCUAACAGUGGCCGGACGUCAUCGGAUUUGACCUCUCCAGCAGCGACAGAGGGCGGAGGUUGCCGGAGUUGAAGAAGACGACGGCUUGGGGCGGCUCCAGGGGCUCUAGCUAGGUGCAGAAGAAGUAAUAUGGUGAUGAGGUUAAGUUAGUGGACAGAAACUUUGGGGAGUUACUGUGGUAAAACCACAGGGAUUCAAGGGCUAAGCUUUGGGGUUUUACUGUCUCUUACUAAGGUAAAUAAGCUCAGGGAAAACCAGCUACAUUGGAGCUAGUAAAAAGGUAGUUGCUGUAGAAACUACCAUUUCAGCCCUGAAGUGAUUUAAUUUUAUGUAGCCAAAAUAUUCCAAAGAGUGGUGAAAUACUUUUGCUCAGAAAUGUGCCCUAGGGUCCAAAGAAUAAUUGAGAUUUUUCUCAGGAUUUUUGGGGCAAGAAAAAUUAGGGUUGCUUUGGAGCUCAAUGAGUUAGCUAGAGUUUUGGAGACCAAAAUGAAUAUUUUUCAUUUAAGAAAAAUAUUCCAAGCAAUAUUGUUGGGUUGGCCAGGGGUGAAAUGAUGGCUUUGAGGAGGAGAGGGAACACUUGGGUGAAAAUCAUGGGAUACCCAAGUGGUUAAGUCCAAAUGAAAUGAUUCAAAACCCCAAAUCCCAAAUCAACUCAGCUGAAAAUCAAGCAAAGAAAAGAGGGCAAAAACUAGGCUGUCACAAACCUCCCCCACUUAGAAUGAAUCUUGUCCUCGAGAUUCGGUUGCUUGGGAAAACCAUUCUAGAUAACAUGCCCUUAGAAAUUCUUCUGAUUCCCAGGUUGAUUCUGACUUGGUAUGAUGCAUCCACUGAACCUUGUAAAACUUUCGUGACUUACUGCGAGUGACCCUUUCCAUCUGAUCCAAAAUUUUCACUGGCCGCUCUUCGUAGGUCAAGUCCUUUGCCAGCUCUGUCUCUUCCAAAUCGGUCUUUUUCUUGGGGGGGGGGGGUGAGAUGCACAGUCGUAGUUGUGAAACGUGGAACAUGUUGUGCACAUCUGACAGUUCAGGGGGCAGUUCCAACUGAUAUGCCACAACACCUACUCGCGUCAUAACGGUAAAUGGACCAAUAAACCUGGGUGCCAAUUUUCCAUGAGUUUGGAACCUUUUUAUUCCUUUCAUGGGCGUGACUCGAAGGUAGACAUGUUCUCCGAGUUCAAAACUGAUCUGCCGACACUACAAAAAAAUACACUUCUGUGAUGAUACGUGUUUGUCACAGUAGGUCACGUUUUUUGUCAUGCAUGUACAUCCAUGACAAAUUUAUGACAAAAUCAAGAUAGUCAUACCUGUGCUGUCGUAGAAGUGUUCCAUGACAUUACCAAAAUUAUCAUCACGGAAGUGUCCGCUUCCAUGACGAUAAAUCGCGCGUCACAGAACUGCUUUCGUCAAGGGUGAUCGACACAUGGCAUCCACCGUAACGGAACGCCGUUAAGCUAUCGGGUCGGGUUUUGGAUCCGAUAACCUGUUAACAGCCCUGACCAAUGGGGAUUUUCCACGUGUAAAAUCAUCAUUGGCUGGAGGAAACACAUGUCGGCUCACCGUUGGGACAGAUGUCAUCCACUCAUUGGACAGAAGGCGCCUAUGAUACGUCGACACGUGGCACGGCCCAACAAAGGCCCAUUCCUGUGAAAAGGCCGCCCCAUUUGACUUGGUAAAAAGGUGGCGGGCCGGCCCACGGAAAGCCUGUUAACGACCUGUUCGCAUAUAGCCCAUUUACAGCCCGCUAACCGAGGGCCCGUUACGCCCUAUCCGAAUUAGGCCCAGUAGCGUCAUCUGGGCCAUCCAAUAUGAUUUAGCCCAUUUUAACUUCCGACCCAUGUGUGGCCCAUGACUUCUUUCGGCCCAUAUGAGGACCUUUGUAACUCUUGGCCCAUUAACGGCCGGUUGUGAAACUGGCCCGUAAUGAACAGUGUAUCACUUUAUACCCAUUGACAGCCCGUUAUUUCAUUGGGCUGUUUCCAGCCCAAGUUAUCUUUCAGCGUUCUCAGGGCCCAUUGAUUCUUGGGCUCAUUUGCAGCAUUCUGUUACAUACGGCCCGUUACUGUCAUUUUCUGCUUGUGGGCCAAAUUCAGCCCGUCCUUACAGUCGGCCCGUUUGCAGACCGUUAAUACGUUGGGCCAUUUUCAUGUAAAAAAACCCGUUGGGCUGUUUUCAUAGAGUUAUCAAAUACAGCCUAUUAACGACCCGUUAUGGUCCAUGAAUAGUACGACCCAUGAUUGGCGAAAUGAUGAUACGCCCCGUAGAAGGCCCAUGGAUCCUACGACCCGUAUGAGGCCCAUGGAUGGUAUGGCCCGUAGAAGGCCCAUGGAUCCUAUGGCCCGUAGAAGGCCCAUUGAUCCCUAAGGCCCGUAUAGAAGGCCGAUGGAUCCUACGGCCCGUAUAGAAGGCCAAUGGUCCUACGGCCGAACGAAGGCCCAUGGAUCAUACGGCCUACAGGAGGCCCAUGGUUACAACAGUCCGUGUGUUGCCAUGAUUAUUUUGGCCUAGUUACCAAAAAUAGGCUAUUGUGGCCACUAGAAAAACACAGAAAAAGAACUGCAGUGACUACAAGCAAACAACUAAACAAGACAAUAAGGAAAUAAAUAAGCAAGCAAUUAAGGCUAGCCUAUUACCGCUAUUACACAUAUUACAUCCACUGGGCAUCAAAGUUCACCACCAGUGCAAAUAUAGGGAACAAAGCAGCAUAUUACAUACACUUGGCCGUCAAAAUUGGCCACCAGUGCAAAUAAAUGCGGCAGCAAAACAAGAGCAUAACUGAAACAACUUCAGAAGAGCUCAAGAAACGUUAUCCUGGGUAUCCACCAUGCUGGCAAUAAGCUUAGCAAGCUGAUUAGCUUUGUCCUGUUUGGCGCUAAAAUCCUCCAACGCUUGCUGUUGCACCAUAAAGUAUGCAUCUGAAUGCUCCAGGGAGUUCCCCAGUCCUUCCGCUUCUUGUCGCAGCACAACUGAUCGAUGUCUUUCAUCUUGUAGUUGAGACUCAAGAAACCAAACUAAUUCAGACAAUGAGUUUGAAUAGCUUGUGCAUGCGGUAGUGGCUAGUAACUCGAACACUAAACCAAGACAGGACUUUGGGGUUGUCUCGCUGUCUUCAAGAUAGUCUUCCUUAGCUGUUUUAUCAGCUUUCUUGGAGACCAACAAGGAUGUGUCACUAUCCUGAACCUUAUCUGCAUUACUUCCUUUACCAUUGCUUAAUAAGGCACUCUUCCCCAAUAUUCUAUCAGCAUUCUAAAAGAAGAAACAAGCAGACACAUAACAAGUUUAUCAUGUACUAGUAUAUGAAACUCAUUUCGGUGAACUAGUUCAUUAGUAAGGUGGACAGGAUUAAACUACCAAGCCAUCUAUUGCCAAGUAUUAGUACAUAAUAAAAGCAUCAAACAAACAUAUAUCUAUGUCCUAUGGUCACUACAUUGUCUUGCCAAAUCAAAAUAGAGACACGGUUCAAAUCAUAUCAGUUCAAGACAAAGCAGCAGUGAAAGAAUACAAAGCGUGGGAAACUACACGGCACAACAAGAUUUCAGAUGGGUACCACGGGUCUACAUGUACAACAACACUAUUGGCUCUGUUGUGAUGCUAGUAAUGUGCAUGAUAUGAAAGUCAACUGUAUACACAAUUGAAAUUGAAAUCACCAGAGCUAUUGAUAAGAGCAAACCUGUUAAAGAAACAUGCAUGAACAUACCUGCUGUGCCAUUGGAGAUUCGAUUGGAUCCUUCAAUUUAAAAUAAGUUUGUAUUAGUAAAUACAGUGAUACAAGAGGAAAGCAAUCAUAGUUAAAAAAGGCGCGCCUAAGCGAGCGCUUAAGCGCGCCUAGGCUCUAGGCGUUGGCAAAACGCAUUGCGCAUAACGACGCAUAAUCUGUGCAUAACUGUGCAUAAGCAUGCACUUUGGUCAGUAAAGCGCAAGGCGGUGGCAAAACGCACAAUUAACGCCUCGCGCUUUUUUGAACUAUGAUAGCAAUGGAAUCCUAAAUUAGAACAGUUGUUCUUCAGGUUUAGGCACUUGUUCUACAUGAACAGAGUACAGUAAGACGCAAGAAUAAAAUACUUAAAAAUAGAAAAUGAGCUCAUAGACCUUACCACAUUCUUGGUUCGGGACCAGUACAGAACAAGGCGUUCCUAGUCAUCGUCCAGUAAAUGUGUCUCAGGAGAACGUAAGGGAAUUUGAUGAGUUUCUUUGCCGGUGAAGUACGUUUUCUUCAGGUAAUUCCGAUACUGCCACCAAGCAUUCUUGAAGAUAGCAGAGGUAUUAGCACAGGUUACCUCAUCCUGAGUUUCCAAAUCGGUCCUUCUCUAUAGAGAAAAAUGGGAAAAUUUGCUGUAUUAUAACCAUCAUGGAGGUAGGAUGUAUGGGACGAAGCAAAGUAAUUGCCAUGAAUAACAUUACUUACACAUAACUCCUGGACAAACACAUGCAACUGGCAUUUUCCUUCAUCUUCAGUAUAAUAUUUCCAAGAUGGGAAGAUACACACAUACGAUUUAACAACGUCAAAUGCGAUAGAUGCUAAACUACGACUGGCUGGUUGUGCUUCCUCCACAGGAAUAGGCGUACUAACUGGUGGAGUUGGUGUUCACCGUGAUAGUACUGGCCCUUUGGGCACUGGAGCUGCCUUACUAACUGUUGUUGUUUGAGAGCUCUGUGGUGGAGAUGGUGCUGUGUCAACAGGAACUGGGUUACUAUCGGCUGGGGUUGGGGCUAGACUGGGUGAAGCUGGUUCUCUACAAAUCGCAGUAGGGGUACAAUCUGCGAGAGUUUGGGUUAUGUGUGGUAGGGCUGGUUCUUGUGCAUGUACAACCGGGGUGCUAUUUCCACCAAGAGGUAGCACUGUUUUAUUUGAAGACCGUGUUCUUAUUCCGCUAGAUGCUGGCAUCACCCGCUCCAAUUCAAAUGGCUGAUAAACAGGGAACAUAGUUGAAUGUACAGACAUUGUAUGAGAGACAGAUGCAAUAGAUAGUGUGGAAAAAAGAGGGCAUGAAAUAUUUGACAUGUAUAUUGUUUAACUAAAACGGAUAGCAUGACAUAAUUUCACAUAUAUGAUGUCUAUCUAAACUGGAUAGCAUAGCAUAACAUAAUUAAGAGAUAUGAUGAAUAACUAAGCAGGAUCACAUGACAUAAUUCACCUACAUGUUAUCUAAGUAAUCAGGACCACAUCAUUUAAUUCACAUAUGUGAUUUAUAUGCUAAACAAAGGGCAUUCGAUAUGAUGUGUGAACUAAGAACAUGGUGUUGAAUAUUGUGUAUAUGAUGUCUAAACUAUGCAAUGCAAGACACCAUAUGCAUGAUAUGAGCAGUAUAACCGUGCCAAGUUAGAGCAUACACCUCAGUGGGGGAAUAGGACUGGUCAUUUGUCUCUGAAUCCAUCUCUGAGGAGCUAUCGGGACCCAACAAGAGAUCUGCUUCGACAGGUAGCACUGUCUGCUCUGAAGGCCUUGUUUUCACUCCAGAUUUUUCUAUCUCCCACCCAAAUGGCUGAUUCACAGGAAGAGUAGUUUAAUGUACAAAUAUUGUCGACAAAUGGAAAUGUAAUGAAGAAAAGGAUGGGCAAGAUAUCAUUCAAAUAUAUGAUGCCUAGUUAAACAGGAUGGCAUUGCACAUUUCACAUAUAUUAUGGCUGGCUAAAAGACACGAGACUGCAUAAUUCCCAUAUAUGAUAUAGAAACUAAACAGGUGGCAUUACAGAACAUGUCUAAACUAAGAAGAUGACAUAUAUGAUGUCAAAAGUAGGCACUGCAAGGCAACAUAUGCAUGAUAUGACUAACAUCAUCAUGCCAAGGUAGAUAAAACACCUUGGGGGGUAAAUAGGAGUGGUCAGCGGCGUCUGAAUACGCCUCAGAACAGAUAUCUUCCUUUGGAUUACAAUCUGGAGAGGGGUGGGGAGGGUUUGCCAUUGAACCCACCAUGGAGCAAUGUCUGCAUGACAUUGUAUUUCCGUGCAAAACUCUUCUCUUUUUCUCUACAUGUUCAGCAUGAAUGUGUACAAUAUCUGACAUGCAUACGAAAAAAAUGUGGUGAGAUUAUGUAAGGAGAGCAUGCAGAAAUUUAGAGUGAUGGUAACAACCAGUGGAUGGAUCCAAAAAUAAUAAUAGCAGGCUGAUGAUUGCUUUAAAUUAAUAAAAAGACAGAUGAUGAUUGCUUUACUAUUUGUUUGCCACCCAAGAUGAACAACAUAGGCAUACCCUAGGUGAACCAGAUAUUAGACAGACAUACUAUUCAUUGCUGCCUCGAUAUGUGCCCCACAACUAAUUUAGAACUCAAGUUUGAACAUGAAUUUGGACCUGAGUUGGGAGUCCAAGAGCUGAACAGGACGAUAAAGUAGUAGGUAAGUUUAAGCAAUGCGUAACAUAAGCAGAAACAAAAGAGUGCAACCUCUCUUUUGGACCCGUGUACUCCUCAGGUUCAUCUGCUGAGUCGAUGAUGGUGAUGCCAUUGGGGUGCGUGCCGGCGGCAGGGAAGGAGAUCUGAGGCGGCGAAAGACGGUCAGGAGUCGUGAUGUCUGGUUUGGUGGAUGCUUCUGUCGAUGGAGCAGCUCAGGUGAGGUGGACGACAUCGCGGCAGGAGCAGGACAAACCACACAAAGUUCCCUUCGACACGUACCUGUAACUGAAGUAAUUCUGUAAGGGCUCAUUUGGCUUGCAUGAUUCUUAAAAUGCAGGGAUAGGAAAAACACCGGAAUAGGAUAGGAAAAUGCACAUGGUAAACAAAGCAUUUGUAAACAUAAGAUUUCUAUCAACUUGGGUGUUUGGUUUACAGGAAUUGGAAGAGCAGAGGAAUGCAAAGAAACAUGGCCAAAAUAAAGAGAAACCAUAUGAAAGCGUGUACAGUUAGAAUGUUAUUCUGGCACUAAUGCACUUGGUCUUGUUUUCAUGCAUAUGAUUUUUAAAAGUAGGUCCAGGUGGAUGUUUUGCUUCAUUCCUUUCAACAAAAUGCAUGAAUAAUUGAAUAAUAGAGUGCCAUUGGAAAAUUCCCUAUUGCUAUGUUUUUCCGUUGAACCAAAAUAGCCCUAAUGGAUUGACUUGAAUGUAUACAACCUCUUUGCCGUAGCCAUGUUGAUCUCAGCAUCAUUGGGUUGGUCGCUGAAGCAGUUGAGGCAGAGGUGGCUAUCGGAAGUGUGGAGGAAGAUCUGAGGAAUCUGUAGACGGUGUCCAGGGCACUGCUCUGUUGUGAUGGAUCGUUCUGUCGUUGGAGCAGCUCUGGUGAGCCGUAAGACGUCAAGGCUGAAGCAGCACAAGACAGACAUUGUCAAUCUCAAGUGGGAUUCUAAUAGGAUCUCCAAUAGAUGAUGAAAAAUGGAUGUAAAAUUAACAUCACCAAAAACUACCUCACUACAACAGAUGAGGUAAAAACUGUUGACUCUGGACUUAACUGUCGAAACUGAAAUUAACCGUGGAAUCUGAAUGCUACUGUCGAAACUGAACGCAAUGGUAGCAAAGAGACACUUGACAUGUAGUUUAGGGAGGGCCUGCAGUUCAUAUUCAACCUGCACACCCCUGAGCCGCCUGCCACCAUCGGACGAACCGCCGGCCCCAGCGCCGCCUCGCCGCCCUGAAACAACUCGGCACCGCCGCCCCGGCCAGCACUCUAGGCCCCCCGCCCCCCACCCUAAACCCUAAGAUAGAUAGUGGGGUACCUCUCCGGCGAGCCCCCGUCCCCGCUGCGGGUGGUUCUUCCUUAACUCCGGCGAGCCCCCCCAACCCCUGAAAAUCGACUGACCCAAAAGUUGAUUCAGUCGACCGAAGUGUGGCUUAAUCGGAGCAGAGCAGCAGCACAAGUGAGGGGGGGAGCAGCAGCAACAGCUGGGCGAGCGAGCGAUCGAGCGAGAGCCGGAGCAGCAGCAGCAGCGCGAGCGAGCGAGCGAGAGCCGGAGCAGCAGCAGCAGCGCAAGCGAGCGAGCGAGAGCCGGAGCAGCAGCAGCAGAUCCGGCUGGUAUGGACGCUGGCGCCGAAGGGGCCUCGCACUGGGGGAGAGCCAUCAUGGAGAUGUCGCCUGCGGCGCCGGCUUCAAGGUAGCCGCUCCAUGGUGGUGCAGGAUGGAGCACCGUCGGCGCUGGGAGGUCGAGUUAAGGAGAAGGUGCGAUGCGAUGAGUGUACAACCUCUUUGGUGGCGCCGAGUAGGCCUCGGCUUAGUCCGAGGAGUCGGUGAGGAUGCUGCGGUUCCGGUGGAGCAGGUUAAGGCGGCGCUGUGGGGAUGGAGCAGCUGCGAUAGACGAGGUGAUCGUCGGAGCAGCUCCUUGGAGGUGGAGGAUGGGGCAGCUGAACCGGCGGGACGGCGAGAUGGACGACGGAUCCUCAUCCGGGGAGGUGGACGAGGGACGUCGAGCUGUUGCGGUGGAUGAUGUCGUCGGGGAAGAGGCUCCGGCUGGGCAGCGGUGACAUGGCAGACGGAGGAGGGUGGGGUUUCGCGGCUGGAGCGGAGAGGUUAUGGCGGCCUGGGAUUUCGAAUGGCGAAAAGGGGGCGAUGGGAGGGGGUGAAGCAUGACUUAGGGACACGCUUGUCCAAAAUGUAGGGUGUGUUACAAAAGUACCCCCACCGAUUUGAACUAGCGGCCCUUUCGGCUCAGGGUUAGAAGGGGGAUUUCGCGUGUCGGGAUUUGGCAGCUGGAGGGAGUUUUCGCGCGCGUUGUAAUUUCGGGAUAGCAAGGCGCGGGUUGUGAAGGCGCCAGUUUGGGAGCACGAUAUCUGAAUUUUCGGGAUAUAACAAGACGUAGGUUGAAUUUUAGGGACAAGCCUAACAUGUAGUAAUAUUGUACUUGUACGUACCAAAUCAAUUCACACUUCCCUCAACCAAAAAGAAAACGAAAAAAUAAAACUAUUCACAACAAAGAGAGAGUCUUGCCCCGUUUUACUAUACAAAUGCUAUUCAAAGCUACUCCCUCCUUCCAUCUAUAUAGGGCCUAAUGCGUUUUUCGAUGCUAACUUUGACCAAAUAUUAGAGCAAUGAUAUAUGACAUGCAACUUACACAAAGCACACCGUUAACUUCGUCUGUGAAAGGUUCUUUCAAUGAUAUAAUUUUCACAUUGUGCAUGUCAUGUACUAUUAAUCUUGUCAAUAGUCAAAGGCGGUCUUAAAAAUCUCAUUACACCCUAUAUAGAUGGAAGGAGGGAGUAUGAAUCCAUGUUAUGUCCGAUUAUUUUUUUUCGUUUUGCUGUAUAAUGCAUGUAACCUACUCAUACCAACAUUUUAGUGCAUUCCAAAUAUCUAUACUACCGCUGCAAUUCGAACUAAAUUUGAAUUUGUUUCUCUAUUUCAAUAAGAAUCUACAAUCAUGAUUGUUGCCAACUUCAACCAUCAUAGUUUCCUUGCUAUCCGCCAGAUAUAAAUCAGACGGCAUAUAAUGCAGGAUGGCAGGCACACCAUCAUCAACAACUCCGUUUUUUUAUAAGAGUAGAGAUAAAAUAUAUUAAAUGUAGUAUAACAUGUUCAUAAACACACCAUGUGUAUCACCAUUAUAUAUAUUCGCACAUACAUCAGUUUAAAACACUAUGAUAAACUCUUUUCAUCCUUCUCUUACUCGCACACUCCUCCCCGCUCGAUAUAGUAUGCCUCUCGUACCACCUCCUACAUGCAUCCCUCUAUCUCUAUCCUUCUCCUCGUGCCUCGUUUGAUUCUAACACACACACAUGCAUGUAUACUGAUCGAUCGCCCAACAUAUACCUGGAUCGACAUUAACUACCCCCCAUCGAUCGAUGUACCUCACAAGUUAUGUCUCUUCUUUCUCUAACAAAGGGCGAUUGAUCUUCCUAUGUAGUUAUGUCUGCUUACCACAGCCACAUCGCCCCCCCAUCAUUCGUGCAUGCCUCCUGACCCGUCUCUCACACGCACGUGUACAGACAACAAGCAGCCAUCUCCUCUCUUAUUGAUAUUGCGCGCGUGCCCUCCAUUUGUCUAGCAAGCCUAUCCCACCAUUUGUUAGAAGCAACUCCACUUCCACCCCCUCCAACACUCUAGCUCUGUCUCUCUCCCAACCUCAUUCCUCUCAUGCACAUAUGCAUGGAUGCCAAUCGAUCUCCCUUAAUACAUGAGGCAGAUCGAUCUCCUUAAUACAUGAGGUAGGCCUCUCUCCUCCUCCACACAUAUACCAGCCAUUGUACCUCUAUAGUUAAUUGGGCCUCCCUCUUCCCCCACCACACACCGAUAGUCGAGCACUGCAGGUAGGUAUCCAUGCCACAGAGACAAACUGCACAUGUCCCCUCUCAUGUUCCAGUAGGCCAGCCACUCUAUAUCUUUGACGUGGGCACACACAAAUUCGAUGGCACUCUUUAUCGAUCGCACGCGCGCACACACACACACACACAUCAUCAUCACUCUUUUCGAUUCUAUGGACACCUCAAGCCGGUGAUACCUCCACCCUCUUCUCGUGGAUCGCCCCCUCUAUAUAUAUGUUAUAUCCAGGACUCUAUUUCACACACAUUGCACAUGUUACAUUUUUUUAUUNNNNNNNNNNNNNNNNNNNNNNNNNNNNNNNNNNNNNNNNNNNNNNNNNNNNNNNNNNNNNNNNNNNNNNNNNNNNNNNNNNNNNNNNNNNNNNNNNNNNNNNNNNNNNNNNNNNNNNNNNNNNNNNNNNNNNNNNNNNNNNNNNNNNNNNNNNNNNNNNNNNNNNNNNNNNNNNNNNNNNNNNNNNNNNNNNNNNNNNNNNNNNNNNNNNNNNNNNNNNNNNNNNNNNNNNNNNNNNNNNNNNNNNNNNNNNNNNNNNNNNNNNNNNNNNNNNNNNNNNNNNNNNNNNNNNNNNNNNNNAACCCACACACUAUAUCUCUCUAGGUUUGUAUCUCUCUCACACAACCCCACGUAGGUGGUGUACGUAUACAAGAAGAGAAUAGGUGCACCGUGCACGUACUCACGCUUCGUGCCCAGCCACACCCGCGCGGGUACACGGUGGAGCUCAUUUCUUUACGAAAUGGCAGCCCACGUGCUAAUUUCAACGCCUGUAGCAGUUGUUUACCUAGGGAGGUCGUGUACCAUGCCUGCACGAAACAAAGUUCGACUUGACGCGUUGCCGCGUUAUUUUAAAAUAAAGUUAUAGCGCUCAAUGGCACGUACACAUAAUAUAAAAUGAUUUUUAUGGAGAAAAAGGUAGUCCGCUCACUAUAUACAAUGGAGCCUUGCGUGCCUGGUUUGUCGCUCUUCAGAGUAUCUCACACGAGGCUGCGAUGGCCUCUCUCUCUCUCACUGUUGGUCACUUAUCCGGCCACAUCCCGUCCGUCGGGGGAAUGGGAGUGCGGUGGCCUCUCUCUCUCUCUCACCGUUGGUCACUGAUCCGGCCGCAUCCCGUCUGCCGGGGGAAAGGGAGGAAGUGCAUCAUUUCUCCGUUCGACGGCGCCGAGGCAGCACGUCCUGAUAUGUGGUACACGCCGUUCUCUCUGACCAAGCUCCAACGCGGCAGGGCCUACGCCACCUGCUCGCAGAUUCCGCCCGCUGCCGCUCACCUAGUUACAUCCCGACGACCUCCAGGUAUCCCCUCCGGCCUUGCUCCAAUGCCCGUCUUCCCACGUCGCUGCAUGUGGAUCUUCCAUAGUUCUUUUCCCAAAACGUAGCUCGUCCAGCGUACUUUCCAUAUUGCAUUCUCAUCCUCACACCGUUUUAGACAAACACAAUCGUGUUGUUAUAUUCCCUUAGGGCAAGGAAUAUGCUUCUUUUUUGUCAUCACAUGUGUCAUCAACUGUUAUUGGCCAGUAAUUGUUUCCUUUCUACCUCUUUUUUGCAAACAGGGCCAUCCAUUUCACCUCGUUGCUAUUACGACCUUUUGGUGAACUGCACAAAUCACUUUUUUCUUAAGAGUGUUUUGUGCAGUUGUACUAAAAUGUCACAUGGGCAACGUCUCUACAUUUCAGUGCGACUGCACAAAGGGAGAUUGGUUUUGCUCUAUCCUCCUCAUCCAGCUCCGAGCCUAAUCUUCUCCAACUAGUUAGUCUUAAAGAAACUGCAAAGGUGAGUGGCUUCUAUUUAUGUGUUUAUUGUUUCAUCAGCAGUCCUCUAUUAUCAUAAUCACACUUAAUAUCUUUGGAACAGGGACGCUCAGCUCUAUUUUAGUGGAACUGCACAAAAUGAUCGGAAUGUUGCAUGCUCCAGACAGCUACUUUUUUCCCAACAUGCCUUGUUGAUUUAGACAGAGCUGGGGGGACGUUGCUGCCAAUGAAAGCAUGGAUCAAUUUUAAUUUAACACCUUCUCACAACUUUGUCUUCAGUUGUGAUGUAAUUAUUAGCUCUAAUCUGCUAAUAAUUGACAUGCAUUAGCAAGAAAGUUAGUUUUUUAUUGUUUCCGAAAGAGCAUCGAUGGCAAGACACGCGAAACAGAAGCUGAAAGCUCACACCAUUGUACAAUUUCAUGUCUCGCUGGAAAAUUAUUUGUAUAGUACGUCAAUUAUGUAAACAAAUGAUGGAAGCUUGAUAGCAUUGCCAGAAGCCUCUUCAUCAUCCGGGUCCAUGUGCCAUGCACAAAAUUAUACUCCUUCGUUCCUAAAUAUUUAUCUCUUUACAAAUUUCAAACGGGCAUAUUUUAGAGUGUAGAUUCACUCAUUUUGCUUCGUAUGUGUACUCCCUCCAUUCCUAAAUAUUCUAUUCGUCUUUCUAGAGAUUUCAACAAGUGACUACAUACGAAGCAAAAUGAGAGAAUCUACACUCUAAAAUAUGUAUAUACAUUCGUAUGUGCCAGUCCAUUUGAAAUCUCUAAAAAGACAAAUAUUUGAGUAGUCACUCAUUGAAAUCUCUAGAAAGACAAAUAUACUCCGGAGUAUAUUUAAGAACCGAGGGGGUAGUGCACAACCGCAUGGGAGACUCAGCCCGGUCGUUGCACCGCAUUAAUAGUGAGUAAUGAGCAGUCAAAUCAUAAGCCCCCCUUUCCCACUGUAAGUUGCUCUGAAGAAGCAACCAUUAAUACGCUCUUCUUUGAAUCCGCUCAUACUACUCCAUCCGUCACUGUUUAUACAUCGCGCUUCAGAAAAAAGAAAAAAGAUCUGUGGGACCACGGCGACUAGCGAUCGGCCUGAAAAAUAGCAUUGGUAGUUAUAGCACGACGUCUAUUACUAGUAGAGGGAAUAAUGCGUACACACAUGCAUGCAGUGCUUCCACCCCGGGUACACACAUGCAUGCACUUACUCCAUUCCGUAGUUACAUGGAGAGAAAAUUGUGGACUUGAUUGCGGUUACCACGCCCUAAUUAAUUGAGCAUUAAACCAAACGUGUCUAAAGUCUCUCUGGUGGUGGAAAUGCAUUGAGAGAAAUGCAUCAUAAUGAAGCGCGCCCUGUAAACUGUGACGGAGGGAGGAGUAGUGUGAAGGUUCGAAACCAAGUACGUGUAUGGCCAGUCGGUCAACGCGUCUAAAAUGUUGAUGAAUGUCAAGAAAAAUUAUCUCAUUGGAUUCGUAUUUGAACAUAGUUUUCAAAAAUAUAAUGUUUGAUGGCAUGCAUGAACAUUUUGUUAGUUUAAUCUAUGGUCAAAAUUUGGCACGAAAUACAAUAGGGACCAAUAAACCCGGACGGAGGUAGUACUACAGUGUAUGCCUCUGACAAUCUGACACCGGCUGGACUGAUGCAUGUCCACCGAGGGUAGGUUGCAUUAGUCAAAAGGCGUAAGCGAGCUUCACCUUGUCCUGCAAGCUUGUCCUCAUUCUGCGAGUUGACGGGACACACCAAAAAGUAGUGCUAGUCCAUACUCCCUCCUUUCUGGUUAAUAUGGCUCAAUCCUCUUUGCGGGUAAAUGAGAGAGCUUUAUUCAUAUAUAAGCAUUCUUAGGACGAUCAGCCAAGACACUGGUCACUAAGAAGCGAUGUACCCCGCAAAAAAAGAAGUAGGAAGCGAGGUGUUUCAUCAAGCCAGCUCUCGGCCACAUUCAAAGUGCAGCAAGCACGUUUCGCACGAAGAUGCGCCGCAAGGUUUUCUGACCUGUUUACAUGCUGAAUAACAAAAAAAGAGGAAAUAUUACCGAGCGCUACUAUUUGUAACAUGAUAUGAGCCAGAAUUAAGCGAGAAUUGUGGUGAGUGUUCCAUGCAAUCAACUUCCAUUAUCACAUGCGAGAACCCUCGAAGAUAACCAAAUGUGUUGAAGAUUGCUUUAUCACAUUUUAAAAUUAUAAUAAGAGUGCAUACGCUCCUCCAUCCGGUUCCUAGUACUAGUAUAGUACGUACCUUUAUAGACUAUAUUAGUAAACUUUGCGCUUGGUUGUUAGCCUAUUCGGGAAGUCGAACAAUAGUAGCACUAGUAGUAUAUGCUUCUGGCAACCUGACACCGAAUUAACUGUUGCACGUCCACCGCCUGAGCGAGGGAGAGCUUGCAUUAGUCAAAAGUUUCUCCUUGUCCUGUGAGCCACCGCAUGCAAGUAAUGCUAGUCCAUACUGCCUCCUCUCCGGUUAAUAUGGAUUAAUUUCAAACGAGAUAAAUACACUGUCUGUCACUGUAUAUUUGUUAAAAUACGGUCAGUGGACUUCAUAAUACGCUCAUUGCACUCAAUAUAUAUUUCCCGGUGUUUAUACGGUCACUAGCUCACCCUGACUGAGUAUGUGUGUGCAUGCACGUGUAGGUUGAGCACUUAGCGUGACCGUGUGUGUUCCGUCGUGUGCUCGGACAUGCAUGCAUUAGGGCGUCGCGCGCAUUUUUGUGUCCAUGUGUACGUGUGACUGUUGCAUACACGUAGGGGGAGUACGUGUAGGGGCCACUAAGGAGCAGUCAAAUCACAAAGUAAAUCACGUCUGUCGUGUUCGUGUCUCACCCUCUUCCACGGCUCGACCCCACACGGUCGCUCGGCAUGCCACUCACCCGAAACCGAGUAUACGAUAUCUUUCCUGCCUGCUUGUCGAUGGAUCGCGCCAUGGAGUACUACUAGCACUACUGGAAGAGAUUGACGAGUUGGGGGAGGACAGCUAGCUGUAGCACGGACUCCCAAAACCUUUUUACAUGCAUGUUGUAGCCGGCUAUUGCGACCUUUGAACACGGAGCAGCCGCGUGCACCCGGAAGCGGCGCGGGCGACGCUCUCUCGGCCGGCGCGCCACUUCAAUGCCGGUGCCAGUGAGAGGUCGCGUCUGCUCUAGCCGAGCAUGAAUGCGGCACUGACCGUUUCGGGCGGGAAGCACGCGCGGGUGAUGAAGAGGGUUCGGGUUGGUCAGGACCGGCCGUGGCAGCGAUCCGGACGUGCGCAAACAAGAGGUGCUGUAUGUUAAUAUUGCUGCGUAUAUAAUUAACAACGUGAAUAAUGUGCCAGUUGGAUAAAUAUGAUUGGAGAUGGAGAUGGAAAUGGAAUUUUACGUAAACACGGAUAUGCAUGUCUAUGUCUAUGUGUGUGUGCGUGACGACUCUCGCGACCUGGAAGCGGGGGCGUGUUUUUGAUCGAGUUUUCUUUCUUGGUACGUUAGAAAAUCUGUUUGUCCAAUUCACAUCUAGAUGUUAUUUAAAGAUAUCACAUCUAAGCUCCCACAAGUAUAUAAUGUAGCAACAAGAAACAAAAAAAAAC
This 91035-nucleotide long non-coding RNA is filed under the name Triticum aestivum (bread wheat). RNAcentral's name for it is "long non-coding RNA (TAES_LNC003729)". The record is from RNAcentral. Lineage: Eukaryota; Viridiplantae; Streptophyta; Magnoliopsida; Poales; Poaceae.